RNAcentral lists this long non-coding RNA (100436 nucleotides) under Vitis vinifera (wine grape). RNAcentral describes it as "long non-coding RNA (VVIN_LNC002518)". The record is from RNAcentral. Lineage: Eukaryota; Viridiplantae; Streptophyta; Magnoliopsida; Vitales; Vitaceae.
GGGAAGAGUAGGUGACCUGUGGGUGAAUUUUGCCUUGGGAGUAUUUAUAGAAUAUAGAGUAUAGCAUAGAAAAUAGAAGACAUUCUCACACAUAUACCAGUAGGUAAAAAGACACCCUACCACUACAUCAAAGGAAUAAAACCCAAGGAAAAUUAUUGAUCUCUCACAUGGCCCAAGAUUGACCAAAAUUGAGACGAGAGAGAGAUCCUGGGGAGCUUUCAACCUUCAGUCAUACUAAAAUUAAACUCUCUCUCUCUCUCUUUUCAUUCUCUCUCCUUCUUCCUAUACACUCUCUCGCUCUCUCUCUCUCUCUCUCUCUCUCUCUCUCUCUCUCUCUCUCUCUCUCUCUCUUGCUCUCUCCUUACCUUUUUUUUUUUUUCUCCAUCUUUUCUUCUUUCUUUUCUGGUUUGUAGAGCUUUCCCAGGCAAAAAUUAGGCUCUGAAAUCAGUAACAAAAGAAGUUUCCAACAAACACCAAAUUUAAAUUGAUUCAGGCAGCAAACCCCAUGCAUUUUGACUCUCACUCAACAUUGACUAUUAGCUUCGUCUUCAAACUCCAAGGCAGCAAAACCAAGCCCAAAAGUUUCCUCAUAAAAUAAUCCUCAGUCAUCCCACUACAAGCCCACUUUAAGCACCAGUUCUCCUCACUGUUGGAGCCUGGAGGGAGAUAAGAGAGGCGAUUCCUCUUACAUUCUAGGGAGAGAGUUGCUCAGUUGAGGUGACAGUGCGUAUCCAGCAUCCCCAUGCCAUGAUUUGGGGUCUCAGCAAGAAACAGAUGGGUGUGAGAAAAGAGUUGGCUUGCUUGUCUCUUCUGCUGCUGAUGCUGUUACAGUUAGAAAGUUCAUGUUUUGCAGAAGGGUAUGGCAGAUUCAGCAGAUUUAAAGUUGGGUCUGGGUCUGGGUCUGGUUCUGGGUCUGGUUCUGAGCUCAGUCCUGCUAAACCCCGUGGUGUGUUCAAAGGAAAUGCAGGUAAAGAUGGUGAUGACGUUUUUGCUGCUGAAAAGAGGAGAGUCUACACAGGUCCAAAUCCUCUACACAAUAGAUAAGCACUAGUAGAGAAACCAAGCUUGAUUUUCUCUCCUUCAAGCUAUGAAUUUUCCUUUCCCUUCCCCUUCCCAUCUCCUCUUCCUUUUUCCUUCUUUCUUUCCUCUUUUUUCCUCAUUUUUAUGAAUAUAUAUUUUAUGCUUGAGGCUUUGCUGAACUUGUUCACAGGAUGUUUUUUCAAGUAAUUUUACAAAUGUAUAUGAAGACUUAAUUAGUUUUGAGAUUUUGGUGAUCAGGAAUCACUUUUAUUUGUUAAAAUAUAUAUAAAUAUAUAUAUAUAUAUAUAAUAUAUAUGGCAAGAAAUAUUUUUCAUUCUAAUGAUCUCCUGAAUAUUAAUGCCAUUAAUAGGGUGGUUGGUGUUUAUGAGUAGAGGUCUGCUUUUUGAUCAAGUUGGUUGGUAUUAUUAUUCUUUCCCACUGCUAUUGUAUUCAAUAAACUGCAGCAGCUUUGCCUCCUCGAGCCUAUUCUUUCCCUCAUUUCAAGCUUUGCCCUUCAACUAGCUAGCUCAUCCAUACUUACUUCAUAUGGAUUUGUUUUAUAUACAGACAUGCAUGUAUUCAGCUUGCAUGUCAAUAUGUGGAAAAUUGGCUCCUACAUGUUUGUGAAGUUUGAUUGUCUAUUUGGUUAUUUCAGUUGUUUGAUGAGUGAAAAUCUGCAUCUAUGAUAGCUUCUCUUUCGGCGGAAAUGGCUAUUCUGAGAUGUUUCCUUUUGCAGAAUGUUUGUAUAUUUUACUAUUUUGAACCAAAAUUAAUUAAUUAAUUUUCACCAUAAAGAUGGUGUUGCAGGAUUAAUUUGUCUAUAGUCUUCAACUCAUCUUAAUUUUCCUGCCAUGAAUGAUUAUGAAGGAGGCCCCACUGAUAGGGUUUGAUUCAACCUUUGCCAGCCAUAUGUCCACUAUAGUUAUAGACAUAUACAUUGAGAAUUUUAAUUAUUCUUCUGUUUUUUAUGAUUGUGGAUAGAAAAUUCUUACACCCUUUUGAUGAAUGAUGGAUUACAAUAGAUGGCAAAUUUUUUUAUUUAAUUUCUUUAUUUCUUUAUUGUUUUGUUACUUCAUAGAUUCAUAGGUGAAGUGGGGAAAAUUAUUUUCAAAUUUUAGACCAUUACAUUUUUUUUUUUUGGGUUCAUUCCAAUUUCCCAUGAGGGAAAACAACUUUUGGGUAAAAAAAAGUACAACAAAUAGUGUUUUUCCUUUCUAAUUAUCUUUCUUUGAUUUUUUUAAAUUUUCAUUUUCUUUCCUCUUUUAAUUAAUGACCUAAAAAAUUGUAAAGAAGAAACCUUUCAAAAGAAUUCUCUCCAUGCCCUCUUCCUCAUCUUUCCUUAGAUGGUUUACCCAUGAAUUGUUCUGUAAGAUUCUGGGUUGGAAUCUAUGGUAUUCUCAGACAUAUAGAGUGGAAAAAAAGAAAAGAAAUUAGAAGAAAAAUAAAAAUGAUAUGAGAGAAAAAAAGGUGAGGAGUGGAAGUUUUGAAAAUAUUGCAAGUCAAUUGUGGAGUGAAGAGGAAUAGUGUCCUGGUAGCUACAGUAUAAAAAUAUGUACAAAUUGUUUGUUUCUACAAGAUUGAUAUGGAGAGGGGGAUUUGGUUUUUGUUUCUUACUGAUGAUCUCCAUACACCAUAUUUUCAAGAUAGGGGCCUUCAGCUUCCCGGCUGCGGUCCACUUGGAAAUAGGAAAAGAACUGUUGGAUGCAAGAGUUUUGAAAUGUGACCAUUAUUUAAUCGAAUACGAGUAUGAAUAUACAUAUAUUUUAUGGUUAAUAUUAUGAUUUUUGCCUUUUUUUUUUUAACAUAAAAAAUAAUAAUAAAAGAUAUGUUUGAUAAAUGUUUUUAGAAAAUAAUUUUUAAAAAUAUUUCCUAAAAAAAGAGCUGGUUUUUGUCAGAUAUUGAAGUAUUACUUCUAAUAUUUUUGGAAAUUGUAAAUACUCUAAAAAUAAAAAAUAAUUUAAUUUUUAGAAGUGAAUUUGAAAGUGCUUCAUACCCUCUAAAAAUCAAGAUAAAAUCUCAUCAAUCUCUUACCUUUUACUUUUAUGAUCUAAGUAAUAUCACUAGUAAUUUUAUUGUAAGAAACAGGAAUUUCAGUGAUGAGACAAUAGAAUUUGGUUGUGGAAGAAUGGAGGCCAAUACAAGGGUUUUUGAAAAAAGUAGUGAAUGGAAAUUAAAAACAUAAAUGCAUGAGGAAAAAUUUAAAAUCAAAAGUGGGUGCGAGGAAAACAUUGUUGAAAUAUGCAAUGAAUGCUGAAGGGAGGGUACUCAAGGCAGUUAAUGGGGCUUGAAAAACGAGUCGUCCUUGUCAAGUUCAAGGAAUGAAGACAUGGUUAAUUUCAUGUCCGAAAAGUCACAGUCUCACGAACCAUUGCCCUCUUGAAUAAGAAAGGUGAGGGUUGGAAAGACUAACUGAGACUAAAUAUUAAAGCCCAUACCAGAUUACCAGAGGCUGGAUUGAAUUCAAGGAUAACCAGUAGGACUGUGAAUCCAUUCUGGUUUUGAUAAAAUAAAAUAAAAAUCAGAAAUUAUAAAAGGUCCCAAAGAAGACCACUUCUCAGUGUCAAUGGCGGUAAUACCUGCAUUCACAAACCACCGAAGGCAGUAAGGCCACAAAAUUGAAGUACAGGAAAAUGAAGAAAGGCAGGGCAGGAUUUGAAAAGUCAAAAAACUACAACCCACAACGUAACAUAGAAAACGGAAAAUGUCAGGUAACGGUCAUGUCAUCCACACCAACAAUUUCAAUUUUGUAUCCAUUCAAACCUCCAUUUCAGACUCCUUUCCUCUAUAACUUUCCCAUAUCAAAUUACCCCCGUCACCCGACAACUCCCCAGUGCUAUUAAAGAAGCCAUUUAAUGCACCAGCUUCUUAAAACCGUCCAUUCUCAUCGCGACUGCAGCCCCAUGGCCUACUUCCCUCCCCCCUUCAACUGAUCAAAUUAAGCUCUCUUAAGACGGAUUCUUAUUAUGACAAAAAACAUUAGGGGUUUGAAUUACCCAAAGAAGUUUUUAAAAAAAUUGAUCAUGAAAACAGAAUAUUUUUUAAAACGGAUAAUUUUACAGAUGUGUUUUCAUGUAAUUUUUUAUGAAGUGUUUUGACAAAUAAUCAAAAAGUAUGAAGAAGAGAGGGAGCUAUAAGUAUUUACAUGUUCAUUCCCAAUGCUCUAACUGCUGCCCGGCUCAUGCUUUUCCACUUGAGACUGUAGCUAAUAUAAUAUGAAGAAUCUAAACUUUAAGGCAAGCAAAUUAAAAUUACUUUCUGUAAAAUCUGCAUGGAAACUACAUAUUCACAUGAUGCCUGCAAAACAUAAUUGGCUUCUCUUAAGAUUCUGCUGCUCAGGAAGUCAGGCUAUUGUACUGCACCUUGCUUGAUCAAACCCUACCUUCCGCUAUCGAAGUCCUUGUACGUCAUCAAGCUACUAAAUUUUGGAAACCCUCUUAAUUUUCAAACACACACUCCCGUGCAAUGAGUCCGACCACCCCAUCUAAGAGUUUGAAAAUUUUUGUUUAAAAUCUGUAAACUAAAAUAUCCACCGUUGUACUUUCACUCUUCCAUGGAUACUUAAACUAACAAGCAAUUCUACUCUUCCAUGUAUGCUUAAACCAGCAAGCAAUUCUACUCUUCCAUGUAUGCUUAAACCAGCAAGCAAUUCUAGAAGAACGAUUGAGUAGACAUUAUUUGUAAACUUCAUUCUUUUUUCUACCCUAUGUAAUCACAAAAAUGGAAGGCAGGAAUGCAAUCAUUAGAAGGAUCACACAAAGGCGGAAAUGGAACAACCAUGACACAGUCCAAAGGUAAGUUCAGGUCCAUAAAAGGAUAACUAGGGGGGUUUUUUUACUUUGGAUUUGCAGAGCACCCAAACCCACCCUCAAGAAAAAUAAGAUAAAAUAAAAUAAAUCCAGUGCUAUUCAUGUUAGCCUUAAGAGCAGGCAUUUGCAUAUAAAUAUUUCAAUGUGACAGCAUUACAAUUCGGGAGCAUCACUUUGGUUCAGCCAAAAAUGGACUCUGAUGGUAUUGUUCCUGGCACAAACGCAUGGAACGCAACAGGAAACACACAAUGCAAUAGUAAAACUAAGAUAACACCACAACUUGUGGCUUGUGCACAGUCAUUCUCUUCAAGGGGUGAUUUAAAAAUUUCAGAUGAUCAAUGCUCAAAAUUCCAAUGGGUGGGAUAUAAGAUGAUCUACCCUCCUGUACCUCAUAGCUUGGAGGCAUGACCUCUGAUUCUACUCAAGGCAAUUGCUGUCUUUGAACCAGAUUGUCGUCCCAAAUGCUGACAGAUGAAAUCCCCAGCCAACAUGAGCUUCCCAAGAUCCACAUUUGUCUUCACCCCGAGUCCAUUUAGCAUGUAAACAACAUCCUCAGUCGCAACAUUCCCAGAAGCACCUUUAGCAUAUGGGCAGCCCCCAAGACCAGAUACUGAUGAAUCCACUGUGGUGAUCCCCAUCUGUAUAGAAAAGAGAUAGUGUAUAAAAUAUGGAAUAAAGCAAACACCCAUCAUGAUUAGUAAUGUUGUUGAGCCAAUUUUGAUCCUUAACUGAGUAUGCAAUUCUGAUUUUUUGAAUUUCUAAGUGAAUGAUAAGCACAUCAUUAAAGCAAGCUCAAGAAAGUUCUGCAUAUACUCAGUAGAUGUGAUUUAAAGAUGCAUCAUUAUCUUAAACCACUGAAAAUUCAGUUAUAUGCACCAUCUCAAUUAUAUGCAUCUCUAUGUUCAUGAGUAAUGAUUUUUAAAAUUUUCUAAAUCCAACUGCACCCCCAAGGUGAAACUUUGAUGUUCAUAUCAACAUAAUAUGCAUGGAGAUUACACCUUUUUUGGUACAAGAUGAAGGCAGCUUAUGUUGAAGAAUGCACUCUAAACAGUCUACUAAGCAAUGUGUUAUUAUUACAAUCUAGUUUGAGUUGGGUCAGUGAAAUGUUUCAUGAAAGUUAUAAUAAUAUUAGAUUGGUAUCCAUGAUUGGAAUUAUAGUACAAAAAUUAAGGACAUUCAAUAUCUCAUUACCACGUAUCUUGCAAUAUAUUUGAUCCCACUUGGGGCUGUUACUAAAGUAAUUCAUUCUUCUAGCAAUGCUAAUUUUCUUCUCAGUUUCAAAACAACAAUAUUUCUGAGGCCUGAACUCGUUAAUGGAAUGACCCUUGGCUACCAUCCAAUGGACCCCAAAUAUAUUUUCCUUUUAGUUUCCCAUUUUAUUUUAUGUUUUACCUUAGUGUUUAUGCUAACUGUAUUAGACCCUUAUUUCAAUCUAUAAGCAUUAUAUAUCAUAUAAUUUUCUUUAGUAGUGGUACAGGAGAAAAAGAUUGGGGUUGACUUGUCCAAGUAAGGUGGCUUAGACAAGCAAACAAGGAUUUUUGAGAUAUCAGCCUUUGAUGGUAAGUACUCUUUUUUUUCUUGUUUGACAAAUAUGUUAGUAGCAGCAGCAACAAUGAAUUCAAUAUAAACCCACAAGAUAAAAAUUAAAAUUAAAAGAAUAAAAAAAAAAAUAAUAAUAAUAAUAAUAAAGAUAGCUUUAUUUGAUAGUGUAAACCCAAAAAAGGGACAGCUGUAUGUGAUGGUGAACUCUCUAUUCACCGUUUCUUUUGGCAUAGAGAGGCCUAAAAGGGGAAGAGGAAGAAAACCUAACCACAGCAAUGUAAAAACUAAUGGCAAGGAUCAGUUUUUAAUAAUAAUAAUAAAGACAGCUCUAUUUGAUAGUGUAAACCCAAAAAAGGGACAGCUCUAUGCAAUGGUGAACUCUCUAUUCACUGUUACCUUUGCCCUAGAGGGGCCUAAAAGGGGAAGAGGAAGAAAACCUAACCACAGCAAUGUAAAAACUAAUGGCAAGGAUCAGUUUUUAAGUGUCAUCAUUGUGGGAGAUCUGGUCAAGCUAAAGAGAUAAUUUGGGAAAUGUGUGAUCAUUGAACAACGUUUCCUCAACACCCCAAGCUACUGAUAUUGUUUUGAAGCUGCUUUGAAACUCUAUUUAACAAACAAUCCUAUCGCGCACUCAUAUUAAUUGUUUUAAUAAAGAUUCACAAGUGCACAUGCAUGCAUUUGGUUUUCUCUUCAAGUGAAGUUGAUAGGUAUCUAAUGGAGAAUUAUUAUUGAAUUUCAAGAAUUUCAAGAAACAAGAGACCCAACUGAUACUCGGAUAGCUAUUCGAGAGGCUAUCACUCUCCUACCAGAUCUACAUGAUAUCCAGCCCCUGUAAUUCCCUCCUUUUUCCUAUUUUAACCAUCCCAGCCCGUAUCCAGAUUGUGACCUAGCCUAUACUAAGGCUGUUACAACUAACUGCCAGGUGGCAGUACAUUCCUCUUCCCUUUUCUAGUAUACACAUAACGUGUAUGAGGCCUAUCAUUACCCCCCUCAAUGAGAGACACCUUGUCCUCAAGGUGGAAGUCAGGAAAGUGUUCUUUAAUUGUGUCGGUUGAUUCCCAUGAAGCUUCAAACUGAGGAAGUCCUUUCCAUUGAAUAAGUACUUCAAUAUCAGUCUGAUUGUUAUUGGGAGACAGGUGAAUAUCUAAGACCUGAUCAGGCUCCACAAGCCAUUCCAUAUCUUCAGCAAGAAUAGGGGAAAGUGGCUGACAUAAAUCAGCUGAACCAAGAGCCCGCUUGAGCUGUGAAACAUGAAACACUGGAUGAAUAGUUGCCGAAAAAGGAAGCUCUAACUUGUAUGCCACCAGACCAAUUUGCUGCACCACUUUGUAAGGGCCAAAAUAUCGUGGGAAGAGCUUCUCAUUGGGUCGUUUGGCAAGGGAACGAAGACAAUACAGACGGAGUUUUAUAUAGACAAAAUCCCCAACUUCAAAUUGAACUACACGACAAUGGGCAUCUGCAGAUGACUUCAUUUUAGAUUGGGCACAACAGAGAUGGUCCUUCAGUUCAUUUAAAAUUAGAUCACACUCUUGCAAUAACUGAUCCACUGCCAGAACAGAGGUGGAAUCUGAUCCAUAACGUAGCAACGGUGGUGGGUCUCACCUGUAAACUGCUUGAAACGGUGUCAUAUUAGUGGAGUGGAAUGUGGUAUUAUACCAGUAUUCUGCCCAUGGAAGCCAUGUAAACCAAUGUCUAGGCUUGUUAUAUGAAAAACAUCGAAGCUAUGUCUCCACACAACGGUUGACCACUUCCGUUUGUCCAUCCAUUUGAGGAUGAGAUGCAGUACUAUGGCAGAGAGAAGUAAGCAUAUUUGCUCAAUCAAUCCACAACAACUAAAAUGGAGUUAUAACCCUCAGACUUAGGAAGCCCCUCAAUAAAGUCUAUCGUCACAUCAUCCCAUAUUUUUUCUGGAAUAGGCAGUGGUUGUAGUAACCCAGCAGGCGACAAAGUUAGGGCCUUAUUUUGUUGGCAUACAAACUCUUUGAUGUCAUUCUUCAUGCCAACCCAAAAAAAAAUCUCGUAUGAGUCGUUUGUAAGUCUGCAAGAACCCGGAAUGCCCUCCAACCACGCUAGCAUGGCCCUCUUGAAGAAGUGCUGGAACAAGGGGUGAGGCCUUGGGAAGAACUAGGUGCCCCUUGUAGAGGAGAAUGCCAUGGUCCAAAGAAUACCAAGGAUAAGCAUCUGGAUCAACCAGCAGCCUCUGCCGAAUCUUAGCAAGGUGUGGGUCAGCUUCAACUUGUGAACUAAUCAACGAAGUGUCUAAGCGACUAGGAACUAUGAGGGCAGCUAACUCCAUAGAAAUGGGGAUGUGAGAUAAGGCAUCAGCUGCUUUAUUCUCCAAUCCAGGCCAAAACUGAAUUUCAAAGUCAUACCCCAACAGCUUUGCAACCCACUUUUGGUAUGACUCAUUCACCACCCUUUGCUCUAGUAGAAACUUCAAACUACUUUGAUCUGUUCACACAAUAAAGUGGCGACCAAGCAGGUAGUGAUGCCACUUCUGAACUGCUAAGACAAUAGCCAUUAACUCUCUUUCAUAUAUGGACUUUUGUCACUCCCUUGCUGAGAGGAUUUGGCUAAAAUAAGCUACUGGUCUAUGACUUUGCAUCAAAACGGCACCCAAACCAUACCCCGAGGCAUCCGUCUUUACAAUGAAGAGUUGACUGAAGUUGGGCAAAGCCAAUACAGGAAUCGUUGUCAUAGUUGUUUUCAAUUUUUAGAAGGUUGCCUUGGCCUCUGGGUUCCAACUAGAAGCAUUUUUUUUUUUGAGUUGCUGAGUGAAGGGCCAAGAAAUAGCUCCAUAUCCCUUGACAAAUCAACAAUAGUAUCCAGUCAAUCCGAGAAAUCCUCGUAAUUCUUUAAGGGAUUUGGGUGUGGGCCACUCUACCAUGGCCGAAAUCUUGUUGGGAUCAGCAGCAACCCCCUUGGCGGAAACCAAAUGGCCCAAGUAUUCCAGCUGUGGUUUAGCAAAGAGACAUUUCUUUCCAUUGACGUGCAGUUGGUGGUUCGCCAGAAUGGACAACACACUUUGCAAAUAAUCACAAUGCUCCUUCAAGUCCUUGCUGUACACCAAUAUGUCAUUAAAAAAUACGAGCACAAAUUUCCGAAGGUGUGGCCAAAAUAUACGGUUCAUUAACGAUUAGAAAGUCGUUGGUGCAUUGGUUAGCCCAAAAGGCAUCACCAAGAACUCGUAGUGACCUUCAUGGGUGCAAAAUGUCGUUUUGUGGAUAUCUUGUUGUCGGACUUGAAUUUGGUGGUAGCCCGAUUUGAGGUCUAGUUUGGAAAAAAUGGUCGCGCCAUGAAGUUCAUCGAGUAACUCAUCGAUCACCGGAAUGGGGAACCGAUCCGGGACUGUAACUUUGUUAAGAGCAUAGUAAUCUAUACAAAACCUCCAUUCUCCAUCUUUUUUUUUUAACCAACAACACUGGACUAGAAAAUGGGCUUAAACUAGUCCGAACAAUUCUUGCCUCAAGCAUCUCUAGCACCAAUCUUUCUAUUUCAUUCUUUAGAAUAUGUGGAUACCGAUAGGGACGGACGUUAACCGAAGAUGCUUCCAGGAUUAAUUGAAUGGCAUGGUCAAUAUCACGACUUGGUGGUAACCCUGUUAUUGGCCCAAAAACUCGUUGAUGUUGAGCUAACACUUCUUUGACUGUUUUCGGGACCUCUUGUACUCCUUCACUCAAAUCCGAAGUGGUGGAAGUCUAACAGAGUUCCACCCAUACCCCUUGGCUAUGGUGCUGCAAUGCUCUAGCCAUUGCCUUAAGAGACACCUCGGUCUGACUAAGGCUCGGGUCUCCCUUUAACACUAUCACUGCCUUCCCUAUUUUGGUCUUCAUUGUUAGCAUCUUUCAGUUUACUUUCACGUCUCCUAAAGUCCCCAACCAAGGCAUUCCUAGAAUUACAUCAGUGUUGCAUAAUUCAAGUGGAAGAAAGUCACUACAGUGAGCCCCUACAUCGAAAUACAAACUCCCCUACAAAUGCCCUUCCCUUUCACGGAUAUCCCAGUUCCCAUCAUCACCCCGUAACUAGUUGUUGUAGUUAAUGGAAGUGCUAAUUGUUGAACCAAAUCAAGGAAUAAAAAAUUGUGGGUAGCCCCACUGUCUACAAGGAUGAUUACCUCUUUUGACCCGAUCGUCCCUUUAAUCUUCAUAGUCCCCGGCAUAGUUAAACCGACCACGGAAUUUAGAGAUAAUUCCACAACGUCUUUCAGCUCGAUGAGUGAAGGUUCUUUGGUUGCUCUGUCGUCAAACUGAUUAUCCUCCUCCUCUUCAUCUUCGUGCACCAAUAAAACCCUUAAUUCUUUCUUACAGUGAUGACCAAGUGAGAACUUUUCAUCACACUUAAAACAGAGCCCCUUCUCUCUACGGGCUUGAAGCUCUGAUUCCAUCAGUCUCUUUAUCGGAAUCUCACGUCGCUAGUUCAUCGUCUUCUCACUAACAACCACUGCCCUAGUCUGAAAAUUUUCCCCAAUCUUCCAAUCACCUCGAUUUGCAGAUGACAACAUUUUGGUGCUCUUUGGGUCCUUUGGUUCACGGGCCGCCCUUAGGGUUAAAUUCCUAUCUUCGACUUGUUGGGCCAUUUCCAUCAAGUGGCCCAGCCCAUAUGGUUGCAGAAGACGUAACUCAGCCCGGAUCUCAGGAAGCAGCCCAUUCAUAAACGUACUUUCCAUUACCUCCUCUGAAAUCCUUUUCAAGGGAGUCGCUAGAAUCUCGAAUUCCCGCUGGUAUGCUGCCACUGUCCCUUGUUGUCACACUGCCAGAAACUGCUCACAAAGGCUCCCUUCUUGAGUCUGACGAAAGCAAAGCAAUAGCCGCCUCUUCAAAUUUUCCCAACUCCCAAACGCCUCCCUCGAAUCAGUGCACUGGUACCAAGAGAGUGCGUCCCCAUCUAAACUCAUCGCAGCAGCGACUAAUUUCUCCUAUUCCAUGAGUCCAUACGUCGCGAAGUAUCGAUCGGCCCGGAAGAUCCAGCUAUCCAGGUUUUCUCCCGUAAAUACAGGCAUCUCCACCCGUCGACCGCCACACCAUUCCCCGUUUCCGCCUCGCCUCGUCUCAUCUGAUGCCAUCCACCCCCCACUAGUUUCCCCAACUCCAGGGAUCCAUUUUGCAUGGUUUUCUCGUUGAGCAGCAGUCGUCGUGACCCGCCCCGAUGACAACGCCGCCACCGUCUUUUGUGUCUCUUCCAACGAUUGCAGAACUCGCAUUACAUUCUAGGCAAGGUCCAUCACCGUCUUUUCCAUUCCUAGUAAGCGCUGCAUCUCCUCUCUGAUUUCUCCAACUUCCUUCUCUAGAAAAUCCACCCGACCUUCAUUCUUUUUCUAAGCCAUCUAGAUCGAUGCUCUGAUACCAAAUUGAUAGGUAUCUAAUGAAGAAUUAUUAUUGUAUUUCAAGAAUUUCAAGAAACAAGGGACCCAACUGAUACUUAGAUAGCUAUUCGAGAGGUUAUCACUCUCCUACCAAAUCCACAUGAUAUCUAGCCCCUGUAAUUCCCUCUUUUUUCCUAUUUAAACCAUCCCAACCCAUAUCCAAAUUGUGACCUAGCCUAUACUAAGGCCGUUACAACUAACUGCUAGAUGGCAGUACAUUCCUCUUCCCUUUUCUAGUAUACACAUAACAUAUAGGAGGCCUAUCAGAAGUAAAUGUUGAAUCAUCAAUUAAAAAACUUCUAAUCGAAUCAAUUAUGUAUAAUCAUUUUCUAGUGUAUCUGUUAAUGCAAUAUUAGGGUUCAGAUUGCCAAUGCAUCACUUCCUCAUAUAUUUUCGAAGAAGAAUAUUAUGAUAUCAUUUACUAAUCCCAUCUGUUACUAGUAAUAUAUAAAACUUAAUAAUGGGUCUUGCAUUUUUCUUUAGUCUAGUUUCUUACUACCAAUUAGAGUAAGAUAACCAUCAGGGUUCUUGAACCUAAUGGUUAUUACUUGUUUAAGUCAACAUUAUUCCUCAGGUAGAUCACAGCCUAGUAGAAUCAGUAAGACUAGCUUAAUAUUGUUAUCAUCAAUCAUUUGUCACUUUUGUCCUCAAACCAACUUUUUAACCAGUUUAUUAAAUUUUCACCUAAUUCAUGUUUUAAAUGUGAGAUUCAUUAGCUUCUGACAUUGUCACAUGUCACAUCCUAUAUUUGAUAAAUUCUUUUGAUUUUGCACAUUAUGAUAAUUGAGAAUCUCCUCAUUACAAAUGUUGUGUGUUAAUCUAGGGCCACCUCCCCCUGCUUUUUAUCUUUGCAAUCAUUAUUUGUAUCUUCUGCAGUUUGGUUGAUCAACUGUACUUGUGUCAUCCUCAGGAAAUAUAUAGAUAAGAUCAUUGUUAAAACAUUUCAAAAAAAAAUCUAAUUAAAUUUUGGUAUUAGCAGAGAGAAUGGGUGCAUUUAUGAUGGCCAUGUACCCUAAUUUAGAGAACACAUCAACAAAAAUGUGUUGCACAGAACAUAAAUGGACACAACAAGAAACCUCCACUUGAGGGAUUUUGUCUAAUCACUCCAUAGCAAACUCACACUGGCAUCACAUAAUCAAUUUGAGGUAUGUGUUAGGAAGAGAAUUCUGGGUCAAUUUCUAGUUUCAUACAUAUAUAUUUGGCUUCUAGUGUCAAUCAUUUCACAAUAUCCUUAAAACCUUAGUUAAAAAAUAAUUCACCCAGGAGCAAUCAUUUUCACAAAUGAUGCAUAUAUGAAUAAAGAGAAAUGGCAUCUUAAUCAGAAAAACCUAACUCAUUAUAGAGGGGAGUCGAACAGUCUCUAAAAUACUGUGAGUAUGCAUUAUGUAAAAAGAAAAAAAAAAUGAAGAACAGUUCAACCUCAAUCUGCCCAAGAAAAAUAAAUCCACAAAGAAUAUACUGGAAUUUGAAAGGUUCAGACUUUCAUGUGCAAAUUAAGAUAAGAAGGUUGCUUACUUGGAGUGAUGCUAGAAUAUUUGAAAGAGCCUGCCCAUAAGUAUCGUGAAAAUGGACGGCAAGCUUAUCAAUAGGAACAACAUCAAUAACAUCUUCAAGCAUUGGAAUGACAGUACCUAGACAUAGGGAAAGAAAGCAAGAAAUAAUAAAUAAAUCAACAAAGAGAAAAGCACCAGAUAAAAGAAAGCAUUAUUCCUACUCUUAAAAAAAAAAAAAAUUAAGCACAUCUCCUUUCUUAUACUCAAUGCAUAUAUUAACUAUAAUUAAUUUUAGAUUUUCAUGUUCUAGGUCUAUAGGUCAAAAAUAAAUCCAAUGUGUAAAUUUUAUUACACUGACUUCAUCCAAUAACCAUAAGGUAUCCAGUCACAUGUUAAUCCUAUUAUUAUACUAUGUUUUGUAUUAUGCUAUUAAACUCAUUGUUUUUCAAUUAAAAUCCCUUGUUUGCAGAAGUUAGAUUAUUUAUGUAACAUGGACAGUUCCAAAAUUUGUGUUUGUAUAUGCAAGCCAGCAAGCACGCCCAUUUGUAUGUGCAACAAAUAAUUUAAGAAAUCAAUUAAUUUUAAACUGGUGAAAACUAAACCAAAUGUAUACAUAAAUUGUUUUUAAAUUCUGGGCUAUUCCACUGUAAGGAUUUAUAUUAAUGUGAACAUGUGAUGUUUUAGGUUAAAUUAUUAUGUGUAUAAUGUUCUAAAUUAGAUUAUCAUACUUUUGGGUUAUAUAUUAUAGAAGCUCCCAUAUUUUUGAAAAAAGUAUUGGCCCAAUUAUGCCCCAAACCAAAUCAAACUGAUGUUAAGUCGGGUUGGUUUUGGUCAAUAACUAAAUUGGUUCUAAUUGGUUCCAAUUUAUUUUAAACUGACCAACUCGCUUUUAGUCUUGGGUUGGUUAAAAACUAACCUAAACUAAACCGCCCCUACUUGCUGACUACAAAUUUAUUUUUUUCACAUACAAUGUCCCACAAUUUUACGAUGUUUGAAAAACAAGAAAUUUAAUAUGCUUAUUACCUAUUACCAAUCAAAAUUCUAAAUUAAAAUAAAGGGAAAAAAUGGAAAAUAAAAGGUGAGGCUAUUUUUGGUUUCUAGAAAAUAUUGAGGAAAGAAAUAAAAUAUUAAGGAAAAUGAUUUCCUCAUGUUUGAUUUUACCAUGAAAAAUAUAAAAGAAAAUCAAAUAUAAUUAAAUUUCAUUGGAAACUUAUGCAUUUUUAUAUUAUUUAAUCUUCAUAUAUAGAAGAAUAAAAUAAGUUAAAUGUAUUUGAAAUAGCAUGUAAAAACAAUUUAUUAACUUGAAAUCUAUUUUUCAUUUUCCUUCAAUUUUUCUCUCCUACUUUUUCUCCCUAUAUCUUCUUUUCCUUACAUUUUCCUUCAAAUUUUCCGGGAACCAAACAUGGUAUAAGAGAAGUUAGAGAACGACCUUAGUAUUCAUAAAAAAGUCAUCUAAAAAAUAACUUUGAACAAAAAAAAAGAAAAAAAGAGCCAAAUUGAGAAAGAACAAUGAAGCUAAAUCAACAAAACUGUUCAGAAAGUUCUCAAAGAGGGAAAGGAAGAAAGCUAAACCGUUGCUAGAGAGAUUUGCACACACAAAUUUCUAUUAAAGAAAAAUUGGUGGCCAAACUGAAAUUUUAUUAAUUUUAAGGAAUAGAGAUUAAAUCUCUAUCUUGCCUUUUGAUUCUUCUAUACAAAAGGAAAUAAUGUUUGAUACGAGGACUUGAACACUUAAUUUUCAAUCGAAAACAUUUAAAACUUGAUUUUGAAGAACUUGAAUGUGUUCUUGAGAACUUCGAACCUUCAAACUUUUUCUUAAAGAAUCUUCUAAUCCAUAACUUGAUCUUAAAGAGUUUUCAAAUUUGGACUUGAAGAUCAAAGACAAAGCUUGAAUAACUCCUGAAGCAAUCUUUCCAACUCUGCUCUUUUGUUGUCUUUUGACUUUUCUUGAGAGCUUUGGAAUGAGCCCUAUUUAUAGGGAUUAAAAGCACCGCAUUUGCAUCCAUUAAAAUAUUAUUCUUUAAUUAAAAUAAUGUUUAAGAAGAUUUGAAAGAGCAUUUUUCCUAGUCUUUUAUCAAAAAAAAAAAUUCCCUAGUCUUUAAUUUCUUUCUUAACAAGACUUGAUAAUUAUUUUUUCCAAUUAUCAAAUUUACCAUUUUUGUCUAUUUCUAACAAUUAUAUUUUACUCAUCAGAAUAUAUACUUUUUUAUUUAAAUGGAUGACAAAUUGUAUAGUUCUUUGUCCAGGGCCUAUGUUACACAUGACAUUAUUCUAUUGAUAAAAAAUUUAUGCUAUGUAACAAUUUUUAAUAGGUCACAAUUUAAAUUAAUUAUGAACAUUUGAUUUUUCUGUUAGUCCAUAAUUAACUUAAUUUGAUUAUAUGAUAAAUUAUAAGGUCCAAAUCUAAGACUUAAUGGAUUGAACUUGUUUGUAAAUAAUAAGCCUUGGCUUAUGUUCCCAAGCCUUUGCAAAAUUUUACACCAUUUAUACUAUGUUUCAAGAGUUUCUAGUAAGUUUCCGUUCCUUUAAAAACACAAAUGACAUGUUAAAAUCAAAAUCAAUAGUUUGUGUGAGGUACUAUCAUGAGGUUGCAAAAGCUCCUACACUUGGCAAUUUAUUAUUUCGGUAAUGACUUUACAAUGCAAAAAUUGACAUAUUAUUUCUUAUUUAUCACACAAGGAACCUAACCACCAUUUGACAAAUAGAAAAAACAAAAGGCAGUUUUAGACAUUACCAGGAGUACCAACACCAAUAGUAUCGCCAAGGGAAAUUUCAUAGCAACCCAUAUCAUAAAGUUCUUUACCCACAUAUGUUACUUUUGAUGGAGAUACUACUCCUUCCAGUGGACAACCCACAACGCACGAUAUGUAUCUGAGAACAUCAAGGACUAAUUAUUACCCUUCUAUAUAAAGCAAGAAAUUGAAUUAAAAUAGAAAAGUACUAAUUAGUUUUCAUGUCAUACAUCUAGCCACUUCUUUUCAAUGAAAGGUUACAAAUAGAAAUCAACAAUAAAACACAAAGGUUAAAAUAUAUUUAGAUUCUUUACAAAUCAUCCUUUUUUUUUAUGCCAAAAAAUAGUUACAACUCAAAAGAUAGUCCUUCGGCAUAUAAAUUUUAUUUGAGGACAUCAAAUGAAGAGAAAGAGAGUAUAGAAUUUUAAAAGAUAAAAGAUAAAUUUAUCUAGGGGGUAACAAUAAAACGGUAAAGGAAAUAGUCAAAGGUUGAUAGAUAGUAAAUCUCAUCUCUGAGCCAUCUCCAACAAGGUGCUCAUUUCUAAGCAUCUCAAUCGAUGAAUCAAAUCAGAUGGAAAGAAAAAAAAAAAAACAAUUCACAAUGAAGCUUUGUCAUCUAAAUAACUGAACAGAAAGAGAUUUUACUAGACACCAAGUCUCUUCAUUUGAUGGAAUACUGAAUUUAUCUUGUUUCUUUGAGAUGCAAAAUACACUGAAAAAAUGAAAUAUUAAACUUUAUACAUUUUCAAGCUCCAACUCUCUUCUUUUCUUUUUUCCAAGUGAAUAAAGUUAAGAGAGAUUUGGAGAAAAAAUUUAUUGGGUUCAAACCACCCUUCUGUUUUCCUUUUCUUCCUUUUCCCUUCACUAGUUAUUUCCCCCAAAGUUUCCAAAACCUGAAAUUUGGAGCCUAAAAGUGAUAAAUAUGUAGUAAAUGAAUGAAGAGGACAAAUGUUGCUUAUGCAGAUCUCUUUUUUUCUUUUGGGUGAUUAGGAGUGUGUUUGGUAGUGUUUCUAUUUGAAGUACUUUGAGUUGAAGUGCUUUCUCUAGAAGUGUUUUUUCAGAGAAUUGGCUAUCAAGUGCUUCUCUAAGAAAUAUUACAAAUGAUUUUUCAACUUUUUAAAAUUACUUCACAAAUUUAGCCAAACGCUUAAUUUUUCUUCAAAAACAUUUUUUAUGCUAGAAGUGUUUUCCAAAAGCACCACCAACGGACUCUAAGAGUACCUAUCAGGAAAUGAAAAUUCUCAUGCCAGCUAUGCUUUAUGGUAUAAAAUACUACAAAAAAUUGUAGGCAAAAAGAUGAGUAGCCAAAGUGAAGAUUCAGGUGUUAAGAUGGACAAGUGGCAAUACAAGAAGAGGGUGGAAACAAGAAAUGAUAGAUUCAUGAGGAGCUAGAGAAUGGCACAAAUGGGAGACAACAUCAGGAAAAGUCAUCUACUAUGUGUGCAAAGAGGAUCAAUAACACACCAUUAAGGAGAAGACUUUUUAUUAAAAUUCUAGACAACAGAACGCACGACAUAUGAGGUAUAUAUUUCUUCUGCAGAUAACAGUUUCUGUCAUUUGUGUAACAUAGAUAUAUUUAUCUCUCUAUUUUAAUCAUCUCCUAAGAGAAAUUUAUGAUAUUUUCACUACUCUUAAACUACUUUAUAAUUAUAAAAUAUAUAUGAGUAGAAUUUAUUGAAUCAACUUGCCUAAAAAAAUUAAAAGAGUUUAUUAAAUAAACUUAGAAGAAAUGAGAAGCUGAAAUUGAGUUAGAAGACAUACCCACGAACAGGGAUUGAGAGCUUUCUAGCAGCAAGAGCAACAUCACGGUAACGAGUGAGACUAUCUUCAAUGCUACAAUUGAUGUUUGACUUUGAAAAUGACUCAGAAGCAGAGGCAAAGAUGGCCACUUCCUUAGCUCCAGCUGCAACAGCUGCUUCAAAGCCCUAAAACAAAACAUUACCAAAAUCAGCAAUUUCAUCCAAACAAAUUGAACAUCAGGUUACAAGUGCAAAUUCAUCCAUAAAAGACAGCUUACUUUAAGAUUAGGUGUCAACACAGGAAAUCUACCACCUUCAACAGUUCGAAUGGCUUCCAUUACAUCCUUUGCAUCUGCUAGCUGUAAUUUAAUCAUGAAAAGUUCAAACAGGCAGACUUAUAUUUUGUUUGGGAGGAUAAUCCAAAAAAUGAGAAAACAUAAUAGUAGAUACGAGAACACAAGUUAGGACACCCGUAGUAGUUAAAAACUUAUGAUACACAAUAGAUACAAUAAUAUGAUACAUUUUUUAUGAAAAUCGAUAUAUUUCACAAUCUAUUUCAUAUAUUAAUCAUAGCUUAAGAUACUUGUGAUGCGAGAUAUAAUGAUACAACAGCACACACCUUUAACUAUUUUUCAUAAUUUUUAAGAAAAAUCAUAUUCAAAAGUUUUUUUUCUUAAAAGAAGCAUUAUAUUAAUUGCUUAAAAUGUUCUAUAACAUUAGAAAUUGAUCAUAAAAAGGUGAGAGAAGUAAAAUAAUCUUAUAUAAAAAGCUACAUUCUUGUUGUCGAAACUCAUGUUAGAAGUUAAAUAAAUUUAUUCUUACAAUGAAUAUUGGAGAAUUUCCAUUUCAAUGAUUUGAAUUUUAAUAUUGAAAAUGAUCAUAAUUGAUGAAUAAAAUUUUUUACUUAAUCUAUUAGUUUUGUGAAUAUUAAAAGUUGAAACUUUGGAGAUGACAUAUGACAUAUAUAUAUAUAUAUACACAUAAGUACAUAUGUUUAGUAAAAUUUGGAAUUAAAAAUUAUAUCUAAAAAUUUUAAAAGCUUUUUUUUUGUGAAUUUUGUGAUGAACCUAUAUAUUAAACUCAUAUUUUGUUAAAUGGAACUUUUUAAAACCCUAGUAUUCAAUGUUUUCAUACAAUAUGAUAUAGUUUAAAAACUUAAGAUACAUUAUUCAAUACGAUACACAAUACAAAAAAUAGAAAAACAAUGCACGAUACAUUUUAUAAGUUGACAACUAUGAGGAUAUCUAUAAAAAAAGGGAUUAUCAAAAAAUUUGACUUUAAGAUCCAAAUCCAAUGAAGCACAUUAAUUUAAAGAUGCUGGAGAAAUUGAAAGAGGAUACACCACCAGACAGGUAGAAGAAACACAAAACAUAAACACAUACUUAUAUAGAAACCAAAAAAAGAAAAAGGAAAGAAAUAAAAAACAGAGAGAACGAGAGAUAGGGAUGGAGGGAGAGAACAAGCAAGAUAUGUUACAAACAAGUAGCAAAAAUAAUGGCCUUACAAAGCAAUGUUUAGCAGUCAUUGUGAUAACAAGAAAGGAAAAGCUUCUCCUUGAUGCUGAUAUUCCUUCUCUUGCAUAUGAAGAAAAAUUUAAAAUUUUAUGCUCAAAUAUAAAGUUUAUCAAUAGAGUUUUAAGAAAAAUAGCUGAAUUUGGUGGACUACAAAAUGUGCCUCAUUAACAAUCAAAAAGUCAAAAAAAAAAAAAAUCAAACAUGCCCCUGUUAUAUAUACUCACAUCAAUGGGUACAAACACCUAAGGAAGAAAUGAACAUUUGUUUUCCAUUUGUAAAAGCCAACUGGAUUUUGCCAUGCAACUAAAAUGUUUUCAGUAAGUAAUACAAUAUUCAUUUAAACAAAAUAUUUCUUACUAAAAAAGAAAGUAUUGUUUGAAUCAAAUCUUAAUUGACCAAUUAAUGCUAAUGAAGAAGUAGCAUACAACAAGAGAGAUAAGCACAAAAGUUUUGCCCACAAUUGGCACUAACUAGUUGUGAAAAAUAGCUAACUCAACCUAAAUAAUCAUCAAGAGGUGAGGGUGAAUUGGUUGAAGGGCAAUUUUACAAGAUUUUACAAUUAGACAAUGAAAAUAACAAGAACAAAAAUAAUGAGCAAUUAAAACAAGACAAGAUAAGAUGAGCGAAGGAAGAAGAAUUGUUAACUCUAGUUUAUAGUGGUUUGGCCCAAACCCUGACCUAUAUCCACUCUCCUCAAACUCCGAUCGAGUGAGAGUUCUACUAGUUUCAAGGCUUCAAUCCAAGCCUUCAAUGUGUACAAUUGGAUUAUGGUGUCAAUCCACCUUUGACAACUCUUCUCAAGUAGUAAACCUCAAUUGAACAACACAUCAAUAAUUUGAAAGAAGUAAUGAAAGGACAAUACAAUCCUAAUGAACAAUAAUGGCUCAAAAAUUACAAUGAAACUAGGAUUGGUUUAAGGUGCACAAGAGAAUUAGAAUGUACUCAAGAGCUUUCAAUGAGACUUUUGGUAGGUUAGCAAUUGAAUACUCAUGAUCUCAUGUGUAUAAAUUCUCUUAAAAAUUUCAAUUUAUAGCUCGACAACUUGAAAAACCCAGAACCCACAACUUGGAUAGGACCGACUUACUAGUCAUUGAGCAUUUAAUGCCCUAACAGGUGACUGUUAGAGGUCCAGGAGCUCAACCAAUCGAGGCUUCUGCCUCAAUCGAUUAAAGCAGCCUUUUGGGCCCCAAGCGCACAAAAGUACCACCUUGACUACUCAAGCCAAACCAGCUCAUUCGAUUCCCCUGCACCUCGACCAAAUGAACUAUUGUUGCAAAUUUGAGACCAAAUCAAGGCAAGGAAACAUUAGGAAGGCUUCCAACACACUUCAUAAAUCCUUUAAUUCCCAGGUUAUUGAAAAACAUGAAACCAUCCAAUUUUAUGAAAAUAUAUUCAAUUUAAAACGCAUAAAGGAUGAUUUUAAAAAUGUUAAGUGCGUGAAUGAAUUGAUUUAACCCUAGUGCACCAACAAAUCCAAUCUUACAAAGGUUCCUAGGACUUCAACAAGACCUAGUCUUCAUAACACAAAUCGUCUAUUGAUUGAUCCUUGAAUUUGCCUUGAUUCCUUCAAAACCUGAAAUAAUAAACUUAAUUGAACUAUUAGUACCAUUAACCUCAUUUUAUUAUCAUCAAAACUCCAUUAAGGGAAGCCUUGGGCCAACACUAGCCUUAUAAAAACCUUUCUGAGCUUAUUCAUAUAACCCCAUGGUGGUUGUGCUUGAAAUAAAUUAGCAAAGGUAGAAAAAUGGUAAAGGUUACAUGAAUCUUGUGUAUAACUUCAUCCUAUGUUGGGUUUCUUCUUCUGUUGAAGUGUAUAUCUUGAAUCCUAGUCCUUUUGAGGUCCCCAUGUCUUUUAAGGUUUUCAAUUAACACAAAGAGAGUCCUUACCACUGCCACUUUUUGUCUUAAGGCACUCCACAAACCAACCUGGUAACUUUUUUUCCUCAGAAAAAACUAAGAUUAAUUGAUUUUGCCUUGUCUUUCAAAUCCAUCUCUACUUGCUUACUGUCUGAAUUUGUUUCAGCUCCAUAAAGCAAAGUAUUCCCUCACCACCAUAUCAUAUAUUUUUGUCCAAUUUCACUUAUCUAGCUCCUACAAAAGGACAAGCCAUCUUCACAUCAGCUCCCUUGCAAAUAAACCAAAUACCCUACUCUUCCACUUAUAAUUAAUAAUGCACUUCAUAAGAGUAAAAAAGUAAGAGACUUUGAUUUCAAAAUCCUUCACUAGAUAGGGAGAAACCAGGCAACUUAAAAUUAAUAGUUGGAGGUAGUGGGAUGAAGUUAUCCUCUAAAAAACUGCCUUCUUCUUACAUCAACUACUCCCUUUUUUUCUCAAAGAGUAGAAGUAAUUCUACACUUGUACCGCAUAUCAUGUGUGCCACAUCCUCUAGUAUAUUAGUACUAAAGUAAUAAGCUACCCAGCUCCAUGAUGAGAUAGAACUUAUUUGACAAGAUGAUCCAACCAUAAUAACAGAACAGCCUUUGUCCUUAUCAGACCUCCUAGUCUGCUUCCAUGCCUGUGGUGAUCAUCAAAAAACUUCUCACAAGUCAUAACUUAUUUCAUUAAAAAGUUCUAAACAUUUUUUACAGUUCUGAAAAUCCUAAAUCACUAUCAAACAGCCAUCUAUAUCUCUUAUUAUUGCUUAAAUAUAUUUCUACACUUGAGCAGUCAAGAAAUAAAUUUUCACAUAAUUGGCUCCAAGAUCCAAUGUAAAAUAUACAUCUAACAACUAACAUCAUAGGUUAGGGUCUUGAUUAACAUCUAAAACACACUCAAAUGCAGAAGAUAGCUAGCCACAUCACAGAAUAUAAAACAAAAAUAAAAGGCCCAAUUAUUUAUUUAUUUAUUUUGUUGCAAACACAAGAAGUUGAACAAAAAGGAGAAACUUCUUAGCAAAGUUAAGGUAACAAGGCUGACAAAUCUAUGCAAAAAUGAACAUACAGAAUAGGCAUGCAAAGCAAAUGACUUUACAAGAAGGUUGACUAUCUCCCAAAAACUACCAAAGCCUACUUUACCUGUGGCACCCAUUUUGGUGAGACAAAACUUGUAGCCUCUACAAUAGGCAAUCCUGAAGAAACUAGCAUCUUAAUCAGCUCAACCUUUACAACAGUAGGCACAAUGUCCUUCUCAUUUUGCAAUCCAUCUCUGGGACCAACUUCCACAAUCUUCACAAAUCCUGGCAUACUUCUUAGCAACUGCAAGACAUCAUGUAAACUUUUAGACUACACAAUUCCUGUAUUUAAAAUAGAAAACCACCAAACCUUGAGACUUGCAUAUAUGUCCAGAAAAAUCUGAAAAAAUGUGGUAUAUAUUAUUGAAAUUGUCAGCCUUUGAACAUGUGUGAAUACUCAUAGCCAGAAUAUUACAGAUGUUUCUUAUAUCAGCAUGAAAUUACAGAUUUGGCUCAAAAUAAAGUCACUAAAGAAUCUAAUUCACUGAGCAAGGACUCAAACAAUGACCCUACAAAUAAAGAAAAGAAAUAGACAAAGUUUAUAACUCCUUCCCUCUUUUUCUUUAUAAUAAGAUUUCCACUUAUCCACCAAUAAUAGAAAGUCUACAUGAGAUGUAAUGCACCUUAUUAUCCCUUGUGCAUUCAUCAUUGCAAUGGGAGCUAUAAGGACGAUCUGUCAAAUAACAAGCAUCAGGAACACUUCGAAAUACUCUAUGAUUUCUACUCAUGUUUGCAGGUGUACGAUUUAAGAAAUCCCCCCGUGACACAUUCCUCAUUUGUCUUCUCCAAGGGCAUACUUCUUCUGUAUACUCAUAACUGCAAAAGAAUAACUUAUGAAUGUUCUAGAUAACCAAAUCAAAUGUCUAGAAUUUAUUUGACAUGGAAUUUCCCAUCAAAAAAGAAAUCCCCUGGGAGUCACCCCAGCCAUGCUAGCAAUAGAAAAGGCCACAACUCACAAGUCAAAGGAAAAUGAAUAUCCAUAGUCUUUUCGCUCACUCUACACAUGGCACACAAAUCAAGAGUGAGCACUCUAUUGGGCCAUUUAACCUGAAGAUUCAUAUUGGUACUUACCCUCUACCUCUCCUGCUGAUAAUAUGAAGAAAAUUUCCAUGCAAGAAGGAAUUUCCCGGGCAGCUACCCCAACAUUACCACUCAAUAGAAAAUGCACUGCCAUAACUCUUAAGAUAAAGGGAAAUGAAUACCCAUUGUCUCCUUAUUCACUCUACACAUGGCACACCAAUCAAGAGUAAGUGUUCUAUAGCAUCCAAAGAACCUUAGGAUUGAUAUUGGUAUCAUCCUUUUCUCAAGUUACCAACCACUCAUUUCUUUAGUUUUCAGGGAACUUUGCCUUCCCAAAUCAACUCACUAUACAAAAGAAAUAGACCACUUGACCCAUGGAGGGAAGGAAGGAAGGAAGGAAAGGACUUAAUGACUAAUGGCACAAUUUUGUUUUUUGAUCCCAGAAUUAGAAAAUUAAGCUUUUGGAAGGCUCUGAAACCUGAAAAAGAAGAAUGAAAGAAAUGGAAAGGGACUUCAGAAUUCUUCGUACAUGAUUCAUGAGCUGUCAAGCACUGUCAUAGCACAUCAGGCAGUGGUAAUGAACAUCUCGGUGUUUUAAUCUGUGAGGCACACGCAAACAUAUAUACCUGUACAUAAGGACAACUGAAUAGAAACGUGGAUUUUAGCAUCUAAUAUCCUUACAAAAGCCUAGAAUUUAUGAAAAUAGGGGACACAUGGGUGCGAAUGUGACAGUUGACUGUGAUAAAUCAAAAUUAAAGUUUCUUUGUGAUUUACCAGGCAAGCAUGUAGAUGGAAACAAAUUUAUUAAAAAAAAAUAGAGAAAUAAAAUAAAGAAUGUAGAAGAAAAGAUUAAAAAAAAAAUUGAAAAUACAUUUUUAUGCCAACGUUCAAGCAAGAGUUAAGAAGAUUUUAAUCAGAGGGCUUCAGGUUUAUAGACAUAUGCUUACUUGCUAUUUUUUGGAGAGUGAAGGCUCGACCCUUCAACCCAGCAAUCUCCGAUUCCUGUACCAUUUUCUCUGAUCAUGCAAGGAUUAGAGGAAAACAUUUUAACUUUAUCACCACCAAAUCUUGAAAGCUUGCCAAAAACAGCUGGCUCCUCCAAAUUUGACAUUAUUGGAAUAGAAGUACAAGAAAAGAAACUUCUCAACCGUAAAAAUUUAUCCAAAGCCUUCACUGAUAGCAUCUGAUCAACAACACAAAAAUGAAAAAACUGAUUAGUCUCUGGAGUAGAAGAUCUAACCCUUUAUUUACGUACCUUGAAAACAAGGAAAGGAUGAAAAGGUAUUUAUGAACGAUCAAGAAAAAUUCCAAGCACGAUAUGUUAUCAAGGGAUGAAAGUAGUUUUAAGUAACACACUUCCAAAUAUUAACUUUCCUACAGCAGUCACAAAGUUUACACCAAUACUGAAGUUUAAAAACCUUCUGUGCUACUUCGGCCGCCAAGAAUUACUUCAGCUUCUACCACAUCCGAUCCAAACUCGAUGUUUCGAACUGAAACAUCAUAAUAACCAAAUUUAGAUUAGUUUUUUUUACGGAAAAUCUUAUGCGAGAGAGAAAAUGGUGCCCUGUACAACAAUUAAAGAAACAAAGUCUUCUAUCCCCCUUACUCUAGUGACAAAUAAAAAAUCAUUUUUAAAAACCAGAAUUAAUGCUGUAUACUUUCAUUGAGUCAUUAGAAUUCCAUUAGCGCCCUGUAAACAAAAAAUAAUUUACUUUCGGAGUUGUGGCAAUGAAAGAUUGUAGGGUAAGGAUCUCUGGUCUAAAAUUGAAUUUUCAAUUUCAAAUAUCAGAUUGGUUGUCUCACAAUUUUCGUUAACGCAUAAGUAGGAUCAUAACAAAUCGUGCCCUAAAGCACUUACCAGUUAGAUCCGGGAAAAAUAUGUGAUCUCUUCACUGAUUCACUGCUAUUUUGAUUAAUCAAAUCCGAUGUUUGAUUGCUGAGAAAAUGGGAGAGAAAAAAAAACAUUCAUUCAAGAAACCUCGUAGGAAUAUCUUAUCAGAUAGGACGUUAUGGUAAACAAAAGGAAUGUAAGGAAAAACGUAAGCGACUUAGCUGAUAACUGCCUUGCGAUGAGGCGCCAAUCUCCGGGAGAAAGGGCCGGCCCGGUCGUGGCUUGGGUGGGCUUGGGCACCCAGUGAAAUUCUUUUUAAUGAAAACAGGGUUCAUCCGGCGCAGAGAUUAAAAUGUGGGAAAUUACCAAAAUAUUGGUAGGUGUAUUUUAUAAAAAUUCUGAAAAAAAAAAUAAUUAAAUGAAAAUAAUAUAUUUCUUUGGCUUUCUCCACCAACCAAUACCAUUACCAAAAAUCUUAAAAUAUUAUAUUUUCCUAAAUUUCUUUUAACUUCUCUGAAUUUCUUUCUAAAAUAAACAAAUUUCAUAUCAAACAACACUUAAUAAAAAAAUAUUAUCAUUCUUUAAAAAUAAUUUGAAACUUAAAAAUUAAUUUAAUUAAUAUUAGAAAGUCAUAAAACUCAAAACUAAUCAAAUUAACAUUAAAAAGUCACAUGCCUAAAUUCAUUUUGAGUAACAUUUUUAAUUUUUCUUUUAUAUAUAAUCAUAAUAUUGUCGGUUUUUUUAUUAUGCAAAUAAACUCAAAUUUAAGCGUGUUGAUUUGCUAAAGGGCUUAGUUAUUUUUUAAAAUAAUUUAAAACUCAAUUAGUGACUUAAUAAAUAUUUAUAGACAAAAAUUAGUUUAAAAUUGUUUUUUUUCUUAAACAUAUUUUUUCAAUUAUUUAUAAAUUAAAAAAUAAAUUUCAAAUCAAGGCAAUCUUUGUAUUAAAUUUAUUAAUUUUAAAAAAUAAUUUAAAACUUAAAAAAAAAAUAUAUAUAUAUAUAUAUAUAUAUAUAUAUAUAUAUAUAUAUAGUACCUAUAAAAAAUGAUAACCCAAAACCAAUGUAUUAUAUGUCAUAACUCACUAUUUCUCACAUACAUAAUUAUAUCUUCUGAAUUUUCUCACUAUAUAAAUAAAUUCUAAACUAAAUGUAAAAUUACUAAUAUUUUUAAUUCUUUAAUAAAUUUUAUAAUUUUUAAGAAUAAUUUGAAGUGUAAAGAGUUUAUUAAUUAAUUACAGAUUAAAUAAAAAAAGUUAGAAUACUUUAUGUACAUGAGUACCAAAUGUAUGCAUGUAAUAAAAAGUUUGAUUCAUAUGUCCCUUAAAAAAUUAAACUUUAUUUAUUUUUAAAUUUAUUUAAAAUAAAAUAAUAUCACCAAUUAUUAUUAUUUAUUUUUAACAAAAUAAAUCAAAUAUAUUUUCAUAAGGAUGUUAAUAUCCAUAUUUUGAUAAUAUUUACAAAAAAAAUAUAUAAUUUAUAAUUUUAUUAAAGCAUUACCAUUCAUUUUUUUAUUAAAAAUUAUUUAUUUAAAUUAUCUUUAAUUGUAAAAUUAUUUUCAAAAACAAUUUACCCUAAUAAUUUUUUUUAUUUUUUUAAAAAAUAUAUAUAUAUUUUUAAAAACAAUUUACAUUGAGAGAAUUAAAACGCCUUAUAUUAUAGAUAAAUUAAUAAAUGAGAUUUUAUUUUUAUUAUUAUUAUUAUUUAUUUUAUUCAUAUAAUCACUUAAAUUAUCCAAAUAUGAGAAUGAAUAAAAAAAGAAAAAGGAAAUGAGAAAAGUGAUGAAACCAUCCUCCUCGACAUUCUUCUUGUAAAUUGACGUGCAAGAUUUAUUUAUUUAUUUGCAUUUUAAAAACCAAUGUGAAAUUUGUCUUUUGAUUUUGAGCAUCCAUGAUGCCGAUACGUACAUUUCAAUUACCACAUGAAGGAGGAAGUUCAAUCUUAAAUACCGGACAUCAAGCAGAAACCACUACACUCAGUAGAUGCAGAUUUUAAUAUUCAAUGGGUUCAUUCCAAUUGCCACAUUAUUUUCAGCAACCAGAACUCAAAAAAUGCCACACAAAUAACACGAUUAUAAGGAUAUGGGGGAUUGGAUACCUUAUUUUAUUUCCCAGUACAAUUUUGAGACAAUCAAAUUAUGAGCUGCAGAGUCCGUAAUCCAAUAAAGGAGCUUUGGAGUCUAUGGUGGUGUACCGGGAUGAACCAUCACCUUCCAAAUUAAAAUUCUAGGGCUAUACCACAAACAGAAUUCUGAGAUGUACUGGGUAUUACAUGAUGAAUAACCCAAGAAAACCAGUACCGCAGAAGAGACUCAAAGGGAAGAGAAAAUGGGGACACCCGGCAGGGUUGCACCUGCAUCGACAAUGAAAAUGUUACCUGAUAUGUAUCGUGAAGAAUCAUGAAUCAAGUAUCGCACCAGGGAUGUCAAUGCAGGGUCCGAUGUUCCAAAGGUCCGCAUAGGGCAUGUUCUCUGAGCCACAGUGUUGAGCCAGUCUUUUUGCAUAAGGCCCGAAGUUAUCUCUGAUUUGAAUAGUCCAGGUGCUAUUGCAUUCGCUCUAAUAUUGUAUGCCCCCAAUUCCAGAGCCAUUACCUGGAAUUGUCAUUAUUUGGAAAAAAAAAAAAAUCAUUCUUCAGUGCCAGACUCAGAUGAGUGAGUAGCAGUGUAGGAAUAAAGGUUCUACAACAUUUUUGUAUGGAAAAAUAGUUGAAAAUGGCAGGAAAUAUACAAUAAAAUGUCAAAUCGAAAUAAGUAUAAUGCCAUAUAAACACAAGCCCUUAACCAGAUUUACAGAAAAUGGCUUACAUCUUGGAUGGACAAACUGUACGAAUCAUGCAAGGGAUAGGCUCCCAUAUUAAAAUGACUCUGGGAUCAUAAAUAAACAAAUGUUUAAGAGGCGUCCCCGUUACAUAGUGCAUAAAAACUCAGGCACUACAUCCAACUAUCGAAGUCAGACAGCCAACAAAGGUGAUCUCUAACUUCAAAACAUAGACAGCAUAUGAAAGAAGGCUGGUUAGUGGAAAUUUUAAACAAUGAAUCCUGCAGUGACGGUCCACUUAAAAUGUAGCUUCGUCUAAGAAUGUGUCAGUCCACAACUUCAAAAAAUGUUGGAAAGCUAACAUCCAUUGAAGCACAGCAUUCUUUCUUCCUGAUUUUAAAGUCGGAGGUUGUUGCACCUUUGAUUUACAAAUUUUUGCUAGCAAAUAUGUCCUUAUGGGCAUGGAGGAUUUAAUUGUGCAGGAAUGAAACAGAAAACAAGUCUUUUCUAUGAAGUGUCUCUUUUGAUUACUUAGUUGAUAGAAAUCUUUAAUCUUCCCUUUGCAUCCAGGGACACUCUAAUGGCUUCGAGAGAAAAACUGCAUUGAUUUUACCAUCUUCCUUGCAUUCUGGGGAAAAAUUCAGAGGAUAUUCGUUGGCUUUCUACAUUUCCAUUUUUUCCAUUAUGAGGAGAAUUAUACUACAAUUUUUCCACUUAUUCUCAGUUUAUAUUAGCUGAGAAAAAAUAAGAAAAGAAAAUAAUGGAAAUUUAGAAUCCAAAAUUUUUAAAUAUUUGGGAUUGGAGAAAACAGAAACCUACACUCAACCAAGCUUGUAUGGUGGGUUAGUCUGGUUGAGUUUCCUAUUAUAGUUGGAACAAACAUGAAAUGGCUAGGUUGUGUUAUACAUUGGAUGAGACACACCCAUGUUAACGUCAUAGUAUUAGAUCUUGGAAUCAUCUCUCAAAAUGUCAUGAGAUAACUUUUUGGGAGGGCAAAUGUGAUUGAAAUUUCAAAAUCAUGGCUGGAAGAAUAGUAGCAAGGGUAAUGGGUUUGUCAAUACUUUUUCCAAUAUUUCAAGCAUCUCUUCAGAUACAACCAUUGGUACUAUUGAAAAUACUGGAAGAAGGAACAUGAUGCAUCAUGUAUUAAUCAUUUCAGCAGAGCCUCAUAUGUUACGUGGUUGAAGACCCUUAUAUCCUUCAUCAUUUCUUCUUUAUUCUCCCUUUACCUUCUCAUCCUUCAUUCCUACAAUCCCUUCUCUGACAGGAUUUCCAAGAUGCCCAUAAGAAAAGCUCAAAUAACAGUCAUUCUUAAAGCCUGACCCAUUAUCUCCAGUCUUUUAUCUUUUGCCAUUCUGAUCACACAUUCUACCCCACCAAGCAGAUAUCUUACAGUAUUUCACAACACAAUUCUGAGAUUUAAAAAAUUAGAAAAUACCAAAAUUCAAUUAUAUAUCUGCACCCUAUUAGCCCAAAUAAAUGGCAUUUCAACAGUAUGGUGUAUAAUCCCAACCCUAGGAUGAAACAUUAUAUCAGCUUUCUGGGCUGCCACUCUGAUGAGUCAAGCUCAAGCUGGCCAGAGCUCAGCUUGUUGAUAGUUUAGACCAGCUUAAGAUUGGGCUGACCUCAAUCACACAGAGUGGGCUGAGAUCACCUGUAGGCUCAGCCCAACAUCUUAACCUGAGCUUAAGUACAAUGUUCACCUCAACCACACCCUGCUCCAACAUGCCUGUACCUGUCAAUCCUGCUACAAACAACUCCACAAUUAUGUGAAUGCUGAGAAUCCAUUCAUUUGGCCCUCUCCUUCAACAACCUUAGGAAACUUUCCUCUAGUAAGAAAACUAUUAGAUUUGCCUAGUAAAACAAAAUUAAAGCCUCUAACACUUGAGUCAAAGCAAUAGGGAAUUGAAGUUAUGAUUUUUAUUUUUUUUUAAUUUAAGAUAGAAAUCAUCUUGUGUAAUUGCUCAUUUAUUUUUCCUUCUUGCUCGGGGAGGGAGGAGAGAUUGUAUGCUUUUUUUUUUAUGGUUGUUCAGCAGAGUUUCCAGAGAACAUUACAAAUAGUUCAAGGGGAAUGGAGGCAGUUGCAAGGAGGAAGGAGGAGAGUUUGUCAGUGGGACUUUCUGUAGAAUGUUUGGAAGGGGUGGAGUCAAUGGCAAAUUUGUAUGAUAGCAAAUUGGAGAAGUUUAGCAAGUUCUUGGGGAUGCCUGUGCAUGGGUUUGAAAAUAAAAUUCUGCUUUUGCUGAAAAGGAUGGAGGCUCGUAGGAGUUCUAGGGGCUUGACCCUAGGGAGUAAGAGGAAGUUUAGGCCUGACAAAAAUAGAUAUAGAGCACAAAGAAGUUGGCGUGUUCAGUCAAUUACAAAGGGUCUUCAAGCAAGGAAGAGUGGAAAGAUUGGGUGGGAGUUAGUUCCUGUUAGAAAAUGAAAUUGAAGAUUCUUUCUUGGAAUGUUAAGAGGGAUAAACGAUGGAGAGAAACGAAAAAUUAUAAAAUCCCUGAUUAGAUCUCAAAGGGCUAAUUUGGUGUGCUUACAGCAAAAUAAGAUGUCGUGGAUGUCAAUUAAGAUGGCAAGGAGCCUAGGGGUGGGCAGAUUCUUAGACAGGAGAGCAAUGGAAGCCAGGGGUAUUGUUAGGGGAGUUGUAGUCAUUUGGAAUAAUAGGGCUCGUGAGCUUAUAGAGACAAAGGUCGGUGCCUACUCCAUCUUCUGUCACUUUAAGAGCUAUGAGGAUGAUUUCAUAUGGUUUUUUACUCAGGUGUAUGCCCCUAUGCUUAGAGAGGAGAUGGAAGAGUUUUAGGCUUAACUGGCUAACAUUAGAGAUCUCAGGAAUAAUCCUCGGCGUGUUAGGGGAGACUUCAACAUGGUCAGAUUUCCUGAUGAAAAGAGGAAUUGUUCCAAGAAUUCUUCAGUAAUGAGGUGUGUUUGUCUGAGAUAAUUGAGGAGCUAAAAUUGCACGAUUUGCCAUACAUGGUGUGAAGGUUAGAAUAAUCACUCUAUGUCGAGGGUGGAUCAGUUUCUUGUCUCAAAGGAUUAGGAGAGUCAGUUUAGUGGCAUUCUUCAUAGGUUUUGCCCAAGCCAGUCUCUGAUCAUGCCCCUAUUUUGUCGUGGGGGAUGGGAGGAGAGUAAUGUUUUGGUUAGCGCUCUAAGGUGGUAAAGGAAGGUUUUAAAGUUGGUUAGUGAAAAGCCAUUAGGAGAAAUUGAGAGGCUUUUAAAAGAAGAAUUCACUUUGCUGUGGGGGAUGGGAGUAGAGUAAUGUUUUGGUUGGAUAGGUAGUAUGGUGAACCAUUGCUGAGAGAAUCUUUUCUCACAUUAUUCGCCGUAGCAAACUCAAAAGAUGCAUAGGUAGCAGAUAUGUGAAAGCAACAGGGGGAGAGGGGUCAUUGAAGCCCACACUUUCUUAGACAAUUUCAUGAUUAUGAGUUAAACAUGGUGGAGGUCUUUUUGUAGAAACUUCAAAAGUAAGCAGUGAUUUGGGGACUCUGAGGAUAAGACAGCUUGGUUAGAUUCAAAGAUUAGGAAGUUAUCAGUUAAAGCAUUCGACUCAUUUUGGGUACCAAGAGAUUAAGAGCCUUUCGUAACCUCGAUUGUUUAGAACUCAUGGGUCCCAAUAAGGGUGGGAUUUUUUGCAUGGGAAGCAAGGUGAGAAGAAUAUUGACUUUGGACUAGUUAAAGAGGAAAGAAGUAUCUUUAGGGAACAGAUGUUAUGCGUAAAAGGGAAGAGGAUUGUUGAUCACAUUCUUUUAGAUUGAUCAUUAGCCAAAAUCAUGUGAUAACCAAUUUUUUUCUUUAUUUGGGAUUGAUUAGGUGAUCCACUCUUUUAUAAGACCAAUGUUGUUAAGUUGGAAUUGGCACAUUGUCCAAAAGAGGCGGAAAAAAGCAUGAUUAGCUGCCCCUUUACUUUUUUUGGACAACUUGGUGAAAUGGGAAGGGUUUUGAAAAUGUGGAAAUUUUGUAACAAUCAUUCAAAUCCUAUUUUAUGUGCAGUUUCUUGGAUAGUGUUAGGCUUUGUACAGGAGAGACAUCUAUGUCUAUGUGGGAUUUUGUUGAUAGGUAAGUUUGAAUUGGGCAUGGGAUAGAUUUGUGCUUUUUUUUUCCUACUUUUGCUUAGUGCCCCUUGUAUACCUCCUAUAUACUUUAGUAUGCCCUUUUUGUACAUUGUUUUUUAUCUUCUCUUUUUAUACGUUUUAUAUAUUCCUCAUGCUUAUAAAAUAAAAGAAAAAAAAAAGACGAAAAUAAUAUUAAAAAUUAAAAAUAAAAUAACAAGACAAGCAUAAUAUAGUGAACAUAAGGGCUAUUGGGAGAUGGUAGCGACUGAUGGUGCCAGCGAUAAAGAUAGGGGUGCGGAGUGGGGCUUAGGCUUGAAUAAUCAUCAAGUUCUCAGAGGUGAGAAGGAGGAGGAAUGGGAGGAAAGCGAACUGGAAAAAUUCAGUCUCUUUUUGGGCUUUUCGACCGAGGGUCUGGAACAGGAAAUCCUGGAUUUUUUUAUUAAAAUUAGAAAAAGAAGGGAGAGAAUUCAUGGGAAGGCGCUGCUAGAAAAGUCUAAGUUUGAAAGAGAACUAAAGAGGCUGGAGUGUUCAGUGAACUAUGAGAAGGGAAGAAAGCAGAGAGACCCUUCACAGGGUAAAGGGUGUCAAAUUACAGUGGUUUAAUGAAGCUAAAAUUGCUGAGUUGGAAUGUGAGGGGAGUGAACGAAAAAGAGAAAAGAAAAAUUAUCAAGACGUUCAUAAGAAAUCAGAGGGUGGACCUGAUGUGUAUCCAGGAAACAAAGAUCCAACAAAUGACGGAGGAAGUGGUGAGAAGCUUAGGCUCGGGGAGAUUCUUAGAUUGGAGGGCCUUGGACGCUAGUGGGACUGCGGGAGGUAUUCUGAUAUGUUGGGAUAAAAGGACGUUGGAGAUUUUGGAGUGGGAAGAGGGCCAAUUCUCCUUAUCUUGCAGAUUCAGAAAUGUAGAAAAUGGUACUAUUUGGGUAUUCACGGGGGUUUAUGGGCCUUUUACAAAAGUCGAUCGGGAGUGCCUGUGGGAAGAGAUUGGGGCGAUCAGAGGUCUAUGGGAAGACCCGUGGUGUGUUGGGGGUGACUAUAACAUUACCCUGUUCCAAAGAGAAAGGAGCAGGCAAGGAAGAAUAACCUCAGCUAUGAGGCGUUUUGCUCAGAUUGUUGAUGAAGUUGGGCUGAUGGAUAUUCCGCUGCAAGGGGGAGUGUUUACUUGGAGUGGGGGCUCUAACAAUCAGACUUGGGCUAGGCUGGAUAGGUUCUUGGUGAACUCUAGCUGGCUUGAUCAGUUCAGUGGAGUGCUUCAACGGAGACUGCCUCGGCCUCUUUCUGAUCACUUUCCGGUUGUAUUAGAGGGUGGUGGCCUGAGAAGAGGGCCCUCUCCAUUCAGAUUUGAGAACAUGUGGCUUAAGGUGGAGGGAUUCCAAGAUUUGGUUAGAAGCUGGUGGUGGGAGAUUGAGGUGAGAGGUAGUGCUAGUUUUAGACUAGCUACAAAGCUGAAGGAAAUUAAACAGAAUUUGAAAGUUUGGAACAAGGAGGUGUUCGGGAACUUGGGGUGUAAUAAAGCAGCAGCUUUGCAACAAGUGGAAUUAUGGGACCUUGUGGAAAGUGACAGAAUUUUGUCAAUGGAGGAAACAGAAUUAAAAAGGAGGCCAAGGAAAACUAUAAAAAAUGGGUGCUGUUGGAAGAAACGCAUUGGAGACAAUUAUCAAGGGAGAUUUGGCUAAGGGAAGGGGACAGAAAUACGGGCUAUUUCCACCGUAUGGCAAAUGCAAAGCGCAGUAACAAUUAUAUGGACAGAAUUAAGAUAGACGGGUGUGUCUUUCUGAGGAGCAGGAAAUGAGGGAAGGAAUUGCAAGUGCCUAUCAGCAGAUGCUGUCAGAGGGGUCGGGAUGGCAGGCUGACAUUGGGGGGCUGCGCCUAGAUCAGAUCAGCCACCAAGAAGCAGAAAAUUUGGAAACCCCUUUUUCUGAGGCGAAGGUUCAUUCAGCUUUGAUGGAGAUGAAUGGGGAUAAAGCCCUGGGGCCGGAUGGUUUUACAGUAGCCUUUUGGCAAAGUUGUUGGGGCUUUGUUAAAGAGGAGAUCUUGGCAAUGUUUAAGGAAGUCCAUGAGCACAACACUUUCCUCAAAAGCCUAAAUAAUACAUUCCUGGUCCUAAUCCCUAAGAAAGGAGGGGCGGAAGAUAUUGGGGACUUUAGACCUAUAAGUCUUUUGGGGGGAUUGUAUAAAUUACUGGCUAAAGUCCUAGCUAAUAGGCUGAAAAAAGUGAUUGGGAAGGUGGUGUCCCCUGCUCAGAAUGCUUUUGUGAUGGGAAGACAGAUCCUUGACACCUCCCUAAUUGCAAAUGAGGUGAUAGACUUGUGGCAAAAAAGAAAAGAGAAGGGGGUCAUUUGCAAAUUGGACAUUGAGAAAGCUUAUGACAGUAUGAAUUGGCAGUUCUUAAUGAAAGUUCUACAAAAAAUGGGAUUUGGGCCAAAGUGGAUGGGGUGGAUGUGGAGUUGCAUAUCUUCAGCAAAAUUUUCAGUCUUAGUGAAUGGGGUUCCUGCUGGUUUUUUCCCGAGUUCUAAGGGGCUUCGUCAAGGAGAUCCCCUAUCUCCUUACCUCUUCGUAAUGGGAAUGGAAGUAUUGGGGGUUCUUAUUAGGAGAGCUGUUGAAGGGGGUUUCCUGUCAGGUUGUAACAUUCGGGAGGGAGGAAGGACAACUUUGAACAUUUCGCAUUUAUUUUUUGCAGAUGAUACGAUAGUUUUUUGUGAAGCUAAAAAGGACCAUCUAAGUCAUUUAAGUUGGAUCCUCUUUUGGUUUGAAGCGGUCUCGGGGCUAAAGAUUAAUCUGGGUAAAAGUGAAAUCAUCCCGGUGGGUGAGGUGGAGGAUAUUGAGGAAUUGGCAGCGGAGAUAGGAUGUAGGGUGGGAUCUUUGUCGUCCCAGUAUUUGGGUCUACCCUUAGGGGCUCCUAACAAGGCCUCCUCGGUGUGGGAUGGAGUAGAAGAAAGAGUGAGGAGAAGACUUGCGCUUUGGAAAAGGCAAUUUAUCUCUAAAGGUGGCAGAAUCACUCUGAUUAAAAGCACCUUGGCCAGCAUACCCAUUUAUCAAAUGUCUCUUUUCCGGAUGCCGAAGAUUGUGGUUAGAAGGCUAGAAAAAUUGCAAAGAGACUUCCUAUGGGGAGGGGGAAGUAUGGAGAGGAAAAUUCACCUAGUGAAUUGGGAGAUAGUGUGUGGAGAAAAAGAGAGGGGUGGGCUUGGUUUGAGGAAGCUUGGCCUAUUGAACAGAGCUUUGCUUGGAAAAUGGAUAUGAAGGUUUGCUUGUGAAAGAGAGAAUCUUUGGAAGCAGGUGAUUGUGGCAAAGUUUGGGCAAGAAGAUGAUGGAUGGAAGCCUAAUGGGGCGUUUGGGGUAGGGGUGUGGAAGGAGAUCAUGAAGGAGACUGAUUGGUGCUGGGAUAAUAUAGAGUUUAUGGUGGGGAAGGGUACUAGAAUCAGAUUUUGGACUGAUGUGUGGUGUGCGGGCUCAGCGCUGUCCCAAACCUUCCCGCACCUUUUUGUCUUGGCUGCUCAUAGGAAUGCUACGGUGGAGGAGAUGUAGGAUCAGAGUUCGGAUCAAGGAGGUUGGAAUCUAAGAUUUUUGAGGAAUUUUAAUGACUGGGAGGUGGGUAUGGUAGGAGAUCUGCUCCUUAAGCUGAGAGGGUUUAGGCCUUCUUUGGAGGAAGAUUCGGUCUCUUGGAAGGGAGGAAAAAGCGGUAAAUUCAAAGUAAAGAAAGCGUACAGCUACUUAGUCAAUCCUAUGGACACCGUUUUCCCGGAAAAAUGCAUUUGGGUGGAUAGAGUACCUACCAAGGUCGCUUUCUUUGCGUGGAAGGCUACAUGGGGGAAGGUGUUAACGCUUGAUAGACUUCAGAGAAGAGGAUGGCAACUCCCUAACUGCUGCUUUUUGUGUGGUUGUGCAGAAGAAUCUGUAAAUCAUGUCCUUAUUCACUGUAUAGUGACUAGAGCCCUUUGGGAGUUAGUCCUUGGGCUUAUAGGUGUUAAGUGGGUCUUUCCAGAAUCUGUAAAGGAGGUCUUGUUUAGCUGGAAAGGUCACUGGGUGGGAAAAAAAAGGAAAAAGAUUUGGAAGGCCAUCCCGUUAUGCAUAUUUUGGACGGUUUAGAAAGAAAGGAAUAGGUUAGCCUUUAAAGGGGGUGUGAUACAUAGACAGAAGCUAAAGAAUUUUUUUGUUUGUAAUUUGUGGGGUUGGGCUAGAUUGGAUAUUGGAGAUAACUCUCUCUCCCUUCUAGGCUUUCUAGAGUGGCUAGCUGCCACUUAGGGGAGGUGAGGUCUUCUUGGUCCCUUUUGUUUUUUGGUUGUGAGGCUUUAGCUGCCUUGUAUAUCUCCUGUAUACUGUGUGGCUAUUGGCCUCUUUUUUAAUAUACAUUGACGUACUUAUCAAAAAAAAAAUAAUAUAGUGAACAUAAACAUUUGACUACAUUUUCACAUUAUAGUUAAAUCUAACAUUGAAUUUCCUAACUCACCUUUGUAUGCCAGGAUAUAUUAGAAACAAUUUUAAAACAUGUCAGAGAUAUUACCUUUGUCAUGGCGCUCAAGCCUGACUUGGAAGACACAUAGGCUACUCCUCCAGGUAACUGUCCCCGAUUAAGAGCAGCAAUGGAAGAAAUAUUGAUGAUUGAUCCUCCAUUCUUGGCAUCCCUCAUGCGCAUACCGACAUAUUUUGACACCAACCAUGAUCCCGUCAAGUUUGUCUUCAGAGUAUUAUUCCAUUCCUCCUCAGAUAUAUCCAGAGGAGAGUUCACAUUGCCUAAGGCACACAGGGCACAGGGCAUGGGUUAAAUACAUCUACCACGCAUUACGUUCACAAAUAUUAGCAGAACACCAGAGAUAAAUUAAAUGAGUAAUAUUGAUAAGAAAAAUAUAUGUGAUUGACUCGGUAUAGAUACCCAGUUGACUCGCUAAUCUUUUUCAUUAAACAAAUAGUUUCAAAUUUCAGUUCGAACUGAAUGAAAUGAAACGUGCGCUAGAAUUGAAAGUAUGAGAAAAACAAGGUUUCCAAAAGCCAGCUGCAAAACGGGAAAUUCAGGAUACAGGAAUAUCAGGAUCGUGCAAAACCCCAUAAAUUCAAAAAUUGAAAACCAUGAAACGAGAAAUCAGGUAAAUUAAUACUAUACCCUACAUAUUCACCCCUUAGAUGAUUGAAAUUUUAAUUUCGUUUCUUCAUUCAGAUUUCGCGUGAACCAAACGGCAGGUAGAAGUGCUCAAAGAAAAAAAAAUCAAAAUUGCCUCAGUCCGUUGCAUUCCUAAAAUAUCAGAACCUCAUCAACCACAAGAUUCCAAAUUCCCUUUCCUUUUUUCCAAACAGAAACUAAACUCUUUUCCAAAGUCAAAUCAAAAUUUACCUCUAAUGCCCGCAUUAUUUAGCAAAGCAUCGAUACGUCCAAAGGCCUCCCAAGCCUUCUGAACGGAGGCGCCGAUUGAGGAGCCAUCGCUGGUGACGUCAAGUUCGACUGCUACGGCUCGGAGAGGCGGAUCAGCGUUUGGAGGAAGGUUCGAGUGGGUGAGGUUGUUGAUCUCGUCGCAGAGAGACUUGAGUCGGUCAACUCGGCGGGCGGCCGCCACGAUCUUGCAGCCGGCUUUGGCGAGGUUGAGGCAGAACUCGCUGCCGAGACCCGAGGAAGCGCCGGUGACCAUGACCACCUUGCCCUCCAGGUCUUGCCAUGGCUCGAGGUGGUUCGCGACUUGGGACGCCAUCAAUGUGGUUGAGAGUCUCUAGAGAAAGUAGGCACCAGCUUUUAGAGGGAAAAAAAGUAAAGCAAAGAAAAUUUGAUAAGAUGAAAAUAAAUAAUAAAUAAUUAAAAGGGGAAAUAAACUCCUCUAUAUAUUCUAUUGCGACAUUGCGUGAUCAAAUUCCAUUUGUUUAUGUAUCGCCUUUGUAGUGAAUCUAGUGAUGAUGCCAUCGGAUUGUUUGCAGUGAAUUGUCGGAAUUGUUUUUAGUCAUUCUAAUAAUUAAAAAUAAAAAUUUUCAAAUAUUAAAAAUUAAAAAAUUUUAAAUAUUAAAAAUGUUAAAAACGCUUCCUAUAAUAAUUGUUAAAUAGACUCUAAGAGUAUAUUUGAAAGUAAUUCUAAAAAAUAUUUUUAGUAUUUUUAUUAAUGUGUUUUUAAGUAUUAAAAAUAUUAAAAAUACUUUCUAAAAUCACUAUCAAACUAAAAGUGCAUUUAAAAGUAAUUUUAAAAAAUAUUUUUAACAUUUCUAAUACUUAAAUAAUAAAAAACUUCAAGUGUUAAAAAAAUUUAAAACAUUCCAUAAAAUCACUACCAAAUAGAGUCUAAGUUUGUGAAGGGAUCAACACUUAAUAAGUCAUAUUUUAUUAUACAUCUUUCUAAAAUUAGUAUUAAGAAACCAAUUUUUCAGUGUCCAAUAAUUUUCCCUAUUGGUAUAAUUUUCUAAUUACGUAAAAUAAAAAUGGUCAUCAAGGGAAAAUAAUUUUUGAGAACAAACUUUUGCUUAUGAUUUUUUUAUUAUUACUCAAAAAGAGCAUAUUUUAUAUAAUAAUUAUCACGAAUUUCAUAUCUUUUGAGUAGUAACUAUACCUAAAACACUCAAUUAACAUGUUUUUACUUUUGCAAGAAUUACUAAAAAGUCUUAUGAAGUUUUGGGGUAAUUUCAAGGUAUGUUUUUUAUAAAUAGGUGACAAAAGAGAUGAAUCAAAUUAAAGAAAACAAAUAAAGUUGAUGAUGAUCCAAAUGCAUAAUGAAAGAGGCAAUCCAAUCAGUUUGGAUUGGGAUUUGGAGGUAGUUGAAGUGGAAUCAAAAUGAAGAAAUGAGAGAAAUUGCAAAAAGAAGUUGAAAAACCAUGUUUUUCAAUUUCACAUAAACACGAGAAAAAUUCGCACAGUCAUGCAAAUUGAAAUAGAAUGGACUUUGGCUGCAGCACACAAGGGGAAAAGUGAAAAUUGAUUUCGCAUGACCAUACGAAACGCUCCAAGAAGACGAAAAUGGUGCUGAUGGAUUUUCCACUUCGCACAAUCGUGCGAAAUUGUUGGAGCUCAUGCGAAAUUGUUGGAGCUCGUGCGAAAUUGCAUCUUUUCCAAAUUUCUUGAUGAAAAAGUCUCCGGAAGACCUUUUAGAUGAUGCCAAGUGUCCACUUGACCUUGGCCUAUAAAUAGAAACUUGAUUUACUCAUUUAGGGAUUUUUGAUACAUUUCCUAAUUGUAGAAUUUUCCAAAUUUCUUCUCUCUAUAUAAUUCUCUACUUUCCUUCAUUUUCUCUCAUUUUCUCGGUAGCCAAACAUGUCUUGUGAGAUCAAAUCUCAAAGUAUGAGUGGCUAAAUCUUGUUUUUCUUGGAAGAGAAAGGAUAUAGAGAUAAGAUCUAUGGUGAAUUAGAGAAAUGAGAUUAAAUUGCAAAGGUAAUUUGAUCCAAUUGAUUGAUUAAUUGAAAUUUUGAGAUUUUUCUCUUCAAAUUGUCUUGGAUGAUUACGACAAUGUAAGUUAGGUACAUUCAUCAAAUUCUUAAAGUUAGAUUUGAUGAGAUUGAAUAGUUACAUUGUGUGAAUCAUUGGCAGAUAAUUUAAGAUGAAUUGAAUAUAUGAUUUGAAUUGAUCUCUUAGAUUAAACGACCUAAUUUGAAGAGAAAUUAGAUCUAAACCUAAAGUCAAAUCAAAAAUCGGUUUAGAUGAAAAUUUAGGUUUUCAAUCUAACUUGAUGAAAAUUAGAUCUCAACAUCUAUUCACCAUGGAAAUUGUUUUCUAGAAAAUCCUAACUCCGAGAAUUUUAUCUCCUAUUAAUUUUCUUUUAUUUUACAUUUUAUUUUUCUUCUCAAUUUUAGACCAUUGUCAAAUUAAUUUUUCAUCAUGAAUUUUCAAAUCAAUUUCACUUGAUCACAAUCAUUUCUUAUCCUUUCAUUCAAGCCUUAAUUACCGAGAAUAAUCCAUCCUAGUGGACGACACCUAAAAACCACUAUAUUACAGUAGUUUGUACUAAAAUUGUUUUUAAUCGGGUACAAUCUACUUUAGAAUAGUGAAUUAGGUUAUAAAUUUUGUUUUGAUCAAAUAAAUGACAAAAAUCUAAGCGAUCAAUUUUGUAUAUAAAAAAUAAUUUUUUUCACUUAUUCUCGAUAAAACUUAUAAUGUAAAAGUUUUCAAAAUAUUUUUUUAAUAUUUUUUCUUUAUUUUUUGAAAAAUUUUGAUAAAUAAAAUAUGAAAAUACUUUUAAAUUAUUUUUAAAAUAACCUAUUUUCACAACAACAUUUUGAAAAAAACUUUUUUUAUUUUCUCAAAAUUUGGUCAAAUAUAUUCUCUAAGUUGGAGAGUGUCUAAUAUCCUUGUAAAUGUAUUUGGACAAAGUUUUGGAUUUUUAUUAUUUACUUUUGCUUUUAACAGCAAAACUCACUUUAAAAAUCCAAAAAAUAAAAUGAGUUUGGAAAACAAAAUCCAAACUUUAAUCAAAUUUAAAUCCUUUAAUUUUCUCAUUUGUUAAAAGAAUCUCAUAUUUUAUGCCAUUGAUGAAUAAGAAAAAACUUCUUACAUCUCUUAUAAGAAUCAUCUAUCAAUAUUUGAGUAUAUUUUUUUUUAGUGAUGCAUGGUGUUAAUUGAUUGAACUAAAAUUGUAUAAUAAAACCUGUCAAUAGGGAUGACAAUUUAGACACGACACGAUAAUGCAAUUUGAAAAUGAUUGGAUUGUUAAUGUGUUUGGGUUUGCAUGUGAUUGUGUUGUGUCUUAAUAAACAUGUCUUAUUUGGGUUUUCAUUAUUCACCUUGUUUAUGAUUUAUUUGCUUAAUUGUAUCAAAAUAAUUUAUUUAAUCCAUAUAAAUUUAAUAAUUUUAUACAUUCCAAUUAUAAAAAUAAUAAAUACUUUGUUAAUUAUAAAUAUCAUAUAGUAAAAACAUUAAAUAACUAAAUAAAAUUACAUUUGAUUAGUAAGAUUAAAAAUAGUUUAUAGUUAAAAUUUUAAAUAAAAUAAUAAGUAAAUGUAAAAAUUAAAAUAUUAUCCUACUUUUUAUAUUAUGAUCAAAAUUAAAUAAUUACAUUAAUUAAGAUUAAAAAUUAAAGCAAAUGAAAAGUAUUUUAGAAUAAUAUAUUUAUAAAGUUAAAUUCCAAAAUAGGUUAAACGGGUUAUAAUCAUGUUAACUAGUUAAAAUCAUACUAAUGGAUUAUUAUGUCCGAUUUAACCCAUUUAUUAAAUGAGUUAAAUGGGUUGUAUUGAGUUACCUAUAUAAUAAAUGAGUUGUGUUUAUGUUGAAUGUUUCCGACAUGAUUAUUAAAUAAGUCAUAUUUAAAUUAAAUAAAUUUUUACUAUUUUUUUUUUACUUUGAAGACAUUGCCAUCCCUACUUGCUCACAUGCAUUUAAACAAAAAAAUCUUGUAAUUUUCUCUCCAAUCCUUAUCAUUUUUCCCAUCGGCAAGUUCCCUAUUAGGAAAAGAAAUUCCUUGUAUACAUCUCUCAUCCCCAUUCAUGGUCUUUGAAUUCAUAUUUAAAAUUUUCAAAUAUAUAUAUAUAUAUAUAUAUAUAUAUAUAUAUAUAUAUAUAUAUAUAUAUAUAUAAACUAAUAUAUUUUAUAGUGAAUAUGAUAAUUUUUAAAAAAAUAAAUAAAUAUAAAAUUAUAUAUAAAGAAAUAUAUUUAAUAUUAUAUGUAUAUGGUUUGGGUGGGUUUUGGAUAGGGAAUAGUUUCAUUUCCCUGGUCGAGGUUCCCCAUCCCUAAUCCGACUCCAUUAGGGAUGGAUUCCCCAGGGGCACAACUUGGCUGGUUUUUUAUGCCAUCCUUGCUGGAGGGUGGGUUGGGAACUGUUGCCCAAAGCAUGGCCCAUGGGCCCCAACAUUGGCAAAAUCUUGAAACCCUUUAAGAUUAAGCUUGUUAUCUGUUUAUGUAUAUGUGCCGCCAUUUAGAUUGCAGGCCUAAAAAACUUAUAUAGUUUAUGAAGACAUGACCCAACAGGCCCAUCGGGCCACUUGUAUUCCUCUUUAACUUGACACCAAAAGCGCAUUUGGUCGGGUUGAGCUUCAUAUUGUAUGCUUUCAUUAGGCAAAAUGUUUCCUCUAAGUGUAGGACGCGUUUGCUCUGGGUUUUGUUUUUUACCACAAUAUCAUCAAUAUAGACUUCUACGGUUCGGCUGAUCAAGGGUUUGAAGAUUUUUGUCAUCAACCUUUAAUAAGUGGUUCCAACAUUCUUAAGCCCAAAUGGCAUAACCCUAUAGCAGUAUAAUCUGUGCAGCAUCACGAAGGCGGUUUUCUUUUCAUCCGGUUGGAACAUCGGGAUCUGGUGGUACCCGGAGAAUGUGUCUAUGAAAGAGAGCAUCUCAUACAUGGUAGUGGACUCAACUAUCUGAUCUAUUCGAGGUAGAGGGAAGCUAUCUUUCAGGCAAGCAUCAUUCAGGUUGGUGUAAUCAACACAGACUCGCCACUUUCCUCCUUUCUUUGGAACAACCACUACAUUCGCCAACCAAUCCAGAUAUUAUACUUCCUUGAUAAACCCGAUUGUCAGCAACUUGUCCACAUUGAAUUGGAUGAUCUUUUGCUUGUCUGGAUGGAAGCGUCUGACUUUCUGGCAAACGGGUCACGAGGAAGGUAUGAUAUUGAGUCGAUGUAAGGCUACCGAUGGAUGGAUUCUGGGCAUAUCAAAGUGAGUCCAUGCGAAAACAUCCUUGUUCUACUAAAGCACUCCUUCGAGUAAUUUUAAUUCUUUUAGUGCUAGGAGAGAGCUAGCAUAGGUAACACGAUCACUGCUACCUGAGAGAUGCAAGGGUUGGAGCGAGUCUGCUGCUGACAGAUCUUUUUUCGUCAGGCUCUGUAAUUGCUAUUGCUCCUUCGUAUUUGUCAGUCUCGUGUGUGGCUCACUGUUGCUUGGGAGUCCGAAAUUGAGUACCGCUUGAUAGCACUAGCACGUAGCCAACUUACUACCAUAAAGGUCGAUUUGUCCGUCCUCGGUGAGGUAGCUUACCAUCUGAUGAUACGUAGAGGGAAUGACUUUCAUGUUGUGAAGCCACGUGCGCUCCAUGAUGGUGUUAAAAUGGGAUAAGUCCUCUACUAUCGAGAACUGCACAUUCUGGGUGAUCAUACCAACUUGGACGGGUAAUACGAUGUCACCUAAAGACGUUGUCGUUGUCCCAUUGAACCAAAUAAUAUCUGUUUUGGGUUUUCUAGGGCAAUCGGCAGGAGUCUCAUUUGUUUGUAUGACGACAUUUGCAAGAGGUCAACUGAGCUGCCCAGAUCAACCAAAAUCCUUCUUACAUCAAACCCAUUUAUCCCUAAUGUUAGAACUAGGGCGUCUUCAUGUGGUUGUAGUACUCGGUUGGGGUUUACUGGAGGGAAGGUUAUUAUCCCGUCCAUUAGGCAUGCACCUUGAUUACUACUCAAAAAGUGUUAUUUCAUAGCUUGUAAUUAACUCUUUUAAACACUUUUGAGUAGUAGUUAUUGCCUUUUAACCCAAUUAACAUGUUAAGGACCCUUGCAAUCACUUCUAAUCAAUUUGUGUUAAGUUUUGGUGUUUUGAUAGCUUUUUUAUCACCAAAGCAAUCCGAGAUUGAGGAGAGUUAUUUGGAAUCUAUGGCAAAGCAAUGGAAAGCUCAGAAACAUGAAGAACCAAAGCUUUGAAGUCCUUUGUCAUAAGCAAAUCCGGAAUGCAAGGAGGAGAAGCAAAGAGAAAUCUGCCAUGAAGCAUUCUUGAUGAUAGCCAUGUCAGCCACUUUUAGAGCACUUCCUGAAGUCUAAUUUAUGCAUGCUAUAUGUCGUUUCGAAGCUCAGGAAGUCAACAAUCCAAUGCUUCAAAUGGUGUUCAAUUUGGAGUUGAAAUGAAGGAAUUACAGCCAUUACAAGUUGAUCACUCUAAGUUGAAGGAAGAAUUUUGCACAGCGCUGCGAAAUCACCCUUUUGUUGCGAGAUGAUUUCGCAGCCUUUUUGUACAGUGCUGUGGAUUCUCCCCUGAAGUUUCCCGUCACAAUGGAAGCCGAAUACCGCAAGCUGAAAGCCAACUUCGCAGCGCUGCGAAAUCAGCCUUUUGCUGCGAAGUGAUUUCGCAGCCCUUUUUGUGCUUCUACGAAAUCUCGUAGACCUCGUUUUCACCUGCGAAAUGGUCCUUAGUGCUUCCCGAUAUUUGUGACCGACACUUUUGGAUAUUUUGCUUCAGAUUUUUGAUAACUAAAUCCUCAUUUUCUCCUUGUAACCCACCAAUUAUAGGAUUUCUUAGUUAUUAAGUUUGGCAAAGGGGUGAAUAACCUUAGAUAUUUUGUUUUGUAAUUUUCUUUAUAUAUAGCUCUCGGGAGCUUGUUCUUAUAUAGAAUUAUGUAAUCCGACGGGAUAUAGAUUUAUAAAUAUAUAGAAUAUACAGAGCCUUGCUCUGUUUUUUCUUUCUCUUUCAUUUUCAUUUUCUUGCUAAUCAAACUCUGAAGAUUUUUCCUCAGAUGAUGAGAGGCUAGGCUCUUCGUCUCUUGGAGCUAAGGUAACCGGGUAAGUUUUCCACAUGCAUAAAUUGGAAGUUUUGUUGUUUUAGUUUUUAAUGAAGAGAAAGUGUGACCCGUUAAUGGUUUUUAUCUUUUUAGUUAACUUAAAACGCCUUUAAUUCACCUGAGCCAACACUUGGUAAGGCAAGUGAUCUCCGUCCAUGGAGAUGCACUAGUUUAUCUCUUGCGAGCUUUUGGUAGGUGGUUUGAAGGUAGGAUUUUCUAGAAUAGCCAACACUUGUUAAGAUUUUGGACUCCAAUGAGACAUCCAUUAGUUAUCUCUUGCGAGCUUUUGAUGGGUAAUCCAAGGUUAAAGAUCACCUUGAAUGACAAAUGCUAGGUGAGAGGCACGAGUCAUUGCAAGGUGCAUCAAUGAGAGGGAUUUAGUGUUUGAACCCAUUAAUGGGAAGUAUCUGUACAACACUGGUUAGAGAAUUAACUACAUGUUAAUUCUCUAAUGCGAGGAAAAGAAACAAGUGACCAGAACUCUCCUUUUUGUAUGAGGAAUCUGAGCCUAGUGAUCUGAAACUCCAAGAAACACUUUUCUUUGUAAGUAAAAUCAGUUGCUAUUUUUGGUUAGUUUAAAACCAAACUUUUUUCAUUCAAACAUCUUUAUGUUUUCUUUUAAAGCUAACCUUGAAAUGAAAAGGCACCAAUUCAGCUUUGAAUUAAUAUCAUUUGCAAAGUGAAAACCCAUCCCAGUGAACGAUCCUAGAGCCACUAUGCUAUAAUAGCUUUGUCUUUGCUAUCCUAGUAAAUGGUGUAAUAGGUUAUAAAUUUUGUUGAUUACUCCCUCAAUCAAGGAGCACCAGCUGGACACGAAUCAACUGAGACACCAAUUGGGCAUGAAUCACACCUUCACUCGGCAAACUAUGUUGGAUAGAGCUAACCUACUCCCUCACGAAAGCCACUCGUAGCAAUCUUUGUCUCUUUUGUUUGGAAUUGUAUUUUUCGUCAACGAGACCCCCAUGAAUGUAGUUGAUGAUAGCUCUAAGAGCUUCCGAAGUUGUGGACACUUGGAUAGCCAAAUCCCGGGUGGUUUCCCUUUGUCCUUCGAUUGAGCGGAUGUAUCAUUUUAAGUGCUUGGCCUUAAUUAGUCUUUCCACUAAGUAGUGGAAACUUCUGCAUUGUUUCGUGGUGUGGCCAUGAUCUUUGUGAUAGGCACACUUCCUGUUCUAAUCCCGUUUCGUCGAAUCUGUCUUAAUUGACUCUGGCCAUCUAAAAUCAGACAGAUCACAAAUCAUGGGAAGGAGUUUGUCGUAUGAAAUGCUAAGGGGGGUCAGACUAGCUUGGCUUGGCUGCUGCUGGUCGUCUCGCUUCUUGCUGACUUGCCUUAGUUGGUUUGAGAGCUUAGAAUUUUCGGCAUGAUCGUUCCUGGCGGAUCGACGAGUGACCAGGACCUGCUGUGUAGUCUUACAAACAUCGUCUUCAAGAUGGAGUACUUGUUUACUCGUUUGAAUAGGUCAUCCAUUGUCGCUGAUAGUUUCUUAACGAGAGAUUCGAAGAAAUGCGUACUCGGACAAAUGCUUCUUUUGAAGAUUUGUAGGAUGACGUCCAUGCUACAAGACUCUACUUGGAGCACGACCUGUCCGAACAGUUUCACAAACUCCCUCAAUGAUUCAUUUUCCUACAUUUUUAUGUUUUGCGGGGUACUUAUGUUCUAUUUGUCAUGCCGAGCAUAGGUAGUGUCCCACAAAGGCUUCUGAUAGAUCCUAGAAAUUACUCACAAAAUUCUUUAGGAGAUGGUGGAACUACGAAAGGGCCUAGCCAUGUAAGCUAGUUGGAAAGACUUUGCAUAAUAGCACAUCGUUCCCUAUGUUGAGGGUCAUGAGCUGCCUAUAAUGCAUGAUAUGAUCAAACAGAUCACUUGUUUCGUCAUAUGUCAUGAAUUUUGGUACCAUGAACCCUCUUGGGGGCUAGUAGUUGAUGAUGUAAAGGCUAAAAAGCAUGGAGAGCAUGUCACCCAAUCGUCUACUGACAGAGCCAAGCAGUCCUCGUUCUGUCAGAGCCCCUACUUGUUGUUAUGCUGGUGGACGAGAAGGCCAUUCUAGCAUGACCAUUGUAAUCGAGAAACCAAGGCAGGCUUCCUGGGUCGCUGCUACACAUGGUUUCCCUUCCAUGCCAGGUGUCUGAGGUCUUAGCCGAGCUCACAUUGUGUCUGAUAGUUGUGACCUUCUAUCACACCUCUUUUUUGUGGAGAUGUGGGUAGAGUCAGAGCUUUCAUCUAACAGUGCUUGGCAAGUUGGUAGAAACUUUUCUUUAGGUCGUAUCUCCUGGCUACCAGAGAUGAACUUUGCGUCCCUAAGAAAUGACAUUUUUUCGUUUUGUUUGGAGUUUGUUCACUGGCUCUUAGGCUGUCGGCUACGAGGGGGGCUUGACGAAGACACCUGGAUGCGUAACACUUCAAUUUCUUCUCUAAGUCUCCUUGUCUCACAGAGCAAGGACUGUACCUGUCGUUUGCUCUCUUGUUGGCGUCUUUCCAUGUUUUCACACUAGUCGAAGUAGCCAUCGCUACCCAUGGCUGAUGAUCGGCUCCUUGAGGGCGUCGACAUUCUUAACAUUUCCCACAAAUAGCACCAAUGUUGAUGCGAGGUUAACUGGAGUCAGAUCCGCCUUAUGUUGUGCCACUGAGAGCUUUUACCCAGCAACAAGGGACUAAGUGAGCUUUUUCCCUACACAAAGGAUGUCCGGACAAGGUGUCUGAGCACGCCCCUCUGAAGCUUAAGUCAGACACAGGUAGGUUAGAGCUUAUAGGGAGAAAAUGAAUAAACUAGCUUAGGUGUGCAUACCUGGGUUAUGCUUUAGGAAGACUUUUUAUAGUGCUCAAGAGAAAGUUAAUGUAGUGCUGAGUAGAUACUUUGACCUUCACUGUAAUAAUGGUUAUCCUGCAGGUGGCAGAGCAAUCAUUGCAGUUUAGGGCAACUAGCAAGUUCCAUCAAAUGAUGUGUCAUAAUGUAGCUGCCCAUCAUUUCAACCUUCUGGAGAUAUGAGGCAAUGUGUGAUAAUUUGUUGACAUCAAGGAUGAAAAUAUCGGUAAUUACGGAUAUAUCGAUAUUUCGAUUUUACGGAUAUAUCGAUAUUUCGAUUUUACGGAUAUAUCGGAAAUAUAUCGAUGGAUAUUUUGAUAUAAAAUAUUAGUAGACCUAAAAUUGACCAAAACUUAUAAAAAUAUAAAAUAAAACUUUUAGAAAUGAAAUUAAAAUAUAAUAGAUAUUUUAAAAUUAUUUUAUUAAAUAAAUUAAUGUAUAUAUAAUAUUGUACGUGUCAAUAAAAAAAUAUAAAUUUGAUAAGUGUAUAUUGAUUAUUAAAUUAUAUUAAAUAUUAUUUGAUCAUUAUAUUGUGAUAUUUGAUUAUAAUAUAUUUCGAUGGAUAUUUUAACACAAAAUAUCGGUAAAUCUAAAAUUGAUCAAAACUUAUAAAAAUAUAUUAAAAAAAACUUUUAAAAAUAAAAUUAAAAACAUAAUAGACAUUUUAAAGUUAUUUUUUCGAAUAAAUUGAUAUAUAUAUAUAUAUAUAUAUAUAUAUAUAUAUAUAUAUAUAAUAUUGUACAUGUUAAUAAAAAAUAUAAAUUUGAUAAGUGUAUAUUGAUUAUUGAAUUAUAUAAAAUAUUAUUUGAUGAUAAUAUUGUGAUUAUAAUAUGUUUAAUUUUAAAAUCUGUUUAAUAUUAAAAUAGUGAUAUAUUAUAAAAUAAAUGAUAAUAAAUAUAUAAAAUAUUAAUAUAUUAAUAAUAUUAAAAACUCUAUGAAUAAAAUUAUGAUAUUUUUUACUAAUCAAUUAAAUGAAAAUUUUUCAUUUAAUUAUAAAAUAGUCAUAAUUAAUUUGUUAUUUAAAGUGUUUUUUUAAUAUUUUAUUUAUAUUCUAAGUUUUAAUAUAUAUUUCUUUAGAGUGUCAUAUUUAUCAAAGAGCAUGUUUGCCCUAGUGGAACUGGGCCUGACAUAGAAAUCUUUUGUUGGGGGUUCGAAUCCCCCCAACAGCAGGAAGAAAAAAAGCUUAAUUUUGACCGUUGACCGCCUGUGUUGACCGAGCGUUGACCGGCGAUAUAUCUCUGCUGCACCCACCGACACACCGAUAUUUCGCCGAAAUAUCGCCUAAUUCCAAAGGGAAUGAUUACACGUAGCAAGGGAGUUCCGAGCACUGUGGCAAUUAUCUGGACAAUGCUGAGGGAAGUGACGCAUGGACUGACACGUGGAAGGUCCCUACAAUUACUACUCCUCAUUCACGUCUACCAAACAGGCCUUUGGGAUGAAAAUUAUAUACGUCAAUUCCAAGUUUCCAACCCAACACAAUUAUAUUAUUCACCUAAAUCACACUAAACCCAAUUUCCAUUUUUUUGGUGCAUCCAACCUGGAAUAUGUACAUUUUAAUGUAAUUCCUGCACAAAUGAGAAAAGUGAAUAAGCCAUCUUCCUCGACAUUCUUCUUGUAAAUUGAAGAGCAAGAUUUAUUUAUUUAUUUAUUUAUUUGCAUUUUAAAAACCAAUGUGAAAUUUGUCUUUUGAUUUUGAGCAUCCAUGAUGCCGAUAUGUACAUUUCAAUUACCACAUGAAGCAGGAAGUUCAAUCUUAAAUACCGAACAUCAAGCAGAAACCACUACACCCAGUAGAUGUAGAUUUUAAUAUUCAAUGGGUUCAUUCCAAUUGCCACAUUAUUUUCAGCAACCAGAACUCAAAAAAAGCCACACAAAUAACACGAUUAUAAGGAUAUGGGGGAUCGGAUACCUUAUUUUAUUUCCCAGUAUAAUUUUGAGACAAUCAAAUUCUGAGCUGCAGAGUCUGAAAUCCAAUAAAGGAGCUUUGGAGUCUAUGGUGGUGUACCGGGAUGAACCAUCACCUUCCAAAUUAAAAUUCUAGGGCUAUACCACAAACAGAAUUCUGAGAUGUAUUGGGUAUUACAUGAUGAAUAACCCAAGAAAACUAGUACCGUAGAAGAGCUUCAAAGGGAAGAGAAAAUGGGAACACCCGGCAGGGUUGCGCCUGCAUCGACAUUGAAAACGUUACCUGAUAUGUAUCGUGAAGAAUCAUGAAUCAAGUAUCGCACCAGGGAUGUCAAUGCAGGGUCCGAUGUUCCAUAGGCCCGCAAGGGGCAUGUUCUCUGAACCACAGUGUUGAGCCAGUCUUUUUGCAUAAGGCCCGCAGUUAUCUCCGAUUUGAAUAUUCCAGGUGCUAUUGCAUUCGCUCUAAUAUUGUAUGCCCCCAAUUCCAAAGCCAUUACCUGGAAUUGUUAUUAUUUGGAAAAAAAAUAAAUAAAUAAUCAUUCUUCAGUGCCAGACUCAGAUGAGUGUGUAGGAAUAAAGGUUCUACAACAUUUUUGCAUGGAAAAACAGUUGAAGAUGGCAGGAAAUAUACAAUAAAAUGUCGAAUCGAAAUAAGUAUAAUGCUAUAUAAACACAAGCCCUUAACCAGAUUUACAGAAAAUGACUUACAUCUUGGAUAGACAAACUGUACGUAUCAUGCAAAAGCGGAGAAUAAUAUUGGGAUUUUUUGCAUGGGAAGCAAGGUGAGAAGAAUAUUGACUUUUUGUACAUUGAUUUUUAUCUUCUCUUUUUAUACAUUUUAUAUACUCCUCAUGCUUAUUAAAAAAAAAAAAAGACAAAAAUAAUAUUAAAAAUUAAAAAUAAAAUAACAAGACAAGCAUAAUAUAGUGAACAUAAACAUUUGACUACAUUUUCACAAUAUAUUUAAAUCUAACGUUGAAUUUCCUAACUCACCUUUGUUUGCCAGAAUAUAUUAGAAACAAAUUUAAAACAUGUCAGAGAUAUUACCUUUGUCAUGGCGCUCAAGCCUGACUUGGAAGACACAUAGGCUACUGCUCCAGGUGACUGUCCCCGAUUAAGAGAAACAAUGGAAGAAAUAUUGAUGAUUGAUCCUCCAUUCUUGGCAUCCCUCAUGCGCAUACCGACAUAUUUUGACACCAACCAUGAUCCCGUCAAGUUUGUCUUCAGAGUAUUGUUCCAUUCCUCCUCAGAUAUAUCCAGAGGAGAGUUCACAUUGCCUAAGGCACACAGGGCACAGGGCAUGGGUUAAAUACAUCUACCACGCAUUACGUUCACAAAUAUUAGCAGAACACCAGAGAUAAAUUAAAUGAGUAAUAUUGAUGAGAAAAAUAUAUGUGAUUGACUCGGUAUAGAUACCCAGUUGACUUGGUAUAGAUACCCAGUUGACUCGCUGAUUAGUUUCAAAUUUCAGUUAGAACUGAAUGAAAUGAAACGUGCGCUAGAAUUGACAGUAUGAGAAAAACAAGGUUUCCAAAAGUCAGCUGCAAAACGGGAAAUUCAGGAUACAGGAAUAUCAGGAUCGUGCAAAAUCAAAAUUUACCUCUAAUGCCCGCAUUAUUUAGCAAAACAUCGAUACGUCCAAAGGCCUCCCAAGCCUUCUGAACGGAGGCGCUGAUGGAGGAGCCACCGCUGGUGACGUCAAGUUCGACUACUACGGCUCGGACAGGCCUGUCAGCGUUUGGAGGAAGGUUCGAGUGGGUGAGGUUGUUGAUCUCGUCGCAGAGAGACUUGAGUCGGUCAACUCGGCGGGCGGCCGCCACUAUCUUGCAGCCGGCUUUGGCGAGGUUGAGGCAGAACUCGCUGCCGAGACCCGAGGAAGCGCCGGUGACCAAGACCACCUUGCCCUCCAGGUCUUGCCAUGGCUCGAGGUGGUCCGCGACUUGGCAUGCCAUCAAUGCGGUUCAGAAUCUCCAGAGAAAGUAGGCACCAGCUCUUAGAGGGAAAAAAGUAAAGCAAAGAAAAAUUGAUAAUCUGAUAAUAAAUAAGAAUGAAUUAAAAGGGGAAAUAAACUCCCUAUAUAUUCUAUUGCGACAUUGCGUGUACAAAUUCCAUUUGUUUAUGUAUCGCCUUUGCAGUGAAUCUAGUGAUGAUGCCAUCGGAUUGUUUGAAGGCAACAUUAAAACAAAGGCGGCCCAUAGUCCUAGGAUGAUGCCGUCGGAUUGUUUGAAGGCAACAUUAAAACAAAGGCGGUGCCAUCGGAUUGUUUGAAGGCAACAUUAAAACAAAGGCGGCCCAUAGUCCUAGGAUGAUGCCAUCGGAUUGUUUGAAACAAAGGCGGCCGAGUAAAAGGGCAGUGACACGGAAGUGUUUCUCAGCCCUUUUUAACACUUACAAAUUUUUAAAUAUUAAAUGUUAUAAACGAUUCCUAUAAUUUAAGAAUACAUUUGAAAAUGAUUUUAAAAAAUAUUUUUAGUAAUUUUUUAAAGUAUAUUUAAUAGUGAUAGUAUGAAGUGUUUUCGGUGUUUAUAACACUUAAAAUUUUCAAUAUUUAAGUAUUAAACAUAUAAAAAAUACUUUCUAAAAUCACUAUCAAAUACGUUUUAAUACUUGAAUGAUGAAAAUUUUUAAAUAUUAAAAAUAAUAAAAGUGUUUUCCAAAAUCAUUAUCAAAUGGGUUUUAAGAUUGCAUUUAGAAGUGAUUUUAAAAAACGUUUUUAAAAUUUUUAAUACUUAAAUUAUAAAAAAAUUCAAGUGUUAAAAAUAUUAAAAACAUUUUCUAAAAUCAAUAACAAAUCGACUCUAAGUUUGUUAUUGAUACUUAAUAAAUCAUAUCUUUUAUUAUACAUCUUUCUAAAUUUAGUAUCAAAAAAACAAUUUUUCAAUGCCUGAUAAUUUUCUCCAUUGGUAUAAUUUUCCAAUUAUGUAAAAUAAAAAUAGUCAUAAAGGGAAAAUAAUUUUUUAGAACAAACUUUUGUUUGGGAUCUUGUAUAUAAAAAAUAAAUUUUUUGACUUAUUAUCCAUAAAACUUAUAAUGUAAAAGUUUUCAAAAUAUUUUUUAAAUAUUUUUUCUUUAUUUUUUCGAAAAAAAUUGAUAAAUAAAAUAUGAAAAUACUUUUAAAUUAUUUUUAAAAUAACCUAUUUUCACAACAAAUUUUUGAAAAAACAUUUUUUUUUCUCAAAAUUUGGUCAAAUAUAUUAUCUAAGUUGGAGUGUGUCUAAUAUCCUUGUAAAUGUAUUUGGACAAAGUUUUGGAUUUUUAUUAUUUACUUUUGCUUUUAACGGCAAAACUCACUUUAAAAAUCCAAAAAAUAAAAUGAGUUUGGAAAACAAAAUCCAUACUUUAAUCAAAUUUAAAUCCUUUAAUUUUCUCAUUUGUUUAAAGAAUCCCAUAUUUGAUGCCAUUGAUGAAUAAGAAAAAACUUCUUACAUCUCUUAUAGGAAUCAUCUAUCAAUAUUUGAGUAUAUUUUUUUUAGUGAUACAUGAUGUUAAUUGAUCGAACUAAAAUUGUUUAAUAAAAUCCGUCAAUAGAAAUGACAAUUUAGACACGACACGAUAAUGCAAUUUGAAAAUGAUAGGAUUGUUAAUAUGCUUGGGUUUGCAUGUGAUUGUGUCGUGUCUUACUAAACAUGUUUUAUUUGGGUUUUAUUAUUCACUUUGUUUAUGAUUUAUCUGCUUAAUUGUAUCAAAAUAAUUUAUUUAAGCCGUAUAAAUUUAAUAAUUUUAUACAUUCAAAUUAUAAAAAUUAUAAAUACUUUAUUAAUUAUAAAUAUCAUAUAGUAAAAACAUUAAAUAACUAAAUAAAAUUACAUUUGAUUAGAAAUAUUAAAAAUAGUUUAUAGUUAAAAUGUUAAAUAAAAUAAUAAGUAAAUAUAAAAAUUAAAAUAUUAUCCUACUUUUUAUAUUAUAAUCAAAAUUAAAUAAUUACAUUAAUUAAGAUUAAAAAAUUAAAACAACUAAAAAGUAUUUUAGAAUAAUAUAUUUAUAAAGUUAAAAUCAUGUUAAUUGAUUAUUAUGUCCAAUUUAACCCAUUUAUUAAAUGAGUUAAAUGAAUCAUAUUGAGUUACCUAUAUAAUAAAUGAGUUGUGUUUAUGGUGUUUAUGUCAGAUGUUGAUGUUUUUGACAUGAUGAUUAAAUAAGUCAUAUGAAUUAAAUAAAUUUUUACUAUUUUUUACUUUGAACACUUUGCCACCCACCCCUACUUGCUAACGUGCUUUUAAACAAAAAUCUUACAAUUUUCUCCCCAAUCCUUAUCCUUUUUCCCAUCGACAGAUUCCCUAUUAGGAAAAGAAGUUCCUUGUAUGCAUCUCUCACCCCAUUCAUGGUUUUAGACUUCAUAUUUAAGCUUUUCCAAAAAUAUGUAUAUAAAAUAAUAUAUUUUCUCCCCAAUCCUUAUCCUUUUUCCCAUCGGCAAAUUCCCUAUUACGAAAAGAAGUUUCUUGUAUGCAUCUCUCAUCCCCAUUCAUGGUUUUAGAAUUCAUAUUUAAAAUUUUCAAAAAACAUAUAUAUAUAUAUAAUAAUAUAUAAACUAAUAUAUUUUAUAGUGAAUAUGAUAAUUUCUUUUUAAAAAAAAUUAUAUAUAAAGAAAUAUAUUUAAUAUUAUAUGUAUAUAGUUUGGAUGGGUUUUGGAUAGGGAAUAGUGUCAUUUCCCUGGGUCGGGGCUCCCCAUCCCUAAUCCGGCUCCAUUAGGGAUGGAUUACCCGGGGGCACGACCUGGCUGAUUUUUUAUGCCAUCCCUGCUGGAGGGUGGGCUGGGAUCUGUUGCCCAAAGCAUGGCCCAUGGGCCCCAACAUUGGUAAAAUCUUGAAACCCUCUAAGAUCAACAUUUGUUAUAUGGGCCGCCAAUUAGACUGCAGGCCUAAAAAACUUCUAUAGUUUAUGAAGACAGAACCCAACAGGCCCAUCAGACCAAGAAUCAGAUUACAGCAGAAAGGUUUUUGGAAAGUAGAAGAGUUGCAUGAUCAUGAUGGGAAAGAAGAAAAUGGCCCAGACCAUUCUUAAAACUUGGAGGUUUGAUAAAGUCCCAAAAUAAAAAUUCCCACUUUUCAAUCAAUUUCAAAUUUCCACAUUUUUCUCCACAACCAAACAAAUAAAUGAAAAGACAAUUUAAAUAGACCCAAAUUAAAGAGGUGUAAAAUUUGCUAAAUAGAAAUUGCCUUCACACUUGAAUCAACAACGGAGCCCACUCAAACACCAGUGGUCUCUUUUUAUUCCAGUGGGGAAAGGCGAGGGGCCCAAGCCCAAGACCAAACUUCUAAAACAAAAAUAAAACUCAAAGGGAAGAGAAAAUUGGGAUACCGGGAGGGAACUGCCUGCAUCAACAAUAAGAAUAUUGCCUGUAAUAUAUCGAGAAGAAUCAUGAACCAAGAAUCGCACCAGGGAGGUCACUGCAGGAUCCAAGGUGCCAAAUGUUUGUAGAGGAACCAUUUUUAGAGUCACAUUAUUCAGCCAACUUUUUUGUAGUAAGCCCUCUGUUAUCUCUGAUUUGAAGAGUCCAGGUGAUAUUGCGUUUACCCUCACAUUGUACAUCCCAAAUUCUAUGGCCAUGACCUGUGUUGUUCACAUUUGAAAAACAAAAACCAAUUUUGUGGUAACCACGUAUAAUUUGCAUAAUCUUGGAUUUGAUAAAAAAUAAUUUCAAAUUUUGGAUUUGAAAAACAAAAACAAAUGUGUUGUUCACAUUUGAAAAACAAAAAACAAUUUUGUGGCCAUAACCCUCCUUGAUGCCCGUCACGCAUCCGUCUACAUACAUGUUUCGACACCAGCCAUGUUCCAUUUAAAUUCGUCUUCAUACCCUCACCCCACUCUUCCUCGUCCAACUCCAAUGAAUUUUUCACAGUACCUAUAUACCACCCCCAUACAAGUUAAAUAUGUAACAUUAGAUUAGAGGGAUUACAUGUGUGGUUUUUCAUUUAAAAAAUCAAUCAUAAAGAAAAUAAAAUUGAAUCAAAAUUUAGGCUUACGCAUUAAUAACAUUCAAUGGUUAUUUGAUUAUAUUAUUGAUUUAGUGAAAAUAUUUUAUAUUAUGGAUUAUAAAUAUAAAUAUAAUAAUACGGUUAAAUAGACAAAUACCACAUCUAAUCAUAUGAUAUUAUUCGAUUUGAAAACAAAUGAGUCUCAUAAUUUUAAAAUACGUAUAAGAUUAAAAAAAAUCUUUAUAUAUAUCGCUCGAACUUUCUCUCCUAUGCUAUAUAAAAUUAAAGAUGAAUUUUUAUAUAGAGUUAAGAAACUUUCUUCCGAAUAAUGGAAUAUUAGAUCACGAAACUACAUGAUUUUAGAAAUAUUUAUGGUGGAAUGAUUAUUUUUCAUAAAAAUUAUUGUAGUUGUGCAAAAAGGCCCGCCGCAUGGUGAACAACAAUAAUCAAAAGCAAAUAUAAAUUACGUCUCACAUCUGCAAUUUUUAACUAACCACGAGAGUCAAAAUUUUUCUUUUCUUUUUAUUUCUCGAGAAAAUAGAAGAAGGAAACCAUAAUCACCUCUAAAGCCGACAUUAUUUAUCAAAACAUCAAUGCGUCCAAACCCGUCCCAAGCUUUAUGCACGGACGCAUCGAUGGUAGGGUCAUCAGCGGUGACAUCGAAUUCCACGGCCACUGCUCGGACAGUGGUGUUAGGGUUUAAAGGAGAGCCAGAAAAUGCAGGAUGGUUAAUCUCGUCGCAGAGAGACUUGAGUCGAUCUGUCCUGUGAGCCACCGCGACGAUCUUGCAGCCGACUCGAGCGAGGUUGAGACACAAUUCUCGGUCGAGACUUGAGGACGCUCCAGUGACCAAAAUCACCUUACCCUCUAGGUUGUUCCAUGGCUCGGGGUUGUUCGACUCUUGGUUCGCCAUUGCCUCUGAUCUCAGUUUAUGUUUACUGUUUAUAGAGAGAGGCAGAGAGAUAAAAUAAAGAACAGCUGCAAAGAGUAUUUAUUUCAGGAUACCGAAAAGGGAAAAAAUAACGUCAUUUAAAAAAAUAUUAAACUGUUGUAAAAUAAGGACAAAUACAAUGCAAAUAAAAGUAGUAGAGAUUAAAUAUAUCUUACUUUGAUAUAUAAUAAGGAAGAAGAAAUCAGAGAAGAGAGUUGAGAGAAUGAAAAAGAGAGAGAGAGAAUGAGAGGAAGAAUUUUUCUUUCUUUUUCUCAGGAUGCUUUUACAUGGGGGUGGGGUAAGAAGCCUUUUAUAAGCUUCAUAAUAUGAACUCCCAUUACUCAUCUUAAAGAUGAGUAAAUGGAGUUCAUAAUGGCCAUCAAUGUGGUCAUUCAUUACUUUUCAUUUACAACACUCCCCCUUGGAUGACCACCAUAUUAAAAGAAUACGCCUCAUUAAAACCUUGCUAGUAAAAAACCUUAUAGGAAAAACCUAGCGAAGGAAAAAGAGUACAAUAUUCUUUUCUUGGUAUAUUAAGACUGCCUCAUUAAAAACCUUGCCAGUAAAACCCAGUAGGACAAAACCUGGACGAAGGAAAAAAGAGUACAAUACAUUAACACCCUUUUACAAGCAUACUCCCUCUCAUGUCGAUAUCCUUGAGUUGACGCAUUCCAAUCAUGUGUAUUAACUUCUUGAAUGUUGAGGUUGGCAAUGAUUUUGUGAAUAAAUCUGCUAGAUUAUCACUUGAGCGUAUUUGUUGCACAUCAAUUUUACCACUCUUCUGGAGUUCAUGUGCAUAAAAGAAUUUUGGUGAAAUGUGUUUAGUUCUAUCUCCUUUAAUAUAACCCCCUGUUAUUUGUGCAAUGCAUGCAACAUUAUCUUCAAAUAAUGUUGUCGGGUCACCUUUGAUAGAGAAUAGUCCACAUGAUUCCCGAAUAUGCUGGAUCAUAGAUCUUAGUCAUAUACAUUCACGACUUGCUUCAUGAAUUGCCAGUAUUUCUGAAAGAUUUGAUGAUGUGGCUACCAUUGUUUGUUUGACAGAUCUCCAUGAAAUAGCAGUACCAUUGCAAUUAAACACAUACCCUGUUUGUGAUCUACCUUUAUGUGGAUCUGAAAGAUGUCCUGCAUCUGCAUAUCCAAGCAAUUGUUGUUUUGAUUCCUUUGAAUAGAAUAAAUUCAUAUCAGUAGUUCCGCGAAGAUAACGCAAUAUAUGUUUGAUACCAUUCCAAUGUCUUCGAGUUGGAGCAGAACUGUAUCUUGCUAAUAAAUUGACAUAAAAAGCAAUGUCUGGACGUGUAUAAUUGGCAAGAUACAUAAGUACACCAAUAACACUAAGAUAUGGUACUUCAGGACCAAGUAACUCUUCAUCCUUUUCGCAAGGAUGAAAUGGGUCCAUUUUUCACAUCAAGUGAUCGGACAACCAUUGGAGAACUUAAAAGAUGCGCUUUAUCCAUAUAAAAACGCUUCAAAACUUUCUUAAUGUAUGUUGAUUGAUGUACUAAAACUCUAUUUGGAAAAUGCUCGAUCUGCAGGCCAAGACAAAAUUUUGUUUUUCCAAGAUCUUUCAUCUCAAAUUCCUUUUUCAAGUAAUUUGUUGUUCUUGUGAGCUCUUCAGGAGUUCCAACAAGAUUUAAGUCAUCAACAUACACUGCAAUAAUUGCAAAUCCGAUUUCUGAUUUCUUAAUGAAGAUGCAUGGGCAUAUAGGGUUAUUCACAUACCCUUCUUUUAGCAAGUAUUCACUAAGGCUUAUUUGUGCCUCUUCUAGGGCUAUAGAUUUAUCAAUUUUAAACUGAUCAGUCAUUUUGAUGGCCUCUUCUAGAAUGCCAAGUUUUUCUUGGGUUCUCCUCUUUCGGGGAGUUACAUCCUUUGAGCCGACAUGUCUACCACACUUCAGGCGUAUCUUAGAUUCAUUUGUUAAUUGUCUUACAGGGACAUCAAUCCGUGCUAGAGUAUUUGCAGCCGGGAUAUGUGACUUUGUCACUUUCUUUGUAUCAAUGAAUGCAUCUGGUAAUUGAUUUGCAAGAUUUUGCAAAUGAAUGAUCCUUUGAACUUCUAGUUCACAUUGAUUUGUACGAGGAUCAAGAUGGGUCAUAGUAGACGUUUUCCAACUAAUUUCUCAUCGUUCUUCAGGAAUCAACUUUUCUCCCCUUAAUGACGGGAAAACACUCUCAUUAAAAUGACAAUCCGCAAAGCGGGUUGUAAAAACAUCGCUUGUCAAAGGUUUAAGAUAUCUUAUGAUAGAUGGAGAAUCAAAACCUACAUAAAUCUCAAGUCUUCGUUGGGGACCCAUUUAGUGCGUUAUGUAGGUGCAAUUGGUACAUAUACUGCACAACCAAAGAUUCGUAAGUGAGAGAUAUUUGGUUGUUUUCCAAACACAAGUUGUGAAGGAGAGUAUUCAUGGUAAGCUAUAGGUCGAAUACGAACUAAAGCUGCAGCAUGCAUAAUAGCAUGACCCCAGGCGGAAGUAGGUAAUUUGGUUAUCAUUAGUAAUGGUCGAGCUAUUAAUUGGAGACGUUCGAUGAAAGAUUCUGCUAAACCAUUCUGGGUAUGAGUAUGAGCAACAAGAUGUUUAAUAUUUAUCCCUACUGACAUGCAAUAGUCAAUGAAUGUUUGAGAAGUAAAUUCGCCAGCAUUAUCAAGACGUAUUGUCUUAAUUGGAUAAUCUAGAAAUUGUGCUCGUAAUCUGAUUAUUUGUGCAAGGAGUAUAGCAAAGGCUACGUUACGUGUAGAAAGGAAACAAACAUGUGACCAUCUAGUAGAAGCAUCUAUUAAGAUCAUAAAAUAACAAAAUGGUCCACAUGGUUGAUGGAUAGGCCCACAUAUGUCCCCAUGUAUUCUUUCUAAAAAGAUUGGUGACUUAGAUAUGACUUUAAUAAAAGAUGGUCUGAUUAUCAAUUUAUCUUGUGAGCAGGCAACACAUGAGUAUUCAUUGGGCGAAAGAAUCUUUUGGUUCUUUAGUGGAUGCCCAUGUGAGUGUUCGAUUAUUCGAUGCAUCAUUGAAGACCCUGGGUGACCUAGUCUGUCAUGCCAAAGGACAAAAACUUUUGGGUCGUUGAACUUCUGGUUCACGACAACAUAUGAUUCAAUAGACUUUAUAGUUGUAUGAUACAACCCAUAGAAGAAAGCCGGGAGUUUUUCCAUUAUAAGUUUCUGGUCAGAUAUAAUGGAAGUAAUGUAAAGAUAUUCUAUAUUAUCUUCAUUCAUAGUUUCAAUAUGAUAUCCAUUUCUGUGGAUAUCUUUAAAACUGAGCAAAUUUCUUCUGGAUUUGCUAGAAUAUAACGCGUCAUUUAUAUGGAAUCUAGUUCCAUUUGGCAACGUUAUGUUUGCUCUUCCAGAGCCUUCAACUAAGUUUGUAAUACCAGAUAUGGUACUUACAUUAGCUUUUAUUAAUGUCAAUUCGAGGAAAUAUCUUUUAUCUCGAAGAAUUGUAUGCGUGGUCGCACAGUCUGCGAGACAUACAUCAUCCUCAUUCAUCUUGAGACCAAAUAACACAUGGAUUUCAUAUAUAACAAAAAAACAGGGCAUAAUGUAAAUAACAAAGUAAAUCAGAUGUAAAUGUAAGACAUAAUAAUAUAUUAUUAUAUAUAUAAAGUAACAUCAAUCAAUGUUAAUUUUUUCAUCAUUUAUCAAAUGGUCUGUUUUUUCAUUGGGACCUCCAAAGAAAUCAAUGUCAUAGUAGGUUAGGUCUAAUCCAUCACCAUCGGUAAAGUUCAUCUCUAUCUCUUUUCCUUUAACUUUUAUUGAUGCUUGGUAAAGGUCGACCAAAUGUUUGGGCGUACGACAGGUACGUGACCAAUACCCCUUAAUACCACAUCUAUAACAAUAUUUCUUAUGAUUCUUAGGAGGUUUAUCUUGUAAAUGCUUCCCAUUUUCUUAUUUUGCCUCAGUAUUGUUCCAUUUCGUAUUGUUCCACUUCUAGUGGUGCAAUGAGGCUUUCAUUUUCUGAGAAUUAUUACUAUAAGAACCAUGAUAUCGAGGAUUUCUUUCACAACCAUAAUCACGUUCUCAUCCACGUCCACGAGUUUGGGACGAUAUUGCAUUCACUUCAGGGAAUGAUUCAAAUCUAGUUGGAUGAGACUGGUGAUUUUUCAUCAAAAGCUCUUUUUUUAUAUAAAAAAAAAAACCUUCAUGGAGAUGAUGACGAAGGAAAAUCAAUGCUUUUGCGCGAUCCUGCAGGGAUGCUUGAUUUCCUUGUUUGAUCGUAGCUCCAAGGUCCAUUACAUCAAGAUGUAAUUUAGUAUCAAGGAUCCAUGAUAGAUAGUUCUUUCCUGAAGUGUCAAGUGCCACAAAUUCGAGUUUUGUGAUAUUCGACAUUGUAAAAUAACUUCAUAUAUAUGACAAAACAAUAUUAUUAGAAUCAGUUAUAAUAACUUGAUAGCAUUGGUAUAACUUUGAUUAUAAACAAAAUCAAAUAAUUUGUUUAUAACUUUUAACAAUAUGUAACAAAACAAAUCAACAAUAAUAUAAAUAUGCAAAAUUUUAUUCUAUAUAAAUAACUUCAAGUUUAAGAUACGAGAAUUACCUUCAGAGCAAUUCGUGCUAAUAACGUGUUGUAAAACAAGGACAAAUACAGUACAAAUCAAAGUAGUAGAGAUUAAAUAUAUCUUACUUUGAUAUAUAAUAAGAAAGAAGAAAUCAGAGAAGAGAGUUGAGAGAAUGAAAAAGAGAGAGAGAGAAUGAGAGGAAGAAUUUUUCUUUCUUUUUCUCAGGAUGCUUUUACAUGGGGGGGUAAGAAGCCUUUUAUAGGCUUCAUAAUAUGAACUCCCAUUACUCAUCUUAAAGAUGAGUAAAUGGAGUUCAUAAUGGCCAUCAAUGUGGUCAUUCAUUACUUUUCAUUUACAACAUAAACAUAUUUUUUAAAAUUUGUCAUAAUUUUUUUUUUCAACUAUACUUUAGAGUGCAUUUUAUAUUGAUUUUAAGAAGCGUUUCUACCAUUUAUAAUAUUUGAAAGUUUUUAUGAAAUUUUUUAUUUUUAAAGUAUUAGAAAUAUUAAAAAACACUUCUUAAAAUCACUACCAAACAUAUUCUUAUAAUGCGAGUAAUGAUUUUAGUAAGUGUAACACUAAAAAAAUUUCAUUAUUUAAGUAUUAUAAAUCUCAAAAAUACUUCUUAUAAUUAUUGUCAAACUCACUUUUAUAAUCCAAACAUAUAUUUUGGUGAAAUAUUUAUAUUAAAAUAAUAAGAUAUGAAAUGAAAAACAUAAGAAAAAAAAUUAAAGAAAAGGAAAAAAAUUUAAAAAGCUAAUAUCCAAAAUUGAAAAUUAUUUUCCUUUCUAACAAAAUAUUCCUAGUAUUUGCAUCAGGUUUAUUCCUUAUAUUUUCUUGUUUUAACUAUCAAUUUUAAAUAAAAAUAAAAUACUUGUGGCACAAAUUUAUCUUAUUGUUAUUUUUAUGGCAAUUAAAUAAGAAAAAAUAAAAUUUCUUUCAUUUUACAAACUUGAAUAAAAAAUUUCUGCUAUUGCAGGAUACGUAUUUUGAAGAAUCGUGGACUAGGUAAUGCGCUAAUGAUAUCAAUGCAAAGUCGGACAAGCCAAGUGCUUUUAGGGGAAGAAUCCUUAAAGCCACUGUUGACCCCAAAAUUUGUCUUGAUUUUUAUUUUUACAUUAAUUUUAAGUCAAAUUUUGUCAUCAAAUUUUAAAUCCCGAUUACAUGUGAUAUUUUUGGCUCACUUAUCCUUUAAUUCUUAAUUUUUAUUAUUUUGUUUUUUUUGUUAUUAUUAUUUAUAUUAUAUAUAUAUAUAUUAUUAUUAUUAUUAUUAUUUUUUCUUUCUCUUUCCUCUCUUUUCUCUUCACCCACCUAUCCUCCACCAACCCUCACCUACCCCCAUGCUCUCCCACGUCCAAAACUCCCGCUCUCCACCCUUCAUCUUUCUUUUUUCCUUUUUUUAUUGAUUUUUUUUCUCCCUCCAUUUCCCGAGAUUGGCGGGCCCUCCCCCAAUUGGUUUCCCUUCAUUUUUUUCCCUCCCAUUCCCGCCAUUUCCAAGAAAAGGUGGUCGACUCUUCCUUCUCUCUAGGCUCUUUCCUCUUCUUUUUUUGGCUUAUGGGGGGCUUUGGUUUUUUGGGAGGAGUUUUUUCCCCCUUACUCUCACGGGGUCAACCCCCAAUUUUUUUUUUCUUUACCCCUCCGUUCACUCUAUCUCUGUAACUCCCUACUACGGACUCCUAUUCACUGCCGGCCCAUCUCCCCAUUUCAUCCCUCCGAUUUUUUUUUCUUUUCUCUUCUCUCCCCCAUCGGCACACUUGGCUGCCCAUCCUCCAGCUCCUUUCUUCCAUUUUUAUAUUUAUUUAUUUAAUUACUAUUAUUAUUAUUUUCUCUUUCCCUCCUUAAACUCUCACACUAUCAACGGUGUGACGUAGGUGCCUUUUCCCGCGCCCCCUCCAUCCCCAUUUUCUCCCAUUUUAUUUAUUUAUUUUUAUUUAUCUUUAUUUUAUUUUAUUUUUGUUUCCAAAAAGCCAUUCACUACCGCCGGCAAGGUCACUGACGACCUCCUUCCUUUUUCUCUCAUCCUCUCACUUUCCCAUAUCACUCAUUUUCCAUUUUUAUUGUUACUAUUAUUAUUAUUACUACUACUACUAUUUUUUUUCUUUUCUUUCUCUUUCUUGAUUUGAUUUUAAUAGCAUUUGUAGUUUAUAAAAUUUGAAUUAUUAGAUUAAUAUGUACUUUGGGUUAAUUUAUUGUUGGUGGAUUAAUUUGAAAUUUGUUAAUUUGGAUUUGUGGGCAUAUUGCAUUUGGUGAUUAAUUUGGGAUAUUUGGAUUAUAUCAAUAGCAUAUUGUUUGUUUUAUUUGAACUUGGGUUUAUUGCUUAUAGGUUAUUUGUUUGAGCUUAUUAGAUUUGGCUUGAAAUGUUAUUUCCUUUGACCAUAUGUAUUAUUCAUGUGGCCUAUUGGUAAUUGGUUAUUUGUUUGGGCUUAUUGGAUUGAGCUUAAGAUAUUAUUUUAUUUGGUCAUGUGUAUUAUUAAUGUGGGCUUGUUAAUUGAUGUGAAUUUUGGGCCCACAAUAUGGGUGAGAUUUAUUGAAUGAUUUGAAUAUUUGAUAUGAGCUUGGUCUAUUAGAAUUAUUUAAUUUGGACAUGGGAUAAUUAUGAUGCAUAUUAAAUUAGACUUGGAUUAUGAAAUAUCAAAUUUAGGCAUAAUAAGAUUUAUUUUAAUUUAUUGUGUUUUGGGUUUGAUUAAUUGAAUUUAUAUUUUGGUUAUUAAUUUAGAAAUUUUAGAUUAUGGUAUAUGAUAUGUGAGAUAUUUUUAUUGGGUUAUAUUUGUUAAUUUGGACCCAUUUAUAAUUGGUGAAAUUUAUUAGAUUAAUUUGAAGUUUGAAUUUGGGCUUGAAUAAUUAUUUUCGACUCUACAUAUUUUUGAAUACUUACACAUUUUUAUUUUUGCAUGGAUCCGAUCUGCAAUCUUGUUGGUUGAGUACGAAUUUAUGACACGUGGAGCUUGUUGUAAGUUUAUUUUCCACUUUUAUUUGGCUUUAUUUUUAUUAGUUCUUGUAAAUAUUCGUUUGUAUAUACUUAUUGAGGGUGUACAGAAUUGAACAUCGAACAAACUAGAAAUUUUGUUUAAAUGAAAUGAAGAUGUCACUAAAUGUGUUUUGAUAAAAUAUCAAUUUUAAAAUAUUAUUUUUAAUAAAAUAAAUUUUUUUUAUUUAUUUAUAAAAAUUCAGAAAAAUGCAUUUAGAAAAACCCCAAAAAAUUGUUUUCAAUGGAGUUUGAAAAUUUGUUUUUAAAUAAUAUUUGUCCAAAAUUUUCUUUGUUUAAUAAAAAUUGUCCAAAUAUUGUUUUGUAAAUAAAGUUGUCCAAAAAAUUAUUUUUUAAUAAAAUUGUCCAAAAAAUGUUUUUUUUAAAUGAAUUCUUUUUCCUUAAUUAAAAUGUGAUUAAAAGUAUUUUUUAGAAACAGAUGAUUUAAAUCUUUUUUUCUUUUUAAUUAAGAUUUCUUUUGCAAAUAAAGUUACGUUUUUUUUUUUUAAUAAUUUGUAUAAAUCACUUUUUUUAAAUGAAAAUAAAUUGAAAUAUUUUUGUAAAUAAAAUUGUAAAAAUUCAUUUUUUUAAAUAAAAAAAACAAGUAAAAAUAAUUUUUGUGUCCAAAUUGAAAUUUGUAAUGAAUUCUUUUGAUACAAUAAGUGUAAAUAACUUUUUUUGAAAAUUAAAUACAAAUGAAAUUGAAUCAAAUCACUUAAAAAAAUAUUUUGUAAAUAAAUAAAUUGAAAUCACUAAUUCAAAAUCAUUUUUAAUAAAAUCCUUUGAGAUUUCUUGAAAACUAUUUUUUUUAAUAUUUUUAUUUAUUUAUUUAUUUAGUUCAAUAAAUCAUUUUGUAUCAUUCUUUUGUCAUUUAUUUUGUGUAUUAUUAUAAUUAGAUUUCUUCAUUAUUUUUGUGUAUAUUAAUUUUUAUCGUGACUUCUAUAUUGAUUAUUUUUCUCGAUAUCCAUAAUUAAUUAAUUAAUUGUCACAAUUCCCUUAAUUCGUUUAAUAGAGGCAGUAUAUAUACGAGUUUAGAGGGGUGCUAUGGCUUACCACCGUACUUUCUUAAUAAGUAACCUGACUCCCGGAACCAAAUUCGGUUUUUCAUAAACUUGUUUUUCCUUUAGGAGUCACACUUAGUGUUUUUAUUUUUUAUUUUGUUUUUCCUUUUUAAAAUAAAAUAAAAAUAAGUAGUUAUUCCAAGUUUUUUUUUUCUAAAAAUCAAAUUUUCACCAAAUAAAAUAGAAAACAAGUUUCUCCAUCGAGUGGGAAUGCAUCGAACAAAAAUGCGAGGUUUAUAGCCACACUCUUGAUCCAAUGUUUUUUCAUAAGCACCUCCGUUAUUUCAGAAUUUGAAAAGCCCGGGAGCUAUUGCAUUCACUCUGAUAUUAUGCAUUCCAAGUUCCAUAGCCAUGACCUAGUAUUGUCAACGUGUUAUGGUCCAAUAAUAAAUUCAUUCUUUAAUACCAAAUUCAAUAAAUAGAAAAGAUGGUAAAUCAAAUCUAUAAAUAGAAUAAUAAUACUAGGAAAUAAUUGUCCAUUAAUAAUGUUACAUAAAGUUCUACUUAAGAAUGAUUUGAUUUUAUAUAAAUAUUGUAAAAUGUUGAUAUCUAGUAAUGGACUAUAAAAGCCAAUAUUGGGUUUUAUAAACUAUAUAUGAAAAUUAAUGAAUAUUUAACAAGGGAUUAAUUAUUAUUAUAGUACGAAAGAAUAUUUAGGAUUGUGUUAUUAGAUUAAAAUACAAGUGGGUAUUUUGUAAAAUAUGUAUAUUUGAAAUUCUAAAUUGUUUUCCUAAAGAAUCCAAUCACGCCCUCAUUUUGGCUUACCGGGAAGUAACAAUUCAUUUUGAAAUAUGAAAAGUUCAUAAUAAGUAAACACAGUUCAUCAUUCAUACACAUUUACUUCCAAAGUUAAAAUAUAAUAAAUAUAUAAAUAAAUUGAAUUAAAAAAUAUUAUAAAUUUACAACAAAUUGUAAAAUUAUAAAAGUUGUAAAUGUUGUCACCUCGCGUAUCCGGUGGUCCACGUUGCUGCUAGAUGGAUGGACACGCGAUUCUCAACACACAAGGGGUUCUUGAUUCAGUGGUUGUACCUGCAAAAAGGCAUCCGGACAGGGUGUCCGGAUGCACCCUCCGAUGAUGUUGUUAGCCAUAGUAAGAGAGUAAGAUAUAUGAGGCAGUUGGCCUUUUACUAGGUAUCAAGAGGUUACCAGGAGAUCAUCCCUUUCUUCUUCGUGUGAAGUCAUAUAUAUACAGCUUCAGGGGUACUGUUCCUCUCAUUAAUGGUGAGGAGAUAUUUUCUAUUGUGAUGAUGACAAUAGGUGUUAGUAGGAGCAUUAUCAUCCUACGAAUGGCUGUCAGAGACCAUGGUAGGUGAUGCGGCUGUCAGAGAUCGUGGGAAGUGAUUAUGUAGAAUGAUCGUGGGAAGUGACUUGCUGUCACUUCCUCUUGUCUUCUCAUUCUGCAGGUAAUGGGAUGUGGGCCAUGGCUGCUUGUUGUGAUUGCGUGUAAGACUCGCUUUACUUUAAUUGACCAUCCAGACGAUUUAUAUCCGGAUGGAUCAUGUUGAUUAUCCGGAUGUGUUGUGGAGACUAUCCGGGUGUCUACGCUCUGCCAGCGUCGUUUGCUCUUCCUUGGAUAGGAGAAGCUGAAACGUCGUUUACCUUUCCUUGAGGGGUUCCGGAUAGGAUAGCCGCACCAUGCAUAUCUUUAGGAGAAUCCGGAUGAUGAUGGUCCGGCUGAUAGCACGUGCCACGCGUCACCAUGAGCUGCGUGCCACGUGUUUCCCAAGGGGAGGGGUCCCUACAUUGCCCCCCUUUUUAACUUGCCUAUUUUGCCUAAAAAAUGGGCGGGUUAAAAAUAACUGGGUUUUUGAAAAUUGAAAAAGUCCAUUCGUCUAACUUGGCCACGUGGCGAGUGAGGGUGCGGAAGCCAAAAAAGGCAUUUAUGGCGAGCCGCCGACCCUGUGUAUCCCCAGGCAAUAUGUCGUUUCAAUGAUAACAUGGCUGUUGGUUUGGCUUUCCGAGGGGCUGUCCUGCUAUAAAUAGGGCACUGUACCUCUUUUUGUAUUUUUUCUACUGCAUUCUCUUGAGAGCCUUCCUUCUUCUUACUUUUUUCUGCGUCCUUUGCUUUUCUGAGAAAAACUUCGAACGACCUCGUUUGUUUGUUGCCGGUGAUUUUAUACCGAGAGAGUAACCGUUGUUUUUCUUCAGAGCUCUAUUUGGUACGUACCUCUUUGCUACUGUCAUUCCUUUGGUUGCGUUUGCUGGUUCUUUAAACUUGGUUCCUGGCUUUGUUUUGGACAAGUCGCUUGCAAUUGUUUGUUGAAUGUUGGUACUUUGUUGUUUGUUUGGAGGGGUUUUUGAGGGGUUUUUCUGACUGCUUUGGGUUAGGGUUUGUGUAUUUUCUGAUUGCUUGGUCUGAACCGUUUGCAUUGCUUUUGCGUGCAGAUUUUACUUUGGCUUUGUGGUGAGAAAUGGCUCCAAAAAAGACUGUUUCGUCUGUCCGGGUCAACGAGGCUGGCGAAAAGGCGAUAGAUAAACUAAAUGCGAAGGAGUUCCGGGAGCGAUUCCGCAUCCCCCAUGACGUAUUGAUAGACUUGGUGAACGAGGAGGCGGCUAUGCCUACUGAGAAAGGUGGAAAAAACGUUAUCCUCUUCACAAAGGAACAAUUCAACGCGGGGCUCCGGUUCCCUCUGCCGUCGUUGUUCAAGGAAUUCCUCUACUUCUCUCAGAUUCCACCCAUCUUCAUUCAUCCCAACCUUGUCCGGGUGCUGAUGGGAUGCAGCAUCAUCAACAUGCUGUACAGCCUCGACCUUACACUACUGGAGUUGUUCUUUGUCUAUUCCCUGAAGAAAGCAAAGAAUGAUAUCUUCAGUGUGUCCGCUCACCUGCCCUCCCUUCAAAUGGUGACAGAACUGCCAGAUUCGACAAAGGGAGGGGCGAAGGGGCUGGUGGCAGUCUGGGGUGGAUGGGCGGGGCUAUCGCAGCAUCCGUCGAGGCCUUUUUCUCCGAAUUAUACCUUAAAAAUUCCGGGUAAUCUUGUUUUGCGACUUUUUUGUGUCCGGAUUUUGCUUUGCUGAUUUUUUUCUGAUUUUUCCGGACGGAAUUCUCACCUUUUGUUGCUGACAACGCAGGUUUGGAAUUGAGGGGCCACCUUGUGGAUUGGGUGGAAAAGACAUCCUUUGCCUGCGUCUGCAAAUUAUUUGAAAUAGACCCCAAGGAGAGGGCCUACAAAACAUUGCUUUCCGCGCGGAAUUUGACAGAGGUCGUCCGGGAGCCCCAGGAAUAUGUUAUCAAUAUUCUUCCUAGGAAACUGGCAAAGGAUGAGAUAGUGCCUGGGGAGCAUUACACUGUGAAGGAGCUCCCCCUCUAUCAGGAAGCUAAAGAGGCUGACGCUGAAAGGCGGCGAAAGCUCCUGGAGGAUAGAGAUCAGAAAAAAACUGAAGGCACUAUCCGGAAGGCUCCCGGACAGAAGCGGGGUCCGGACUCUCCUCCAAAGAAAACUUCAGGAAAAAGGGGGAAGCUGGUGAAGAAGCAUGGGAAGGACAUGAAGGAACCCACUCCUCCCAAGGAGUUUCCUUCUCCCCAAACUGCCUAUGAGGGGGAAGUAAUGAUAGAGGAGCCAGUAAAUGCUGCUCCGCACUCUAUCUCAAGCGGCCCCGGACGCAUGUCGGGUUUGAAUCACUCAGGUCCUUCCUUGGUCGCGGCUGCGCGUCUGGCUAACGUGGCUGAGGAAGCUGCAUCUAUCAACCGUCCGGGCAACCUUAAUCCGGAUGCUGAUGCAGCUGAAACGGCCCCGUUGGAGGAAGCGGGAGCAGAAAGCCAAAGUCAGCCUUCCGACGACCCGGAUCGCCUGGCCAUAGUCCUGGUGAAAGGGCCUCCCCUCAAGAAGUCGCGUUUGACGCGCGAUCUACAGUCCGGACUCUUUGAGCGGCUUCAAGAGCGGCAGCAAGAGAUUGAAAUUAGCUGCGCUUCUGCCCAUGACGCUCAUCCGGAUGGAGGCGAGGUGGAGAUGGCUACUGAGACCUCAGCCGCCCCGGCAAUAAUUCCGGCUGAGGAUGCAUCCGGACCUAUGUGUCCGGACGAAGAUAUGGGGGUUCCGAUUCCGGGACAAGAGUUACCCUCUGCUUCCUCACCUGAGGAGGAAUCUGCUGACGAUGCCGCUCCUACUAGCCCUUUCAGCUACGCGGAGUUGGAAGUUAAGUUAAAGCAGAUUACUCCUGAUUGGAGAGCCAUCAAGCCCUCUGCUCAGAUGUUUGAUAUGAUAGAAACGGUAUAUCGUUGUCUUGUGUUUUUGCUUUUUGACUUUUUGUUGCACUGAUGUGUUUGUUGUAGUAUGAUUUAUGUCUUUGCUUUUCUUGUUUGUGUGUCAGCUGGUGAGGGGCCUCCGUAGCAUGUCUCAACAACACGAUCUUUUUACUCAGCUGCUGCAGACUGCAGACUAUAUGAGGACCUUCUCCUCUCGGCGCCAAGAGAUUGAAAAUCAACUGCGUCUGAGAAUGGAGGAGGCUGAGGCCAGUCUAUCCACCAUGCGAGAGGAAAAUGAAGCCCUCCGGGUGGAGUUGGCUGAGGCAAAGGGUCGAGAAGAAUCAACUGCGGGUCGCCUUCAUGAGGCGGAGGGUGAGGCAGCCCGGCUAAGGGAUGAAUUGAGUCAACUCCGGACAGAGGUUUUGAAUGAAAAGAAACAGAAGGAAGACUUGCAGCUGCGUCUGGAUGUGCAAAAAGAGGAACUUGAACGGGAGUUUGCUGUGGAAAGGGAGGAACUUGCAGCGGAUUACCAGAAACAAGUGGAUGAUACAUUUAUCUUUGGGUAUCGCUGCUGCAUGAAGAAGAACGGUAUAAAGCGAGAUACCCCUUCAAUUCCUCCAAGUGAAGAAAAGAAGCUCCAUGAGAAACCUGCUCCCUGAUAGUUUAUCUCUUUUUGCAAUUUUUCUGCUGUAAUUUUUCCUUCUGUAUUUUCUUGUGGUCCGGAGAUCUCUUUGUAAUUACAUUUAUUCAUAUCAAUAAAACAUACUUCUUUCUCAUUUGCACUUGUGUAUACUUUUUACUGAUAGUACUGCUUUAAAUUGGACACAUUCCAUGGUCUGAGUAACGGAGUGCCAUCUAGCUUUUGUAAAUGAUAGGCUCCAUUUUCAUUUGCCUUAGACACUAUGUAGGGUCCUUCCCAAUUGGCUUGAAACUUUCCUGCGCCUACUUCAGCAGUAUUUUCAAAAACUUUUCUAAGUACUAGCGUACCAUUUUUGAAGUUUCUGGGCCUGACUUUUCGAUUGUAAUGCGCUGAUGCCCUUUGUUGAUAAUCUGCCAUCCGGAUGGACGCGCUUUCUCUGACUUCAUCUGCCCAGUCCAAAUUUCUUCCUAGUUCCGUGUUGGCGUCUUUUUGCUUUGCUGCAUCAGUCCGGAUAGUAGGAAGACCUAUUUCAGUGGGAAUGACUGCAUUCAUUCCAUAUGUGAGGGCAAAAGGAGUAUUUCCUGUUGGUCGUCCGGGUGUGGUUCAAUAGGCCCACAGGACGCCGGGUAGCUCCUCCACCCACUUCCCUUUGGCUUGCUCCAGCCUUUUCUUUAAGGCAUUGAUUAGAGUUUUGUUUGUGACUUCCGCCUGGCCAUUGCUUUGAGGAUAACGUGGCGUGGAGUAUGAAUUCCGGAUAUUCAAUUCCGAACAGAAAUUCCUGAAUGCAAUGCUGUCAAAUUGUGGACCAUUGUCAGCUAUGAUGAUUUGGGGAAUUCCAAAGCGGCAAACAAUGUUCUUCCAUACGAAUUUGGUGACAUCUUUAUCUUUGAUGCUUGCAUAUGCUUCAGCUUCUACCCAUUUACUGAAGUAAUCAGUGGCGACAAGGAGGAAUUUCUUCUGGGCAGGUGCUGCUGGGAGGGGUCCUACAAUGUCCAUGCCCCAUUGCGCGAAAGGCCAUGGGCCUGAGACCGAUUUUAAUGCGGCUGAUGGCAUGCGUGGAAUGGGAGCGUAUCUUUGACAUUUAUCGCACUUUUGGACAUAUGCUGCCGCGUCUUUCUUCAUUGUUGGCCAAUAGUACCCUUGUGAAUGAGCUCUAUGUGCUAGGGAUCGUCCUCCCGUAUGAUUUUCGCAUAUUCCUUCAUGUAAUUCAGCUAGCACAUACUGGGCCUCUGAAUGCCCAAGACAGCAAAGAUAAGGCCCUGUGAAAGAUCGCUUGUACAGGUGCCCCCCAAUCAGGGUGAAGCGGGCAGCCUACACCCGGAUUUUGUGCGCUUGUUUAAGAUCUUUGGGUAAAGUGCCUGUCCGGAGAUAUUCUGCAAUAUCAUGCGUCCAUUCUUGAUUAUCCGUUUGGGUUGCUUCAACGGUGUUGCAAGUGGAAUUUUCUGCGACAGAGGGAUGGGCUUGCACAUGUAUGGGCAAUAGAAUGGCUUCUUUGAUAGGUAGAGAGGCAGCUAUGCCGGCCAAAGCGUCAGCGUGCCUAUUGUCAGCUCGCUUAAUUUUUUCGAUUGUCCACUCGUUGAAUUGCUGUAAGGUGCUUCUUACUUUGGCCAAGUAUCGCGCCAUGCGUGAGUCCUUAGCCUCAUAUUCUUUCUGGAUGUGCCUUACCACUAGUUGCGAGUCGCUGUAGAUCCGGAUUUUGGAGACGGAUAGAGCAAGGGCGAGGUCCAAUCCGGACAGGAUGGCCUCGUAUUCUGCCUUAUUGUUAGACGCGGAGAAUCCCAGCCGGAUGGCUUGCUCCAGAUGUUCCCCAGUUGGGGAAUGUAAUACGAGCCCAACUCCAGAGCCUGAUAAGCGUGAGGCUCCGUCAACUCGUAGUGUCCACCAGUCCUGUUCACUUGAUUCGUGGUGCUGGUUGGGUCUUCGUGAAUAUUCGAGCACAAAGUCGGCCAUUACUUGGCCUUUUUUGGAUAAUCUGGGUUGGAAUUCGAUUCCAAAUUCGCUCAGUUCGAUGGCCCAUUGUAGCAUUCGCCCAGUUAAAUCUGGUUUGUGUAGAAUGCUACGAAGGGGUUGGUCGGUUAGUACAAUCACUGGGUGGGCUUGAAAAUAGGGGCGGAGCUUUUGGGCAGCACUUCGAAGAGCUAAGGCUGUUAGCUCCAUUUUUGAAUACCUGGUUUCUACAUCUACCAAUGCCCUGCUGACAUAGUAGACAGGUUUCUGCUCCUUUGGUGAAGGGCAGCGGAAUAGAGCGGCGCUGAUUGCCCAUUCUGAGACAGCUAGAUACAUAUAUAGCUUCUCCUUUGGGAUGGGGCUGCUCAAGAUGGGUGGAUGCAUAAGACAAUGUUUAAUUCUUUCCAACGCGUUUUGGCAAUUUUCCGUCCAUCCCUGCGUUCCAGCUUUUCAUAUCGCUAAGAAGAAGGGUCGCAACUCAUCAGUGAAGCGGGCUAUAAAACGCCCUAACGCAACGAGCUUGCCUAUGAGGCGUUGUAACUCCUUUUUGUUCCUGGGAGGAGGUGUCUCCAUGACUGCUUUGACUUGAUCCGGGCUGACUUCUAUGCCUCUUUGGCUGACCAAAAAUCCCAGAAACUUGCCAGCACUCACGCCAAAGGCACAUUUGGAAGGAUUUAGCUUCAUGCCAUACUUUCGCAAGAGGUAAAAAACUUCUUGUAAAUGGAGGAUAUGCUGCUCUCGAGUUUUGCUUUUUACCACGAUAUCGUCAAUGUAUACCUCGACCGAGCGGCCUAUCAGAGGUUUGAAGAUUUUAGUCAUCAAUCUUUGAUACGUGGCGCCAGCGUUUUUGAGUUCGAAUGGCAUGACUUUGUAGCAAUAGAGGCCGUGUGGCGUUAUGAAUGCUGUUUUUUCUUCGUCAUCCGGAGACAUGGGAAUUUGGUGAUAUCCGGAGAAGGUAUCCAAGAAAGAGAGCAUCCCUUGCCCGGAAGUGGAAUCCACAAUUUGAUCUAUCCGUGGUAAGGGAAAACUGUCUUUUGGACAUGCAUUAUUGAGAUUGGUGUAAUCAACAAAGACUCGCCAUUUGCCCUCUUUCUUUGGUACCACUACUACAUUUGCCAACCAAUCCGGAUAAGAUACCUCUUUGAUGAACCCGGCUUCCAACAAUUUGUUAAUUUCAUCUUGGAUAACUCUUUGUCUAUCCGGGUGAAAGCGUCUAAUCUUCUGUCGAAUGGGUCUGGCUGUUGGAAAGACGUUAAGCUUGUGAGAGGCGAUAAAGGGAUGAAUUCCCUUCAUAUCCGAAUGUGUCCAUGCGAAGAUGUCAUGGUUGCUUCGAAGGAUAUUUUGUAUGCUCUGGGUUUCUUCUUGUGUCAUGAGGGAACUGAUGUUUGUGAGGUGAUCAUUCUCUUCUGAGAUUUGGAUUGUUUGUAAGGGAUCUGCUGCCGGGGGAUCCUUGUCCACCGGACCCAAUAAUUGCUAUUGGUCGUGUGCAAUGCUAGGUUCAGGGGGAGAUGCAUCCUCCUGGUUAGCGACUGCUUCACGUGCUAUUUGGUAGCACUGGCGAGCGGCUAACUGGCUGCCAUACAAGUCAGUUUGCCCUUCGUUGGUGAGGAAACUCACCAUUUGAUGAUAUGUGGAAGGGAUGGCUUUCAUGUAGUGAAGCCAUGUGCGUCCCAAGAUGACAUUGAAGGGUGACAACUCUUGCACCACCGAGAAUUGCACGUUGAGAGUGACUGGUCCAGCUCGAACCGGCAGUAUAAUGUCUCCUAAAGAUGUUGUUGAUGAUCCGUUGAAUCCGGAUAAGAUUCGUCCGGGGUUUUCGAGACCCGCGAGACUAUGUCCCAUAUGGCCAUGACUGAUGCUNNNNNNNNNNNNNNNNNNNNNNNNNNNNNNNNNNNNNNNNNNNNNNNNNNNNNNNNNNNNNNNNNNNNNNNNNNNNNNNNNNNNNNNNNNNNNNNNNNNNCGGAUAAGAUUCGUCCGGGGUUUUCGAGACCCGCGAGACUAUGUCCCAUAUGGCCAAUGACUGAUGCUUGUACUAGAUCGGCUGAACUGCCUGGAUCAACCAAGAUACGUCUUACAUCAAAAUCUCCUAUUUCUAGAGAGAGGAUGAGGGCGUCGCGAUGUGGCUGUAGCGUCCGGGUGGGAUCUACUGGUGGGAAAAUGAUUGUCCCAUCAAUGGGGCGAGGGCCCUCCCCAGUAAGACCCGGCCGGAUGGAAUUAAUGCUUUCGCGUAUUGACGCGGCUCGCAGCAAUUUCUGUCUUUUCCGCCUGGAAUCGUAUUCCUCGUCAGAUGGGCCCCCGUUGAUAUAGUUUAUGACAGCCUUGGGGGCGACUGGGGCCCUCGGGGCCCCAGAGUUAUGAUGCUGUGAUGCGUCCCUUCCUCCAGUAUCUGAGCGGAGGUACUGUUUUAAAUGUCCUGCUUUGAUGAGCCUUUCAACUAGAUACUGGAGGGACCGACAUGUCUCUGUUGUAUGACCAUGGUCUUUGUGGAAGGCGCAUUUCUUGCUGCGGUCUCUUAUAGAUGGGUCCGUUUCGAGGGGUCUAGGCCACCUGAAGUCGGACAACCCUUGGAUCAUUGGGAGAAGUUUUUCGUAUGAUAUGGAUAGGGGUGUGAUGGGCGGCCUAUCCGGAUGACUCGGCCCUUCCUGCCUUCGGUCAACUGGUUUUGGCCGGUCCGGAGGUUUGGCAUGUCUGUCCGCGUUAUCUCUAGAAGCCCGUCCGGCAACUAAAACUUGCUGAGUGGCUGCACGUACGUCAUCUUCGAGCAUUGAAUAUUUGUUAGCGCGUCUGAACAAAUCGUCCAUCGUUGUAGGAGGUUUUUUUACCAGCGAUUCGAAAAAUGGGGUGCCUGGACAGAUGCUUCUUUUGAAGAUCUGUAGGACAGCGUCCAUGCUGCAAACCUCUAUUUGGAGUACGGCUUGGCCAAAUCGUUUCACAAAUUCCCUCAAGGAUUCGUUGUCUCUCAUUUUUAUGUUCUGGAGGGUGCUGAUAUUCUGCUUGUGUCGAGCAGAGCAUAAGUACUGUCCCACGAAUGCUUCAGAGAGGUCCCUGAAAUUGUCAACAGAGUUAGGAGGUAGGCGAUGAAACCAUGAGAGGGCCUGCCCUUGAAGGCUGGCGGGGAAUACUUUGCAUAAUAAUGCAUCGUUGCCAAUAUCGAGCGUCAUAAGCUGUCGAUAGUGCAUGAUGUGAUCGAAGGGAUCGUUGGUCCCAUCGUAUGUGGAAAACUUUGGUACGAGGAAUCCUCUUGGGGGCUCGUAAUGGGUGAUAUGAGAGCAAAAGGGCGUGGAGAGCAUGUCAUCCAGCCUUUUGCUGAUGGAGCCAAUGGGUAGCUCGUUUGGGAGGUUUCUCCCAGCUGGUCGUUCCGCUAGGUGUGAGUGAACGUUCCGCAUCGCUGGGGUGACCAUGGGGUCACGAUGCGGAGGUACGUUCUGCACCAUGGGAGCAAUCAUAAGAUCGGGGCGUGGCGCCCGGGUUGUGGCUACUGGUGGCCUUGAUCUCCCAGGCUCUUGUGGGCCUAGUCUUGCGCGCAUAGAACUUGACAACUGUGAUUUUCUAUCACGUUGUCUUUUUGCUGAAAAAUGAGUGGAAUCUGAGCUUUCCUCACGGGGAGCUCGAGGCAUGGGUGUGCGUGGCUCAUGGGGCCUUGUGUUGUAUGUUCCUGGGACAGCUCCUGUUGACCCAGGAUAUAUUGAUUCUGGCUCUGGCCUUGAGUUUGCCACCUGACCUUUUGAGCGCUGACGACGAGGAGGUCCUGAUGUUGAGGCUUGAAUCGUAACACAACGUUUUCUUCCCUUAACCUCUCCGUCUCCUGGAAAAGAGCUCUUAGCUGUUUUUCGCUCGCCAACUGUCUUUUUUCGAUGGCUUGACGCCAUUCGUGAUUAUCUUCUUCCUCUCUACCAGAUGAUCGACUUUGGGAAGGUGUGGCCAUCUUUGCUAGUGACUGAAUCAAAAUAAAAAGUAAAAGCUUCCCACAGACGGCGCCAAUGUUGUCACCUCGCGUAUCCGGUGGUCCACGUUGCUGCUAGAUGGAUGGACACGCGAUUCUCAACACACAAGGGGUUCUUGAUUCAGUGGUUGUACCUGCAAAAAGGCAUCCGGACAGGGUGUCCGGAUGCACCCUCCGAUGAUGUUGUUAGCCAUAGUAAGAGAGUAAGAUAUAUGAGGCAGUUGGCCUUUUACUAGGUAUCAAGAGGUUACCAGGAGAUCAUCCAUUUCUUCUUCGUGUGAAGUCAUAUAUAUACAGCUUCAGGGGUACUGUUCCUCUCAUUAAUGGUGAGGAGAUAUUUUCUAUUGUGAUGAUGACAAUAGGUGUUAGUAGGAGCAUUAUCAUCCUACGAAUGGCUGUCAGAGACCAUGGUAGGUGAUGCGGCUGUCAGAGAUCGUGGGAAGUGAUUAUGUAGAAUGAUCGUGGGAAGUGACUUGCUGUCACUUCCUCUUGUCUUCUCAUUCUGCAGGUAAUGGGAUGUGGGCCAUGGCUGCUUGUUGUGAUUGCGUGUAAGACUCGCUUUACUUUAAUUGACCAUCCAGACGAUUUAUAUCCGGAUGGAUCAUGCUGAUUAUCCGGAUGUGUUGUGGAGACUAUCCGGGUGUCUACGCUCUGCCAGCGUCGUUUGCUCUUCCUUGGAUAGGAGAAGCUGAAACGUCGUUUGCCUUUCCUUGAGGGGUUCCGGAUAGGAUAGCCGCACCAUGCAUAUCUUUAGGAGAAUCCGGAUGAUGAUGGUCCGACUGAUAGCACGUGCCACGCGUCACCAUGAGCUGCGUGCCACGUGUUUCCCAAGGGGAGGGGUCCCUACAGUAAAGCCGUCAAUAAAUUUUGUAAAUUUAUAAAAGUUGAUAAAAUAUCAUGAUUUAUUAUUAACUUACAAUUUUUAAUAUACAAUUGUUAAUAGUAGUGUUUGAAAUGUGAUUUUUCUCUAGGAAAUAUGGGAUUGACUCCAACAAUUUUUCUCCAUUUUUUCAGAAUUAUCAUUGAAAUAUUGAUUUUUAUGGAGAUUUUACGAUUUUACUGAGAAGCUCUUAGAUAUGGAUUUGAACCAAGCCAAAAGGCUUAGGUUGAAGAGUUACCAAUCGGGCAAAUUCGCCAUUGUUAAAUAUAAUUAGUGCACAAAUUAUAUUAAAAAAUAUUUUAAUAAAUAAAUUAAUUCUAUUUAUUGUAUUUCAAAUUUUACUUAAUUGAUUACUAAAAGUAUAAAAAUCAUUAUUUAUAUGAUAAUUAAAUAUUAAAAAUAUAAAUAGUAUAAAAAAUCAUAUAUAAUUUUGAAUGUUUUUAUUUUAAAAUAUUAAAAAUAUAAAUUUAUUCAAAAAAUUCUAAAAUAUAAACAAAUAAUAAUGGACUUCUAAUAUUUUAUAAAUUAAAUUUAUUUUAAUAAAAUAAAUUAUUAAUAUAAUUUUUAAUAAUUUUAAUUAUUUAAAUAAAUUAAUGUCAAUAACUAAACAUUAUCACCACAAGUAAUAAAAUUUUAGAAAUUAAAUCACAAGUAAAAUAUUUCAUAUAAAUCUUAAAAAACAUUUAAGUUUUUUAAUUUAAAAUGUAAUAAAACUUGAUCUAAUAAAAGUAGUUUGUAAUUUUUAAAAUAAAUGAAUAAAAAUAUAUCAAAAGAAUUUGAGAUCAUUUCUCUAAAAAUAUUUGAUAAAAACUAUUUAUAGCAAUUACACUUAAAAAAAAAACUUUAACAUAUUAUUCUUUCUCAUUUUAUCUUUUUUGAAGUUUUUCCAUGAAUUUUGAAUAAUUUUCUUUUCAUAUUCAUAUUUUAUCGAUAUUUUUUAUAUAUCCAUAAAAUCUAAGUAUUGUUUAUCAAUAUUUUAAACCAUGUAAUAGAUGAAAAAUGAUUAUGAAUUUUAAACCAAUUUUAAAAAAAAAUAGCAUUCAUAUAAUCAUAUCUCUUCCUUUACCGGUUAUUGACCAAAAAAGACAAGUAUUGCUUAUGUCAGUGGUUUUUUUGUUUUUUGUUUUUUCCUCCUCAUUAUGAAUUGGUGGAGGUGUAUUUUCUAUUUAAAAAAGUAAAAAAAUUUAAAAUUAAUAAAUUAAUUUUAUAUUUUACUUUAAAUCCAUUUUGUUUUUUUUAAUCCUUCAACAUUUUCUAAAUAAUUUUAAUUAUAAUAUUUUUCUUUUUCUUUUUUAUAUUUUCCAUAAUACAAUUAAAAAAAAAAAUCAUUUUUCUCAAUAUUUAUUUUUCCUUGAAACUUGAUGGGAAGCGAUCGUGACCUAAAACAACUUUGAAAGUCAUGGUAUCAAUUCAGCUUUUGAAGAAGCAUAGGCAACACUUGCAAGAAACUCUCCACGAUUGACACCAGCAAUCGAAGAUAUAUUAAUAAUGGAAUCUUCUACACAAGCAUCACGCAUGCAGUUAAUAUAAUGUGCAUCUUAAAAAUUAUUAACAAAAUAGACAAUUUAUGCCACCAGACUGCAGAUUUAAAAAUAAAAAAUCAAAAAAUCAAAACAAUAAAAGCAACCAUAAAGAGAAGACAACAAAACAAAUCUAAGAAUUUGAUCCUAUGAAUGAAAGGUAAAUAAAGAUUUGUAUGUAUUAUAAAAAAUAUUAAAGCAAUGAUUUAUUUAUUUAUUUUGUAUAGAGAAACUUUCAAAGAAUGGUUAUCAAAUUUCUAUUAUCAUUUCCCAAUUCAGCAAAACUGGUAAAGAUUUGGAAACUGGACCAAAAAAAAACAAGUGCCGCAAAUUCCAAAUUGGAAAAUAUGAGCGAACAAACCAAAACCCACCUUUUUCUUGAAGUAUAAAAAAAAUGAAAAUAAGAACAAACAGCAAAGCUAAAGAGUGAGUCUUGCAAAAACAUAUGCAUCUUUUUAUUGAAAAGUAUGACCAGAUAGCGUUAUAUGUAUUUUAUACCUUUGUUUAUUGCUUCUACCGGAUUAAACGGUUUUGAUUUUCUCUUACACUUUGAAUCAUGAAGAUUUGGACUUCGAAGCCUUUUCAUGCAUUUUACACGAUGAUUCAAAAUGUUCUUUUAUUUUACUUCAGUAUUUGUACCUCUAACACCAGCGUUAUUCAUCAAAACGUGGCCAAAAGCUUCCCAUGCCCUUCUGAACGGACGCGUUAAUGGCGGGACCAUCGGCGGUGAGGUCAAGUUCCACAGCCACGGCUCGGACGGUGGUGUUAGGGCUUGGAGGAGAGUUAGGACAGGUGAAGUGGUUGAUUUCGUGGCAGAGAAAGUUGAGGCGAUGGCUCCAGCGAGCAGCGGCGUCGAUGUUGGAGCCGGCUUUGGCGAGGUCGAGACAGAAGUGGCGGCCGAGGCCAGAGGAAGCGCCGGUGACCAUGACCACCUUGCCUUCUAGGCGGUGCCAUGGCUGGAGGUGGUUGGAGACUUUGUUGGCCAUUGGUUUGGUUUUAGAGAGGGAAAUUAUGUCAUUUCCAGUUUUGAAUGACGUACGGGUCUCUGGCAUCUAUUAUGUUAUUGUGAAAACUGAAAAGGAUGGGUUUAAAAUAUAGAUGUAUCGCCCGAAAAGAUUGGAUACCCGAAUAGGAAAAAGAUAAAAUGGGUUCGGGAAGAAUGAGGUAGUACGGACCAUUUUAGUUUUUAAAAUCGGCAAAAAUGCAACAGGAAAAAAUCUCCCACAUGAUAGGAGGACUGAAGGAGUGGAUACGAUCGCCCUGCGUCGAUGCAUCUGAAAUAUCAGCGAUAAAUCACCGAUUAUUUGGAAAAAUCGGUAAUUGGUUUUUUUUUUAUUGUAUAUAUUAUCGUUUUUUUCCGUAUUUAUCACAUUCAUUUUAUUAAAAAAAUUAUAACUAUAAUUUAAAUUUUUUUUAUUAAGAAGAUAAAAUUAUCGAGAAGUAAUUACAAUGGUAAAAUAAUUAACAAAAAUAGGUUUUUUAAUAUUUAUUAAAAUAUAAGUAUUAAAUAAAAACUAAUUUUAUAAGAAAAAUUAUAAAUACAAUGUUUUGUUGGAUUAUGAAGUCUUGAGAUGGUGGGUUGAGUCGUCUAAUCAACUUACGAGGGUCAACUCAUGAUAAUCGAGUUGUCCAAUCAGCUCAUGGGGAUCGAAUUGAACAGUCAGCUCACGAGGAUCAAGUAUGUUGCCCAAUCAACUCAUGGGUCGAGCUCCUUGUUGAACUUAUGGAGAUCGAGAUGCCCAGUAAGCUCACUAGGGUUGAAAGGUAGGUGCAACGUCCUCUAGAAUUUAUUUAUUUUUUUAUGUAAUAAUUAAUGAAUUUAUCUCUAUUAUAUGUUUAGUCAUUUUAUGUUUAAGGUUUUGUUUUUUAGAGUGAAGUUGAAAUUGAAAUAUGUUUUUUCGAGAGUUUCACCAUUAUUGAUAUUCUUAAAAUUUAUGCAAAUAAAUGAAUAUAAAUAAAUUAAUGGAAAAUUAUUUAAAUUUUAUGAGUGAUUUAAUUUUUUAUUUAAAAUAUAAUAAACAUAUUUUACUAAAAUUAAUAAUUUUAUUGAUAUUCUUAAAAUUUUGCAAAUAAAUGAAUAUAAAUAAAUUAAUGGAAAAUUAUUUAAAAUUUAUGAGUGAUUUAAUUUUUUAUUUAAAAUAUAAUAAACAUAUUUUACUAAAAUUAAUAAUUUUAUUGAUAUUCUUAAAAUUUUGAAAAUAAAGGAAUAUAAAUAAAUUAAUGGAAUAUUAUUUAAAUUUUAUGAAUAAUUUAAUUUUUUAUUUAAAAUAUAAUAAUAAUAUUUUUCUAAAAUUAAUAUUUUAAUAGGUAGUUUAAUUUUUUUCUUCAAAUAAAUGAAAAUAAAUAAAUUAAUAUUUUUUUAAAAAUUAUUAGAUAAAUAAGAUAUAGUAAUACAAAUUUGAACAAUUUCAAGUGAAUUUUUUUAAUAUAGAAUUUCUUUUUUGGUAAAAUUUCAAUUAUUUUUUCAAUGCAAUAUUUAAUUUUAAAUAUUGAAAUAUAAAAUAUUUGCCAUGAAAUAAAAUUUCUAUCCACAUUAGUGUUCAUUUAUGUGUGAUGGAUGCUAUUGAUUUUCCUAUACAUAUCUUAUUAUUAUUUUUUAAAAUAUUAGUUUAAAAGAAUUUUACCUAUACAUUAUAAACUUUUAAAAUUCAUAUUUUUUAUUAACACAUUAUUUCAUAACAUAAUAAAAGUUACAAAUUGAUCAUACAUAUAUUAUUUUUUCCAAUAAAACAAUUCCAAUAUAUGUAUUAUUACUUAUUUAAUUAUUUUUAAUGUUUUUUUUUUUAUGAAUUUUGAUUAAUUUUUAGCUUUUAUCUCCAAAGAAAUAUUCCUAAAAUUUAACCACCAAGAUUUUGAUAAUUUAUGAUAUUAUUAUUAUUAUUAUUACUAUUAUUAUUAUUAUUUGAAUAUAUUUUAAAUUUGUGUUUAGACUUAUGUUCUAAAAAACAUCAUGAAACAAUUUAUGAAAUUAAAAGCUAUUUUUAAAAAACUUUCUCAAGUUGAUCCAAACUUUUCGAUUUCUCUCAUGAUUCGUAGCCCAUGGUUUCAAAAGACAUUUUUCUACCCAUCACUCAAUAUGAUUAUUAUUUUUUAAUUACAUGGGUAUUCAAAAUAAUAUGAUCAUACUAUAUAAAAUGGUACUUUUUCUCUACAUACCAAAAGUGAAUCACUAAUCAAUAUAUAAUUUUAUUUCAUGACUUCAUAUCCAAAUAUUAGUCUUUUGUACCAUACACAGGUAUCAUUCAUCCUUUGUAUUUUAUUCAAUCCUUUGUGUUUGAACCUAUUUGUUUAUGUUAGUUAUUUGAAUGGUAUAAAUUUGGCAGGACAUUUUCAACCAUUCAACCACCCACAUUAAAUUUCAAAGGACAUGUUCAACCACUCAAGUUUAAGACAGUAGAUCCAAUAUAUAUUUAAAGUUUGUUUGAUAGUGAUUUUAAUAAAUGUUUCUAAUUUUUUUAAUAUUUAAAAACUUUUUUUUUUCAAGUAUUAAAAAUAUUAAAAACAUUUUCUAAAAUCACCAUUAAAAGUACUUUUAAUACCCUAAUUUUUCUUAUACAUUUUCAGAGAAAGACCUUAUAUCAAUUUUUAUUUUUUCCUUGCAAAGUUAGAUCUAAAUGCAAUUAAAGUUAUCUUUAUGACCAAUUUAUUUUUAAGGAUUUCUUCAAAGCCUUCAAAGAUUAAAAAAUUUGAAGUCCAAGUUUUAGGUAUCUUUGAUCCGAGAUUAAAUAUUUGCACACUCAAUGAACAUUGUUCAAGCCAAAGUACAAGCACAAGUUUAAACCAAGACAAAGUCCAAGCUAAGCCAAGGUCCGAGCUUAAGGCAAUAUAAGGUCCAUAUCGAGAUUAAGCCAAGGUCAAGUUCAAGCCUAGUCCCAAGAUACAUUAAGUCACACUAAGACUCGUCUUAGAAGAGUCAAAAGAUCAAAUAAAGAUUGUAUCUUAUUUUUUAAAUUAAUUUGAUCACAUAGUUUUCUUUUUUUCUUUACGUAGCACACUUCACAAAACAAUCUAUGUUUGUUUCUCAUCUCUUUUUUACAAGUUAAAUCUUUACAUGAAGUCCAAGAAAAGUUCUAAUCUCGUAAUUCAAAGUAAGACAAAAGUAACUUUCAAAAAACAAACUCAGAUUUCUUAUAAGAAACCAUCUUUAGAUCGUUUAAUUCUUAGGAAACUUGAUUUGAGUUUUUGUAUAAGCUUUGACAUGUCAUGAACUUAGACCUACACUUCGGUUUGGCUUGGGUCAAGGCUAAGACCUUAUAUUAGCUUGAGUUUGCAUUUGAACCUAUGUUUAUACCUUGUGCGACUCACAAGGUUGUGUUUGAAUCUUAUCUUGUGCUUGAAAAUAAGUGUCCAAAUGCUUAAUCUCAUAUCAAAAUACCUAAAAUUAGAAUCUUUGAUCUUAGUAUUUGAAUAUUUGAACUUUAAAAAAUAUAAACACAUUUAAAAAAAGACAAAUAAAUGCUAAAAGAGUUUUAAACCAAAAAAAAAUGCCUAAUCUUAAAAUAUUUGUUCUAAAAAAAUCCUUGAAAAAAGUUUUUUAUUCAAAUUUAGAUAACAACGCUUUCCGCAUGUGGCAUUUUUUUCCACCCUCAUAUGAUUUUUGUUAGCAAUCUUUAAAGUCAGUCAGCGGCAAUGAAUUUAUGUGGAGCCACGCAACCACCUACCCACACCCAAUCACCGUCAUGUCUUACCAAAAAGUCAGAUCCCCUCAAUUCUACUCGAUACAAAGCCCAUCAAGUCACUGUGGGUGUCUCAGGCAAGGAGGCACCAUUGGUACCUUCGGAGGCUGAUAAGACAUCUCUUUUUGGCUGGAGUCCGUGGGGUGGGGUGAAGGUACUGGACUCUUUGUAAGCACUGUCCCGCUACUUCCCGGCUGGGGCCAAUUGACCGAUGAACAAUAACCAAAGAUCCUCCAUAUGCCUCAAAAAUCUCUCCUGUGACCCAAUGCCAUUGGCCCGUAGUAGUAAUUAUUACUCAAUUCAACUCGAGGUCAGGGAGAUCCAGGCGGAAACCAUGCUGUUUUCGAUGUGGGAAAGAUAAGAGUGGUUAGGCAGAAAGCGACCGUAUGAAAGGGAUGAAUGGGGCGGGGGGCCUAUUAAAGGGUGCCAGCCACACCCAAUAAAUGUAUUGGACUGACUUCUUCUAUGUGUACCAAUUUCAAGGAGUAGAUAAGCGCUUCCCAUGGAGGGCUCACUCCCUCUUUAAUUGCAGAGAUAUUAACGUUGGGUUAAAGAUCUUUUCUGACCUAAAAAAGGUCAAAAAGCAGGUGGCGUAUCAACUACAAAAAGCUUCACUUGUUCAUCAAGGGUGUUCAGAAAAGCCAAAAGAGGCAUACAAAAAUUCUUAACCCUAAUCCGACAUACAUUUCGAAUAUAUUCCGCAUUUUUCAUCAGCCUUCAUCCUGUGUGUCAUUGACAACUUGCCUUCCGCUUCCAGCUCUCUCUCUAUAGCCCUUUUAAGUUCUGAAAUCCUACAUUGCUCUGUUUGAGAAGCCCUAAAAAACAAAAGCCCUGAUACCAUGGCAGUUUAAGUGCUUCAUCUUCAUAGCCCCAGUAAGAUAUAGUACACAAGUGUGAUGGGUAGAGCUAUUAGCAUUCCGAAUAUUACUCUGCAGGAAAUAAAUAGAAACAAAUAAUCAAUAAAAAUAACAAAAUAAAAAUCUAAAAGUUGAGGGUAUGCAUGCUAAUCAAUCUAAAAAAAAAAAUAGUUUUCUGCCCUGAAAAAAGAAAAAAACACACUGAAACAUGUUUGACAUCCAAAAAUUUAAAAACACUUUUUCAUUUUAAAAAAUAGAGAUAAUUAUUUUGAAGAACAAUAUCAUGUUUUAUAGAAUAAAAACUGAAAAACACAUUUGACCAUCAAAAAAUUAUUUUAUAUUCUCGAAAAUAGAAAACAAAGUAUUUUCAAAAAAUAUUUUUUAAUUGUUUUAAAAAACAAUUAUAUAAACAUGUAUAAAAAUAAAACUCUAAACAUAAAAAUUAUUUUUAAAACUGUUUUAAAAAAUAAUUAUCAAAUAAGGACACUUCGUUUUGUCAACAUUGUUCUAGAAAAAUAAUAGGGUAAAUAUGAAGAAUAAUUAAAACCAAGGUAGUAUGUAGAAGAUUUAUUUUUAAAAAUAUUUAAAACAUGUUGAAAAUAUUCCACAUUCCAAACCAUACUUUUAUUCUAAAAAAAAAUUCAUAAAACUAAUUUUGAAAAUUGUCAUUAAAAAUUAUUUUUGUGAACAAAUUUCAAAAUUACUACGAAACAAAUCCUUAAGAAUCAUGUUUUGUAAGUGGAAGUGCACACAUGCAUGAAUUGAAACAUAAAUUCACAUGCAUAUAAACAGUACACUACUAUUCAUAUAAGAGAUCAAAGAAGGGAAUCUGGUUCAAACCCUGUGCUCAGAAUGUCAGGAUGAACAUUGUAUUCCUUGGCAAACACAAAGGGGACAAUUCCCUGAGGAAGAGCCGCCUGGAAAUUCAGAGAAUAUCAAGUAAAUAUAUUUUGAAGAAAAAAGAAAAGCAACACGAAAAGUAAAGUGAUUAGAAUGUUUGUUUUCAGGAAUUUCACUCUCAUUUUACCUGUACAAUGGCAAUAUGUAAGAGAACCCCUCUUAAACCAACUGCAAUGGAAGCAGCAGCCAUGACCGCAGGACCUGUGAGGAAUCUAACAGCCAUGGCAAAUGUGGCAAUGGAGUUCCCACAAGCAAUAAUUCUUGGCUGCAGUGCCAUGAACAAACCUGGAAGUGCAUAUAAGAUUGUUGCUAGUGAGGAAGACAAAAGUAAAAGGCCAAGGAACACCAUUAAAUGGAUUAUGAAAAUGGGCAUACCAAGACUGAACAUGGCCAUUCCAAGACCUGCAUCAGAUAAAAUGGAUAUAGACUUGGCUAUAAUAGCAGGCAUUUCAAUCCCCCACCUGCAGAAUUACAAUAUUUGUUAAUGAAAUAGCCAAAGAAACACAAAAGAAUGGUGGAAAAUGAGUGGGAGAAAUGACUUUUGCAUACUUGAAAGAGACCAAGGACCAGGUGAGGCCAAUGAGGCUAGAAUAAGUGUUGGGAUUCCUAAUGAGUUUUCUCCACACCAUUAUCAGGAUGAGUCUGGUCAUGACGCUAGCAGGCGGCAUGGAUGUUGGCUUUGACUGGGCAGCAGCCUUGGGGUUGAGCUCUGCGGUGGAGCUGGACCCCAGCUUAGACAUCAUGGCCCCUUCUCGGUCACCACCAUUCGCGACCGGUCUGUUUCCAAAACUGAACUCAUCUUGUCUGGACUCAUCAUAAUCUAUAAAUACCAGCAUGCAAAAAAAAAAAAAAAAUAUUGAUGAUCAAACCAUACAGAAGAGAAAAAAAUGAAACCACCUCAAUAAUGAUGCCAAAUGAGACCAAACUUGGGGAGGAAUGUUUUGUGAAAAAGCUAGAAGAAUAGGCCCCCUACCAUUAUGUCAUACUAGAGUGAAAGGCAGAGAAGAAAAGCAUAACAAACAUAACAAACAAAAUCCAAUAACCCCACUGGCACGCACAAAACAAAAUUCAACAAGACAAAACACAGUUACAUCCAAAACAAAAAGCAUAAAAUUCCAAGAAUUGGCGUGGAAUCAUGCACAAAAGUUAAAUAUAUAAUCGCAAGCACCAUAUGCUAGAAAACGACCAAAACCCAUGAAUACCUUUAGUUUGAGGUAGUACCCCACCAGCAACCUCAUUCCCAUAAUCUCCACCCCUGAAAACAUGAAUGCCUCCUUCCGACACUGGCGAUGCGCUGGAGCUCCAUACAAACAUGUGAAGAUCCUUCCCCCCAUCUGCCCCGUUCGCCUUCUUCUUUGCUCCAGGUCCCCCCACCGGAGAGAAGAUUCCGGCACUCGGCGGUGCAGGGUAACCACCACCCUGUGAAUAUACCCCGUUUGCUCUGGGAGGAUUUGGGAAUCCGCCAAUUCCGUUUUCCUCAUCAAAAGUCAAGUUCCCGAAAUUUGAUUGCCUCGGGCUCACAUUGCUCAUAUUUUUCCCAUUCACCAUUGAAUAGAAAUCAGUGUGAUUGAAACUGGAACCCCUGGGAGUUGGAUUCCUUGAUGAUUGCAGAGAGUAAAUCUCUGCAUUCGUUAAAUUGGAAGGCCGGGGAGUCAAGGACACGCCCGAAUUAGGGCCGUGUGAUCGCCUGGAAAAUAUUUCAGAGCGAGAACUAGUGGACUUUCUCACUGUAACAUGAAGUUUUCCAUCUUCACCAACUUCAGCCUCCGUCUGCAGAGGCUCUUUCCCAUCCAGAGAGAUGACGUCAGAAUCAACUCUGAAUGAAAUAAUAGAACCAGCAGUAUCUGGAAACUGCUCUACAAUCAAGAGCCUGGCUCCUCUGUACUCAAACAAGAACAGCAUCAAAGUAUACCAUAUUAUGCAUUGAAGAACAACUAUUUGCACCAUUAAGGUUCCCGAAUAUUCUCCAUACAUACCCUUCAACAAAGGAAUGCCCAUGACCAGAGUGUUGGGCAGAGUUGAGAGCGAGAACAGAGUGAUGGACCAUUCAAGACACCCUCUUGAGCUGACUCUGGACCAAAUAGCUAAAACCACCAACACUAUGAUUUUCUGAAGAGUGUCUGCAGCUAUGAAUCUGUAGUUCAUGGCAUAUGGGUCGUUGGUGGAGAUGAAGUGAAACGAAAGCAGGGGGACAGCAAACAGUGCUACGAAUCUGUUGAUACCGGAGCAUUGAUCAGGGCUGAAGAUCUUCCACCAUUUUACAGACCCAUAAGCCAAUAUCAUGGCCACAUAGAGAGGAACAACGGAUGUGAGGACGUGGUAGAGGUCUGUAAUAGCAAUCAUGCUUUCUUUCCUGCUCUUUUCCCUCCUUCAGAGAAAUCCUCUAGUUUAGGAAUGGAUUUCAAGAAAUGCCCAGGUGAGAAAAUGGAGUGAAUGAGAAGAACAAUAUGGAUAUGCGAGAAAAUUGAAGCAAAACUCAAUUCUAGUAAUUUACCCGGAGUUCCUGGGAGACCGGCGAAAACCUUACCACAAAAUCAGUUCGAUGGUAAAAGACUAGUAUGAGAUAAGUUAGUAUAGAAAGAGAAAAAGCACACAAAUCAACCAAUAUCAUAGAAUAUUAGGCAGAUCUCACAGUGAGCUUCAGAGAAAGAGAGAAGAUGGAAAGAAGAUGUGGGAGGAAAAUGAAGUGAAGUUAUAUUUAAGACAAUUUAAUGGCAGACAAGGAAGCAAAAGCACAAGACUUUAGAGCAACUUUUUUUUAUAUAGACUUUUAGGAUGGGAAAGAGAAACCUCUUAACACUUUCACAGAGACAGAGAAAGAGAAAAAAAUAAAAAAGCUACUCCUGGCCACCUGAUGGAAUGAGAUGGCGAAGACCAAACAGCUUCCAUGAGAAAAUUCUCUCUUGAAAGAAGAAAAAAAAGUUCAUCAAAAGAAACGACCGUAGAAAGGGAGUGCCAUACGAGAUUCUUUCUACCUUCUGCUAACUUAUACCGUCUUUAUGCCACUUGUUAUUAAUAUUUCUCCUUUUUAUCUAUGUCGGGACUUUAGUAUAUUUUUUUCAGCCAGUGUGGGCUCUGGAUCCCUUAUUGGUUUCUCAAUUCCCUUUUUUUUUCCCUCUCUUCUUUACAAAAAGUAAAAAUAAAAUAUAAAAUUUAAGAAAUAAAAAUAUUUUUGCCACUUAUAAGUUAUUUAAUUCUGUGUCUACACCAAGUAGUAGGAUUAUUGUUAAGGGGCGGGGGGUUCAAUGUUAUGUUGCACAAGACUUAUAGUGUGCUUUUAUAUUGCUUUGUCUUACAAAAAAAAAUUACAUAUUGCGUAAAUUUCUAUGGAUGUUUAAAAAAAAAGAAAAGAAAAGUAUACUAAUCGUGUUAAAUAAUAUUGAUGACAUGUCAUACUAAGAAGCCAAUAAUGUAAUUGUCAUUGAAUUCCACCAAAAUUAUCUUUUAUAAUAUUUCUAUUAUAGUAUUAUUCUCAUGCUACUCUACAACAUUAGAGAUGACCAAUUGGGACUACUUAGUUCACAAUAAAACCUAGUCAAAAGACGAUUGAUAGAGUUAUACGUGAUUCAAGUAAGAUCAGUCCGUAUAAAUGGUAUAUUUAUUAUAGUGUUACUAUCAUGCUACUCUACAACAUUAGAGAUGACUAAUUGGGGCUGCUUAGUUUACAAUAAAACCUAGCCAAAAGACAAUUGAUGGUGUUACACAUGAUUCAAACAAUAUCGGUCCUUAUCAAAAUAAUCUCAUUCAAGAGCUAGGUUUAACUUAAGAGUAUAUAUCUAACUGCUCAUCGACAUAGCCCCUUAAUAGACAACUUCAACAAGAGAUAAAUGGGUACGAUCGAAAAGCUAUUUAUCUUUCGUUAAUGUGUGAGCAACCAUUGCCACUCACUUUUAUCAAACUAUUCAAAUCAAUAAGGAACAAAUCACAUAAAAUAUUUACUCAAUCAUGUCCGUAGAAACUAAUGAAUGACAAAAUAGACAAUUUUCAUGAUAGUCUUUAUUGGUGCUCGUACUUCGAGAGCCAAGUCUAUUGUUGAUCCGAUCCAAUAAUGUUAACUUGUGACUGGAAGAUUUACCUACCAUUCUCAUAUGCGUGUCCUUAUUAUACCCCUUUGACAAUCAAGUUAGGAUUGAACAAAAUGAAGUUUGGCAAGAAUGGAUUGACCUUAGGCUUGGGAAUGGUAGAGAGAAUAGAAGGUUGAGAGGAGAUCAAGUGUGUGGGAGCAUGUUCUUAUACCUCAACAAUCAAAGCUUGCUCAUAUAGCAUUGGCUUACUAUGUUAUGAUUGGCUUGUGGGAUAGUCAGCCCUCUUCUCAAGAAAAGGUGACGUGCUAGGCAUGUGUAGGGUGUUAUGUCAAGUUUGUUAUUGGUUGGUUAGGUCCAUACCAGACGAAGCUCAGUGGAUUAUUGAAAGAAUGUUUGUAGCUAGUGAGAUGUGUUUCUAAUACAAGGUUGACGUUUCAUAUGAAUCACAUGCGUUAGUUGCUAGCAAUGGCUCUCAUUAGACAAGUAUGCCAGGGGAGUGAUUGAACAUGUCGAUAUGUGGUUCACGCUUGGUUGUGUGGAACAUGUUGAUUUGGGGCACUUUCCUCCAAGUGUUCAACCAACGAUUAUUAGGUUGAUGUGUGAAAUCCAACAAGGGCACGGUGGUAUUCUACAACGAUCUUAAGACAGGUUUGACACUUGUUUGUCAAGUUAAUAUGUAAAAUCUAAUAAAGGCGUUGAUGGUUCUUCUGUGGGUUAGGCAUUUAAUUUCCAAAUGACUACACCUAGUUUAGAAUCAACUUGUGUUUGAGGUUAAGUUGUCAAUGAGUAAUUAGUAUUGAGAUACUAUCAAUUAGAGGUACCUAAGCUCACCUAGUUCCUCAAGUCCUCACCCAUCCAAUCAUAGUUUAAUACUAAAAGUUAUAUGGCAUCAUUAUUUUUACAGAAAUAAAAAACAAAUAGGGGAACAAAAUUCAAAAAUUGGAAAGAAAAACCAAAUAAAAGUAAACAUAGUAAAAUAAUCCAAGUUUUCACAAUUUUAAUCCAUGUAACUCCGUUAACCCUCACUAGAACAAUAACUUAAAAGAAAAAAAACAAGUGAGAUUUGAUCAUUUUGUUUGAAUCACAAUCUCCAUAAUUCACUUUGAAUUAUGAAAACUAAUAAUAUAAUCUUUACUUUUCAUUUCAUUUAACAAAAUUAACAUUUUAGUUCAUUGUGAUUUAAUUAUAGAUGUUUUCCAAACCGCCUUUGAUAGAUACUUCUAAUAUUAUAUUUAUUUUUUUUGUGGAAAAUGACUUAAGAUGACACUUACUUGUUGGUGUUGCUCCCAACUAGAGUCAGGUUCGUCUAGCUUCACUGGAGUCAGACGGAUUUCUUCCCUGCACAAAAGGAUGUUUGGAUGAGUGGUUCGGACACGACCCUCCGAAGCUUAAGUUAGACAAGGAUAACUCUAACUAUUUGUGGGAGAGAAUGAGCGUAUGUGAAUGUGUAUCUUGUUCGUACUUUUUAAGGGGUUUAUAUAGAGUUGAUAGCAUCGUCCUUAUCUUGUAAUGAUGAUUAUGUGGAUUGUCAACACCGUUAUUAGAGCAUGGACUGGGCAAUCAUAACAAGUAAGGGCGACUGACUAGUAACAUUUGUUGACUGUCGUGCCAAAAUCUUGGACUGUGUAGCUUAGAAGUCAAGCGGCUAGUCUAGCGCUCAAACGUCAGGCAGCUAGUUCGACGCUUAGAUAUCAGUCGUCUAGGUUGACGCUCAGGCAUAAGACGUGAUUAACCAUGCAUACCAAAAAAUCCUGAGGACUUGACUGGAUGGAUUUGCCAGUUUGAAAUAUCUAGUCGGCUCGGUCUGUCCAUUCCGUCUAACAUUUGUAGGGCCAUCUGAAAUGUUAGCCGGCUUAGUCUGUUCAUCUGUCUAGCAUUGUGGAAGAAAGAGAACUUCUCACUUCUAGUGCCAGACGGAGCUUAUCUUGAUCCAAACAGAAUGAUCCAAGACGGGUUAUAUGUAUGUCCCUAGUCGACCAAAGGGUUUUGAGUCUGAGAAGGACACGUGGAGGGAAGUCCCCCACAUUGCUAACUUUAAUUCUAUCAUUUUUCAAAAAUUAGCUAAAGUCACUCUUAUUGAAGAUGGGUCCAAUUUUAUUUGUUUAUUUUUGAAAUUUUGAUUAAAGAGGCUUACAACCAUUUUUAUUAAGCAUGAUUUUCUCUUAUGAAGAAAAUGUUGGAAGAGUUUUUAACUUGAUGUAAAGCACCAAAUUACCACUAUUGUUUAAAUUGAAUAUAAAGCAAAGAUUCCCCCCACCCCCACGAUAACUAAGCUUCCACAAAACUCAAAUCAUAUAAUUAUCACCAUUGAAAGUUUAGUCCAUGUUAAUUGACUAUCGCUAAUAAAAAAUUUAUAUCAUUAUUAGUUAUGACAACUUGUAUAAUAAACAUGAAACAUUUACUAUCAACUUACAUAGGAUAUUCGAUUGAUCAUAUUUGUAUCCACAAAUAAAAAAGAAUCAUUUUAUCGUACAGAUGGUUGAAAAAAUAAAUACAGAACCUUUAAUGUCUUUAUUCUCUCAUCCAUGAUAUUUAUAUUCUAAAUUACAUAUAUCUUUCACAAAUUCGGCAUUAUCUUAUAAUUUAUUUGUCAUAACCCAAAGAUAUCAUAAUACUUUUCUUGUAGUACAAGAAAAUUAAUAUUAUAAUCACAUAAUAAUAUAAAAAAAUUAAAUAAUAAUUUAAAAUGUAAAACAAAUUCUAAAACCCAUAUAUUUAUAAUAAAUAAUUUAUUAUAUAGAGAAUCACCUUUAUAAUAAAUAUUUAUUUGAUUCUUUUCAACAAUUUUUUAAUAAAGUCAAGGAAAGUCUUAAACCCAUCUUUUAGAUUUAUUAUGUACCAAAUUGUACAAUAAAUCAAGUUGGGAUGCAAAGAUCAUUUUAAGUAAAGAAAGUUUCUUUAUUAUAAAAAAAGGAAAAAGGAGGAAAAUGAUAUGCCUAGAUGGGUGUUUGUUUGAUGGAAUCAUGUACAUGAAUAAGAUGGAGACAUGAUGGAGAAUAGGGAAUUUGGAAAAGAGCCAAAUGGAAUAGGACAAUUCCAUCUGCCACUCUGGUUACGCAUGAAAAGGAAAAUUGAGGAUUACAAAUUAGAGGGAAAAGCAAAACAAAAAAUUCCUCAAAUGCUCGAAUUAUUGCAGCAUCCAUGGGAGUCUCAAUCCCACAUUAUUUUUCGUGCCUCUCCAUUUUUACCACGUGUCACCUGCGGGUGUAAUCAUUGUCUUGGGUUGGUGCUUCUGUUUCCAAAGCCAUGCUCUUUUCUUUCUUUUUUUUUCACCCAAAUAAUUUUGUAACCUAAAAAAGUCUUACACUCUUACUUAGCCACCUAAAUUUUACAAAUUGUGGCUAAUUGUUAGCCACACACGAACGAAUGAGUUAUUGGAUAUGAUGUUGUUAAUAAAAAUUAACUGAAGUCAAAUUCCCUUGAACUCAUUUGAUGGCAAAAUUAGACAUGUCUCCUUUCAAACCCUUCUUAAUAAAUUGGACUUUACCCGUUCGAAGGGACUUUUGCUUCCACAAUGCAAUUAAUACAUUGCUAUUGUAUGAAGCUUACCCAACAAGUAGUCUAAUGAAUGAAUUCAAAUAUAGGUAGGAGAUUUUAUGGGUGUGAUAGGAAAUGAUAAGAUUUUAUACCUUUUAAAUCUAUUUUACUUUGAUUCUUCAUCUUUGAUUUUCACUCAAAUUUUACUUUGAUUGAAGGGCAAUGGAAGUUAUAGAUUUUUAUUUAUUUAUUUAUUUUGAUUGAUCAUCCAAUGUGUGAGCUUUUGAGGCAUACAAGACCCGGGUUGCUAAGAGAAAUGGAAGUGAUAGAAGAUGAAAAUCAAGAGCUUUAGGUGAUAUUAACGAGGCUAUCGGUGCUUAAUCAUAUUUAUUCUUGAUGUACUAGUGGUUUUGUUUGUUUAACAACCUUAGCUAAUAUUACACAUUUGUGAGAGUUUUUGUUUGUUUCAUAAUAGUGGAUGAGGAUUUUAUUUCGUUUAUGUAGUUUGGAAAUGGUUGAAUCAUGUUUAUUUUAUGCAAUUGGAUUGUAAUAGGUCAAAAUUUUGGCAUUUGGAUAACAACUUAAACAACUAUGUAAUUUGUAUUGAUGUGUAUCUAAUAAUAAAAAAGCUAUAGAAAUCUUACUAGUUUUUAUAUCAUUGAACACUUAAUAUUUUAUUUUUAGUAAUUAGACUGAGAGGAAAACUGGAAUGUAAUAGUAUUGUAUAUGAUGUUCAAAACAUCACAAUAAUUAAUAAGUAAAUAACAAGACAGAAAUAGUAAUAAGUACAAGAUUUCAAUGGUGUUGCAUAUGAUGUUCAAAAUUACAAUAACACUCCAAAGAAGAAUUUACAGAAAUACAAAAAUUUAGUCUCAAGCGAUAAAUACUUAAAUGUACCAUUUAUAAAGGUUCUUUAAAAGCCUUUUUAAAGGUUUGAACAUUUAUUACUAACCUUUAAUAAUACCUCAUGUUUGACACUUUUGAACCUUAACUUUGAUAUUUGAUGAGUUUUCUUGGUUUUUAAUUUGCUUUCAUUAAAAAAUAUAAGCAAAUAAUGCAAGAAUUAUAGGCCCAAAUGGUUGAGUGGAGAAGGUGACAAAAGCUGAGAAAUAUUAAAUGUGAGAGACAAUUAAGCUUAGAGAUCGAGGACCAAGAAUAAUCUACUAUUCUAUAUAGCAUGAUCGAUUAUUGUAAGCAUUAACAUGUAAUUGUCCUUACUUGAACUAAGACAACUAUUAUAAAAUAAAAAAAAAGGAAAGAGACUAGAUGUUGAAGGAAAAGACAAUCAUGACAAUGAUCAAGCGUCUUAAGACGCAUGGGAUCAUCCUAUCUUAAGGGGUGAACGAUCAAGUGCCUUACAUAAAGAUUCUAAAUUAAGUUGGCAUAAAAGAGUCAUGAUCAAUAUGAGUCAAUGACAAAGAUCAAUACUUCAAACCUAUACUUUUAUUGUCCCAUGAAAUUCAAUAAAUGAUCAAUCAAGUUACAAGUGAAACACAUUUAAUCGUGCAAACCAGUCUUAAUCAUCCUGAAUCACCACUAUUACAUAUGAUUGAAAAUCACUCAACAAUUGAUUUUAUUCUUAUUUCACGUAUCAUUAAAGAAGUAGAAAAAUGUUAUGAUAUUGUUAUCUUUUCAAAAACUUAGAUUGAUGAACACCUUGGAAAACGUAAUAACAUUUUAUACAAUAUUAUCAAAAUACAAGAACUAAAUUGACAUUAAUAAACAAUAUCAUCAUAGAAUUGCAUAUCAUGCUCUUUGAUAUCCCAAAAAAUAUUAAUAACCCAUAUCCCAAAAUAGUCAUUGAUAUUACAAAAGAUUCAACAAUCUUCUUUGCCUUUUGUUUUGAUGCAAAGAUAACCCAUGGACAUUGACCUUUGCAAAUUGCUUUCAUUUUAUUCACAAAUUUUAUGGGUCUUCUAAACUUUAUUGAACCUUACCUUGUACUUAAAUUCUUCACCAUAUUUAAAUAGCAUGUCCAACUUGAAUUCGAGGUUUAACAAAUCAAUGUCAAUCCUAUAAUGAGGAAAUUUAAGAGGUUUCACUUGCUUUUUUCAUUAAGUUUUUACUCUUAAAGGCUUCUUCUCCUUAAUUCAUUAGUUACAUUUAUUUCCUCAACAUUUUUGGAUUAUGCAUUAUUUCCAAAUUUAACAACUGGACAUACAUUGACCUCAAAAACAAAUCAUCAUCUAAUUCCUCAUAUGCAGCAUCUUCAAAGUCCUUUAUCUUUACUACACUCACCAUUUCUACUACCUUUAUUAUUCUUACUCCCUUUAUCCCCAAUAACUUCUUUGUUCAUGUGUUCCUUAUCCUUAUCCUUUUAAUCCUCCUUCACAUCUUUCAAUCAUUCACAUACCCUCCUUCCUAAUAUCUCCCCCCUCCCUCCUCCUUCUUUAUAUGUCACCCAAUACUAGGGGCUUAAUUCUUCGUAAGUUUAAAUUUAUCUGGAUGUUUAAAAUGUACCCUAAUUAUUAUCAUUUUAAGUCAAUAACUAGCCAUGAUAAUUACAUUAGAAUCAAUGAGUAUAGGUUUAACCCCACAUUCAUAAUCAAUGUCGAUAGCUCUAUAAAUACACCCAACAAGUUCGUUAAAAUCUAGACUUUUUUCUUAUGUUAACCAAUUUUAUUAAUGACAUGCAAUCUACGUGACAAUACUUGCCAUAAUCUAAUAGACCCUCAACAUAUGAAUUUCUAUCAUAAUUAAAAAAAAAAAAAAUGGGUUCAUUUAGAUUUUCAUUCUAAAAAACUCAUAUAAAGUCUUUGUAAUAAGUAAACAUUUGGAACAAAAAUCAAAUAACUCAUAUCUAAUAAAUGAAAUGUUGACCAAAAAAAUGAAAAUUCUAUACCAUUUUUUAGAAAAUAAUAAUAAUAAUAAUGAUUUGUGGUAAGCUUAUGUAAUGAACAUUUGAAAUGAAAAUCAAAACCAACUCUUUAGGGGUGGACCAAGUAUGAUACAUAAUAAACUUUCAAUUAGUAGGACAUCUAGUGUUCUUUGUUCAAAAGAUGCCUAGUAAGCAAAAAUCUAAUAAGAAAUUCAUGGACCAUAUUUAACCCUUAGAAAAUAGAUAAUUAUUUAUAAUCAUAUAAAAUGUGAAUGAAUAUUUAGGAGACUUUGAACUUGUUUGGAAAUUGUUGGUGAAAACAAUUUUGAUUCUUUGGAACAAAAAAAAUUGUGUUACGGAAAAACAAGAAUAGACAAUAAAAAAAUAAAAACACACGGAUUUACGUGGAAAACCCUAAACGAGAAAAAUCAUGGGUAUAGGAUAAGCAAAUCCACUAUCUCAAAAAUUUGUAUAAAAUGGAAAAAAAUCAAGCAGAUGCUUUAUAGGAAUAAACAUCAUAACUCUAAAUCUUAUACACAAUUGCAUAUGUAUAUGUCUGAUCCCUUUGCUACCAUCACAAACCCUAAAAAAAAUCUUAUAAUCUUUCUUCACUACAUAUGUCACACCGCGAGCUUUUCAAGUUAAACCAAAUAAAAUUCAGGUCACACUACCAAAAAAUUAAGUAUUAUCAACCCACUUAUAUUUACUUUUGGGAUGGAUUUAACUAUCACAAAUUUCUAACAUACCUAUUCCAUUGCAAAUUGAAUUGUUUGUUACUUAUAUGUAACUAUUUACUGACGAUAAUUGCAACAAAAAAUAAUUGUUGGCAAAAAUAUUAUUGUGAUGGAUUUAAACCAUUAUAAAUGUUCAACUAAUAUACUUUGUCAAUAAAGCAAUUUACUUGUAAAAAAUAAAAAAAUUGGCGACGAAAAAUUCUCAUCAAUAGAUUUUUGUCAACAUACCUUUCCCCGACUACCAUGUGCCAAGAUUAUCAGUUGGUAAAUGUUUAUUCCAAUAAUAUAUAUCAAUCGUUAGAAGUCAAAUUUCUUGUAGUGUCAUUAAACUUGAACAAAAGGUUUUUCUAUUUUAGAAAAUAUGUCUGACGGGAAAACAAUAUUUCAAUGAUUUGUUUUAAAAAGAUGUUUUUAUAAUGGAUUUGAAGUAUUUUUAGUUCUUUUUGUUAAAUAUUUUGAAUAAUAAUUCAAAUAUAAAAAAUAUUUUAAUAACUUUUGUAUUGUACGUGAAUAUGCCAACAAGUCAAAGAAAACUAUUUUUCUUAUUUGAAAUUUUAAACAAAAUUUUAUUUAAUAAAAACAAUUCAAAAUUUCUUUAAUAACUGUUUUUGGGAACUUCUCACUUCUUCCUUCAAAAGAUAAUUGUUAACUAAAAGCAUCUAUUGUUAGUAUCUUUCUUCCCUUUUUGACCUUUUGCCCACAUGGGCCCAGAGCCCAACAAUGACUGAACAGAACUGUUCUCGCAACUCCUAACAUGUUAGCCCAAGGAUUUGGGCCCAUGACAGAAUCGUGCCACUGGGCUUACAAGUCCACCACAGCAACGCCCUUUUACCACUGUAAAAGGUAAACAAAAAAAUUGAUCAAAAAGAAAAUUAACAUGACAAUACAGGAACUUACAUAAAAUAAAUAAUUAAAGGGUUAAUUUUACUUACACCCUAAGUUUUACUGUAAAUAGAUUCAUUAUUGAUUCUAAAUUUUAAAACAAUUUUAUAAAUGAAAUACAUUUAUACACACUCAAAAAUAAAAUCUAACACUGAUAAUAGUUACGUAUAUUUUUAUUAAAUAUAAAAAAGUAUAGAUGAAAAUAAAUUUAAAUUUAAUAUUUAUGGUAAAUUAAUAUAAUGUAAAUACGUUGUUAUUCUUUGUAUUUAAAUACAUGAAUUUUCAUUUGAAUUCUUGUAAAACAUUCCUUGCCUUUUAUCUUUCAUGGUCUAUGUGUUGUCUUUUAAUUACUCAAGAUCAUAAUUAUUUGUGAUAGAAAAGUAUUCUUUGAAAUCAUGCUAUCGUAGUAUUAUCGAGAAUACGAUCAUAUAAUCGUGUUUUUAUAAAUACGAGCAGACGAAUAUGGUAUCAAGAAUACGGCCACGUGUUGGCACCCCAAGAUGGCUACCAUCUGGUUCAUCAUGUGCCCACUUCAAUAAUAAAAAUCAUUUCAAACAUAUUAUGAAACUUAUUAUUAUUUAUUUUUAAGAAUAUAUUAUAAUUUUGUAGAAAGUUUAGGCAUUGGCCACCCACUAGUAACAAGAGCAACAUGGAAAAGGACAGUUGCGUAAAUAUGAGGAAUUUGCAGCCGUGGUUGGCAGUAAUGAACUAGGGAUGGGGAACACUACCAUCUUUUUCCCCUUCCCUUUUUAGCAUCUUAUUAAAUGCGCCAAAUCCGAAUAAUAAUAAUAACAUCACUUUUUUUUUUUUUUUUUUUUACCGCCAAUGCGUGCUGAUUUGUUUCCUGAUUCACAACUCCAAAGCGGUUUUGCGCCUCGCAGCGAUUAUAUUAGAAAAGGUACUCUCCCGCAGACGCCGAGAUGUGCGGCAGAGAUAUUCCUGUCACAUCAAUCCUUGGGUUGAUGACAGCGAGUACUGAUUUUUUAUGUAGGCGAGGCGGUGGGAUUGGGAUGAUUGAGUGUGGGUCUCCGCCACUUAGAUUUUUUCUGACUUUAGAGAGUGGCGCCGCCUGCGGGAAGGCAAAAAAAUCAAAGAAUUUAAUGAUCGCCGUUUUUCAUCUGUUACAUUAAUAAAAGUUAAAAACAUUUACGAGGACAAUCAUACCCUCAAUAAAUAAAAUAUACAACUACAAAAAAAUAAAAAAAUAGUAUAUUAAAAAUUAAUUAAUAUAUGUUACAUUUAAAUUUUAAGGGUAGGUGGGGGACGAAGCAUGACAUUGGAAACAGAAGCCCGGGCGAGACAAUGAUUACACCUGCGUGAGACACGUGGCAAAAAGGGGCUCACGCAUGACAAUGAGGGGGGUGGGAAUUUCAGAUUCCCAUGGAUGCUGCAAUGAUUCCAGCAUUUCAGGGAUUUGUGUUUUUGCUUUUCCUCUGAUUUGCUGUUCUCUAUUUUCUUGUUUUUUCAUGGCUCAUGAGAUGGCACGACUGCAGAUGGAAUCGUCUCUUUCCCGUUUGACUCUUUCACAUUCAACAAAAAUGUCCACAUCCCAUUCAUUUAUUUCUAUGAUUCCCAUCCAAAUUAAUACGCAUCUUAGACCUAUUAUUUACUUCCCUAUGUCAAUUCCAUGGAAGGAUUUUUCAAAGCUUUUUUGACUUUUUUUUAAGUUAAUGAACAAAUAUAUAAAAAAUAAAAUGAAUUUUAUGUUAAUAAAAUUUCCUUCCUUUCUCCACUUCACACAAUAGGAAAGAGCAAGCUACUAGUAACUCAAGCUAGCCUACAAAUAUCUAUCAUGUAAGUGAUUUGAGGAGUCAUCUUUUUGUCUUUUAUGGUAGUUAGAAAUUAUUUAGAAGCUUAUUUUUUAUUAGUAAAAUCGAUAUGUCAAAUUAAGAUCGAAUUUAGAAUUUUAUUAAUUAAUUUAUUUGUGAUUAAAAACAAUUGAUAAAUAGUGGGUCGAGGAAAUCUACUUUCUUUUACUAAUGUGAUUAUAUAAUUUUGCAUUUAUGUGUUAAAAGAUUACACGGAUUUUUUUUUUUUUUUUAACAUGCUUGUAUGUGUGUUUUGUAAUUAUUUUAUAAAUGGGUAUGUUAAGUUCAAACACAUGCAUGGGAAAGCUUAUGUGUCAGGGUGAUGUAUGAGUGAUGAUAAAAACUUUUUCGAUAUGAAAAAGAUAUCAAUUCAAAAUCAUAAAUAUGCAAAAAUUAAUGUAAAGUUUGGACUAGAUAGAUAUGAUUAUGAUUGUAACUUGAAUGGAUUGGUCUUAUUGAUGACUAACUCAAACCUAAUCCAAAUUAAAAAAACAUUAAACUCAAACUCUAACUCGAGGCACUUACCCUAACUCCAUUUUUCUAAACUCAGGUUAAUUGAGUUAGAUUCGAGUUUAUUGGGUUGAGUUUAGGUUGAUUAGAUUGCAUAAUUCAAAAUCCACGUACAAUAUUUUUUAAAUUUUUUAAUAUAUUUAUAUAAAAAUUUAAAUAGUAAAUAAGAUAAAUUUUCAAAACACCAAUAAAUGAAUAAACAUGAAUUUAUAUAUUUAAAAAAAAUGAAAUAUAUACGAUAUAAUAAAAUUCUAUACUUAAAAGAAAUAAAAAAUAAAUAUUAUUAUAUAAAAAUAAUAUAUAUUAUAAAUAUAUUAAAUCGUGUUUAGAUUGAAUUUAACUUAUAUGAACCUUAAUUUGAGUCUAACCCAACCUGAAUUUAUAUUAAAAAAAACAUAACAAAAGUAUCGAAAAUGAUUAUCUAAACUUGUCGGAUUUGGACUAGAUUCGAUCUACCUGUCAAUAUGACAUGAAUUGAUUUUCUUCGAUCCACUAACUAAUAAUAGCGACUCUUCUAGAAUGACUAUACUUUAGAAUCUAAACAUAGAAAUAGCACACCAAAAUUAUUUCAAAAGUCUAUUUUGUUUUACUUAUCCUCUACACCUUAUAUUUUAUAUUCACAACUCAUUAAAGUUAUUUAUGUCGUAUUCGAUCCCACCAAUAUAUUUAUGUAAAUACCCAAAGAGGUUAGGAAUCCUUUUUCAAUUGGAUGUCUUAUUCCAUCUAAUGGAUGGCUGGAUUCCAAAUUUGACUCCCACACGAAUGUUGAAGAACCAUUGUUGGGAAGAAGCCACAACACUUAUGAAAGGUGAUUACAGCUUAUGCCUCGAAUACAAAAUUUUGUCACGAAACGUGAUUCUAAAAAAGUUUGAAGAAGUAAAUGAAUUAGCGCAAAAGUAUAAAAACACUUUUGGCGAAAGCUACUAAACACCGAUUUUCAUGGCAUGAUUUUCAAAAACGGUGUCUCAUUGAUGGGGGUGAGGCCAUCGUUUUAUUCAUGGAUGCCUGUGAUUUGUGAUUGCCAGCAAAGAAACAAAAUUUUCGGUGGUCUCUCUCUCAAGUCUCAUCUAAUAUAUGCUUUGGUCUUUGGCAUUCUUCUCUUCAGAGGGGUAGGGGGGAGCCCUGAGCGUUUUGAAAAUGACAUGACUAGUUGGAAAUUGGAAUUGUGUCGAUUUUUUGGAGAGAUAAAGUCAUCCUUUGCGAGCUCAAGGAGCAAAAUAGAAGACGCUAAUAUCUCAUUUAACAUGAAAGAUACCUACCCUUAACAUGAAAGAUUCUCCACCAAUUUUCCUUUGGUGUGUAAAAGUUAAGGGCACGUUUGAAAAAGUUUCUAAAAAUAGUUUAAAAAUAAAUUAUGAAAUAAAAAGUUAUCUAUGUAUUUAGAAUAAUAAAAUAAUAUUUAAAAACUUGAAAUAUUAUAAACUUAGUUUUUUUUAUUAAAAAAAUUAUUUUUAAUUAUUUUUUAUAUUUAGAUAAGUAUUUUUUUAAAUAGUCUUUAAUUGUUUUCAAAAACACUUUCCUAUUCUAUUCUAUUUAAUGUCUAAGCAUGCUUUUAGAUAGCAUAUUUUAUUUAUUUUUAAUUGUUUUUAUUUAUUUUUUAAGGCUAUUUUAUAAAUAAUUAUGAAAAUAUGAAUAAUGAUUAAAAAUAAAACAUAACAUAUUAAAAUUAUUUUUAAAAUAUAUAAACAUAGGUAACAAAUUUUUAUUUUAGGAAGCAUUACAAAAUAAAUUUUAAAAACUAUUUUUUAGAAAUAGAGUAUAAAUUAUAUUUUUUUUAAAUAUUUUGCAAGUUUUCAAAAAAUUGUGUUUUGAAAUAUGAAAAAUAAUCUUAUAUUAAAAUAUACAUAUAAAUUGUUUUUAAAAAUAAUUUCAAAUAGGCUCUAAAUAGAUGUGUGAAUAUAUAUAGUACUCAUGGGUCGAAGUCUAGUGACCCUAAGGACAUAUGGGGUUGCCAGUGGAGUCGCUCUCUUUUUUAGGAAAGGAAAACUAUUUCCAAAUCUCCUAAAGCAUGAAUUAUUGAAUUAAAGAUGAAGAUGUAUGAAUUCCUAAUGAAGAAAAGUAACAAAAGAGAGAGAGUAAAUACAAAGAGUAUAACAUUUUACAUAGACUUGAAAAUGAAAGAAGAAAGAAUGAAAUUCAAUUUCAAACCCGCCUGAACUUUCAUUGAACACACAGUAUCUAGAGUCAAACGAAACCUAACACAAACCCCACCCUUUACCAACUAUACCUAAAAAGACACUGGGAGAAGACCCAGAGGUCUGUAGCUUAUAUGUGACAAUUAUAUUUGAUUAUUUCCUAAAGUGGUACCUUAUGAGAAUAAUUUCAAGAAAAUAGGGAGAAGGAGCAAAAGGGGGUCCACAGCCCACUCCAUGAGAAAAUAUAUGGGUUUGGACAGAGGAAAAAAAGGAAA